CUUGAUGAAGUUAAAACAGUCCUCUUCAUCAAACACAUCGACAACAGUCAAACUAGUUCCAUCCACAGCAGUAUAUCCUUUACACACAAUAUAUCUCAAAAUCUCCUUCACAGUCUUCACCUUCACCCACAAAGAAUCCCUUUCAGGUUUAAACUCAACAAUCUCGCCCGUCCAAUCAACAUGUCCCUGCACGAAAUGACCUCCCAUUCUACUGCUAGGCUUCAAAGCUCUUUCCAAAUUAACCAAAGACCCUUGUUCCAAUUCGAUCAAAGAAGUCUUCCUCAACGUUGCAGCUACGGUUAGUACAAGAGGUGUGCAUACGUCUGUUCGGUUUAAUUUUAUAUAUUAUUGAUUCGAUUUAUCGAUUUUUAAUUUUUAAAUAUGUAAAAUCAAUAAUCAACUAAUAAGAUAUUUUCUUAUCGAUUUCGAUUUAUCGAUUUUUGGUCCUUAACGUUUCGCUUUUUGGUUUAACCAAUAAGAAAAUACUUAUAGAAUAGAAAUAGUAACAACUAACCUAAAAAAAAAAUCUUAAUUACUGCCAAAAUCCUACGCAAUGCAUUUUAGUUUACAAUCUUCAAACUUGAACUGAAUGUUAGUUCGGAAAAAAAUUGAAUCAUAAUUGUUGGAAGCUAUAAAUGCUUCAAGCUUUACAAUAUGAUAAUAACAGAGUUUUAUAUUGUGUCUUUGUUGCCCUGAAUCGGUUAAUAUUUUGUGAAUCACUGAAUUGUGAAUAAGGAGAAUAAGUAGUUCAUAUAAUAUAUAUAUAUAAAGAGAGAGAGAUUUAUAUAUAUAACAUAAAUAGGGCUAUAACAUAAUAAUUUAAUGUAUCCUUAUUGGGUUAUCGGUUUAACUGAUAACCCAAUAAGGUAAAACCGAAAUCGAACUGUUUACCAAUAAUUUUUUUAUAAAACAAAUAAGAAACUAUUAACCUAAUAACCCAAUACUAAUAACCCAAUAACAUUUUUAUCGGUCGGUUCAAUUUUUGCACACCCCUUUUUAGUACUAUUACUCCCUCCGUUCAUGUCAAUUUUCUCGUGUUCAGUGCUCUAUUAUUGGCUUGUCAAAAUAAUAAAUAAAUAAUACUUCUUCCGUUUAAAAAAGAAUUACUAUUUUGACUUGUCACAAAAUUUAAGAAAAUAAAGAAAGACUUUUGAAUCCUAUGGUCUUAAAUUAAAAUUGUGUCAAAUGUACCAAAUACGCUUUAAUCUUGUGGUCAUAAACAUGUCAUAAAAAAAAAUUGAAAUUCAAAUAUUGUCAAAAAAGAAAGGACUCAUUCUUUUUGAAACAGAAUAAAAAAGAAAUAGAUCAUUCUUUUUGAAAUGAAGGAAGUAUGAGUAAUUUUACUAUUCACAUUUUAAAUGUAAUAAAUUUAAUAAUUUAAUAAUAGCUAGAGUAGGGAAUGAACAAAUAAAAUUACUUAUUACUUUUCAAAAUGUCGUUGAACAUAUACUUUUAGUAAUACGAAUAAGUAAAUAUAAAUGAGGAAGUACGCUUUGCAAUAUUUUUUUCCCUUUUUUUUGGAAUUUUAAUUAUAGUGAUUUUCUGCUCUUUCUGUUUCAAUUUGUUUGAUCUAUUUUCUUUUCUAAUUCAUUUCAAAAAAAUGAAAUGUUGAUUCACUGAUGUGCCACGUAUGUGUCAUGUAGGUACUAAGGUUGCCAAAAUACGAUUUUAAUUAGUCCAGGGGUAAUAGAACCCUCCUAAAAUUCAGAUGUGUCUCACCAAUUUCGUAUAUAGUUCUGGGUGAAAACAGAUCAUUUUAAUUCCCUUAAUAUCAAUAUAAUGACAUUUUAGAUGCUUUCUUAUGAGCUGAUGUAUAUUUGGAUGAUUGUAUCGUAUCAAAUUGUAUCGUAUCGUAUUGUAGUGUAUUGUAAUAUAUUCUAUUGUAUGGUAUUAUAAGUUAUUGAGAUGCCUAAUUUAUAUUGUAUAGUAUCGUUAAGUUCGACCAUUAGAUAACGAUGAAAUAUUUUAUUUCAGGUAAUAAUUGAUUUAGUAGGAUGGUGUCAUUAACUUAUAUAUUAUUCUUAUUUUAUCUUUAUUUAUUGUUUAAUAAUCAUAUUUUAUGAUUUUUUUCCUGUCUUUCUAUAGUAGCCUUCCAUCGUAGUCUAAUGAUGAAUUUAAUGAUAUGAUACGAUGAAAUUUAAGAAACAAUCAAAAUAAAUAUGAUAUUUAAAAUAAUAAUACAAUAUCUAACAACCAUCCAAACAUACUAUAAAUGUUGAUGUGGUUAAAAAAAUUAUUGACAGAAAAUGGAUAAAUAAAACUUACAAAUCUUGUACUAAUUCUUUUUAAUUAUAACUAAAUAUAACUAGUCGAAUGUGAUCAUCUACUCUCUCUCUCUCUUCCUCUCUAAACCCGAAGACGAAGAAAGAGGAGUGUUUAAAAGUGCUUGUAUAUAAAAUAUUUGAUGUAGUCAGUGUUGAGAUGUAUAUAAAUAACUAUUUGAUGAUAGUUCGGGUAGAAAGUUGAGAAAAUUGAAGGAAAGGUAUCAUUUAAAUCUUGAAUGAAGGAUUGGUGGCAUUGACCAACUUAAAGAGUCAAACAUAAUUAGAAAACUUGAUUAAGUUAAUUGUGGACUUGAUUAAUAUUUUCAAAACUUUCUAAUAUUUUCAAAAUUAUAAAUCAACCCACACCCAUCUCCUCUCCAAAUCAACUGUAUCUCUCCUCUCUCUGGACAUUUUUUCUCAACUCUCUCCCAAUCAAUAGUUCUGUAAAAAAAUUUUCUCUUCAAUCCCUGACAACUUCAACCUCCGACGACAAAUAGUUGAGUGAGUUCCUUUUCUACUUUCAACCAUCAAUUGAUGUGAUAGCAGUUCUCCGGCGACAACAACUUCAAAUUCUUCGUCGUCCCAUUUCUUCUUUCACAAUAAAAAAAUUAUGUCUUUUUAAUUAUGAAGAAAAAGAGGAACUUGAGCCAACUUCUGUUUUAGUAUUGGUUAACAAUUUCAAUAUUUCUUGCUUAAAUUUGAAAUGUGAACUGAAUAAAAUCCUAAUUCUCAUAUUUCUUCUCUACUCUUUUCGGCGUGAAAUAUAAUUUUUUGUAGUUAUUGUAGUUCUUGUUAUCAAACUGUUGAUUCUAUUUGUUGGUGUCUGUUGAGUUUUUUGAAGUUUAAUUUUUGUUGUUUGUGUUUGUACAAACACAAAACAACAAUGUUUAUGAUUUUUGAUCACCAUUGAUGUUCUUAGUGUAUGUGUUGUGUUGGUGUUGCUGGAUUAAUUAGUUGUUUUUCUUGGUAAAAAUGGUGUAUUUGAUAUUAAACGGUGAUAGUUCUAUUUUUCUAUCAAACAAAAAUUUUGUACUAUUUUUUUCUGCAAUAGAUGAACUAUCUGAUGCAACAAAUGAAAAUUUGAUGCAACUGAUGAAAACCUGAUGCAUCAAUGAAAAUCUUAUGCAACAGAUGAACAAUCUAACAGAUCAUUCAUCUAUUGCGACAAACGAGUCUUCUGUUUGGAAGAAAUCUAAAUAAUAAGGAUAAUAUAUAAUAGUUCAAACAGAUAACUCAUUUGGCAACAGAUGAGUGAUCUGUUUCAACAGAUAAGUGAUCUGCUUUUAUUGUUUCCAACGGAUUACUCAUCCUUUGCAACAGGUUAGUUAUAUGCUGCAAUAGAUAACCUACCUAGUGCAACAGAUGAGUGAUCUAUUUUUAUUGUUUCCAAUGGAUUACUCAUCUGUUGCAACAGGUUGGUCAUAUUUUGCAAUAGAUAACCUACCUAGUGCAACAGAUAAGUGAUCUAUCUCAACAGAUGAGUGAUCUUUUUAAUUAUUUCCAAUGGAUUACUCAUCCGUUUAACAGUUGAUUAUAUGUUGCAAUAGAUAACAUACCUGGUGUAACAGAUGAUUGAUCUAUUUCAAUAGAUGAGUGAUAUAUUUUUAUUGUUUCCAAUAGAUUACUCAUCCAUUGCAACAAGUUGGUUAUAUGCUGCAACAAAUAACCUACCUGGUGCAGCAUAUGUGUAGUUUAUUGGAACUGUUAUUUUACUAUUGUGCAUGUUAGCUUUAUUGUUAUCCCUUUUUAACGAUGCAUUAAUCAAUUAUAAUUUAUUUUAUGUUACUAUUAAUUUUAGAUAAUAUGGCUCCCAAAAGAAAAGAAACCGAAUCAAGUCCAAGUAUGGAACAAGUGAAGCAGCUAGGCUAUAUCUACCACUGUAUGAGCUUACUUUACAAGUGUUAUCUCAAUCAGGAGAAGAAGAUAAUGAACAUGGGGAGGAUGAAUAUUUCAAAAGAGAUGAUCCAAAUACUAAUAAUCCUUCCAUCGAAGAGUUGGUCAAAACUUUCAACAUUGAUAGUUAUCAUGUGAGAAUUCAGUGUGAUGGUGCCACAGAUUUAACUGGUGAUUUCAUGGUUAAGUCAACCUUGGAAAAAUAUUUUGAUCCAUUAAGAAAAAUACUUUGAGAACAAAAAUUGGAUGCUUAUUUCAGGGACAGCUAAUUUGGGCAAUAUCUUAAUUUUCCGGAGGUUAACAAUGUUCGUUUCCAAAUGAAAUUGGUAUAUGAUCUUCUCAAGCGUAUGUUUAUGCAUGAAAACAAAGAUAAGAUGGAUGAGGUGUGGAUAUAUUACAGUGGCAUGCCUGUUUGUUUUGGUUGGAGGUUUGCCAUAGUUACUGGAUUAAAAUGUUAUCCUCCUUCUGAUUCUCAAGUUAUACCUAUUCUAACCCCAAAAAACACCCCGCACACCUCAAAAGGCAAAGGCAAGUCGAGUGAUCGUGAUGACCUGGUGUCCCUUGUUUCUCCAAGCUUCAAAAACAUAAAUUUGAUAAAAGCGUUGAAAGGUAAAAGACUUUCAAAGAAGCACAAGCAAUCAUUGUGCUUGGUUAUUACAUAACAUUUUUUGGACGAGAGACGUUAACAACAACACAGCACUUGGUUUAAUAAAUCUCUCCGAGGAUCUUGAGGCAUUUAACAACUAUCCUUAGGGUUUUGAAAGCUUCAAAAUUACUGUCAAAUAUUUUUUGACUCCGUUAACGCCAAAGACAGUCAACUUAUAUGACUUUCCAUGGGCUUUAAUGGUAAAUAUUUCUUUUAUAAUGAUAUGAUUCAUAUUUUUAAUCAAUAAUGCUUUUGAUUUAUUAGCAUUAUUUUACAGGCUUGGGUGUUUGAAUUCAUUCCUUACUUAAGACAAUAAGUGAACUACCAGGAAGAAUUUUUCUAUCUAAGAAUCCUGAAAUGGUCGUCGGUCAAAACUGAUAAAAAUUUAAAACUUUUUUAUCUCUUCAACCCCCCGAAGAAAGAAGUAAGUCUAAUUCUAAUUAAGUUUUAAUUAAUGAUUUUUUGAAAUGAUUUCAUUAUCAUUCUAAUAUAUGUAUUGAUUUUCUUUAGAUUAUCUAUCUGUGGCUUGUUUCGACCAAUCGAGAAUUGAAGAUGCCAUUUUUUCUUACUUUAAGGUAUGUGCAAACUUUAUUGGACCCUAAGGUCAUUCAUAGAAUAAAAAAAGAAUUGUUUAGAGCAACAGUCAUCGCAAGAAAAAUAAUUCUGGAGGGUGGGCUUAUUGUUGUUGAUGAUGGUAGUGGUAGUGGUAGUGGUGCUUCCGUUGGGGCUAAUGAUGCUCCUCUUAUAGUUUUUGAAAAACCAAACCAUUAUGAUUAUGAUCAUAUUGGUCAUAUAGAUUUUGCCACUUCGAGUUAAUGUUCUGCAUGCAAAUGUUAAGAUUGCAAGGCGAAAUAUGAUGUAGCUAUUAAUGGUAUUAAUGCAUUAAUUGCUUCUGUAAAGAAAAUGACAUCUAAGAGGGGUGUAAUUCCAUCAAAGAGGAUUUCAUAUUCAUACACUCCACUAGAUAUCAAGGUGACUAAGAGGAGAAGGAAAGAAAUUUCCAAGGCAUAUCAAGCAUCGAAAAAAGUAAAUUUCAACUCCUCUGCCUUUGUCUUUCACCUUUGAUCAAUGUACAAGGGCCACAGGAGAGCAGCAUGAGAUGAAGAAGGCAAAUGUAUAUCAUCUGUUCCAAUAAACAAACAAACACAUAUUUGUUUCACCAGAUGAUACAUCUAUUAAAAAUUAUCAAAUAGAUAUAUACAUCUGUUGCAACUAUGGUCUAACCUAUUGCAUCAGAUGCGUUAUCUAUUACGAUAAUUGUCUUACCUAUUGCAUCAGAUGCGUUAUCUGUUACAACAUAUGUUCGUUUGUUUCAACAAAUCAAAUAGGUCUUUGUACUGUUUUAAUUUGUACCGACAGAUAAUUCAUAUGUUGCAGCAGAUGGGUCAUUUGUUCAAAAUUAUCGUACAACUUUGUUUUACCUAUUUGAAUUUAUCCUAACGUAUGAUCUAUCUGUUGCAACAAAUAGAUAAUCUAUUGUAUAUCUGUGAUUAGAAAUCUCAUUGAUAUUCUGGCUUUCUAGGUGGAUGUCACAGUAGAAGCUACUAUUGAACAACAUAAUAUCACAAUUGAUAAUCCAUCCACUGCUUUCAAGAAAGAAGAAAAAGUGGAGCCUGUCAGUUCAAGAGAAUGGAAGAAUGACUUGUUUAAAAGGUUUAACAUCUCGGACGAGGCUCCAAAAAACUAACAAAGUUCAUCAACGACUUUAGAAUGGAUUGCCAAUGGGCUGUUAAAGCAUCAUGCCGACAGGUACAUAAAUUAUUUUUAAAGAUAUUUAUUUAUACAAUUCUUGUUGUAAUAAUAUGAUAUUAACACAUAUAAAUCAUGUAAAAAAAAUGACGAACACUACAAAGUGAACGAAUCGAGUCUUGAUUUUGAUAUUUUCGACUUUGUUGUUGUACAUCCCGAAAUAAAGAAUUGAUUCUAUUUGAUGUUACAGCCCCAAACUUGCUGGAAUAAUUAGGUUUAAAUGUCAUACAUAUUACUAUUAAUUAAUACUUUAUUUAAUUGCAUCUGUGUAUUAAUUUUACUGUCACGUAAUCUGAAAUGCUUGAUAAUAUGUGCAGGACAUCAAUGUUAUUUUUUACUACCUUUAAAAGAAGGUCAAGGUGUAAACACAAGAACAAUAUUGAUACACGACAGACAAUUGUUUGUACAAAGUUUACAUAAAUAAUGUCUACGAUAGGUAUUGUCAAUAACAGCCGAAAGUUUUUUGAAAUGAGGAAUGCUUAAUCAACAUCAUCAAAGGUUUUAGCAUUUCAGCUAGCUUACCUUGGCAUUUGGUCGAUGAAGUGUACAUCCAAAUCAAUUAUGGUGAUGAAUUUCAUUGAGUGUUGGCUGUCAUCGUUCUAAAAGAAAGGCACAUCCGAGUUUAUGACUCGAUGUCGCGAAAGAGACAUUCUGGGCCAUCAUCUGAGAUACAAAAGCUGGCCAACAUAUUGCCUAUUAACUUGAUAUGAGUGGCUUUUUUAUCAAAAGGUUUGUACUAAUUGGUCGACGAUUGAAGCAUAUCGGGAUAAAAUGAGUAAUCCAUUUGAUGUAGAAAAUGUUGAAGGAAUUUCUCAACAACCAUUGGUAGUCUGUAAGUAUCAUGAUUUAUUUUCAUUUCAUAAAUUUUACAACGCUUACAUGAAUUGGAUUAUAUUUUUUUUAAAUACAGGGAUUGCGGUAUUUUUGUUGCCGCUUAUGCUGGGUAUUUGAGCAAUAGAUUACAAGUACCAAAUGAUGGACUUGAUGAGGGAUUACACCGCAAAAGAUAUCCUGCUCUUUUAUGGAAAUACGGAGAAGCAAAAGCGCAGAAACCAUAUGCAAGCGACAUUAAAGAUCCACGAUGACCAAAGCCGAAUUUAAUAGCACCGGAUAGAGAACAACUUAUCCAUAUUGAGUAGAUCUUUAUAGCUUGAGUCUGUCAAAUUAAUAACCUCUCCUUAGGAAUUGUUGGCACCAAAAUUUAAAUUGUUGUUUUAUUUGUAGAGCAGAUCAUCUGUACCCAUAAUAAUUUUUUUUACAUUUUAUUUAUUUAUUGAGUUAUUUCAUGUAAUUUAUGAAGGAUUGAUUUAUUUUAUGUUGUCUAUGAAUUUAAUUUAAUUGUUAGUUUUAAACUUAUUAAUUAAAAUGGAAUACUACAGCAAUAGAUAAUACAUCUUUGCAACAGAUGACAUAUCUGUUGGAAAUUAUCAAAGGGAUUUAGACAUAUAUUGCAACAUGUAGGUCAUUUGUUGAAAAUGAUCAAACAGGUCUUCCUACUAUUCUGAUUUGUUCUAUAGAUUACCUAUCAGUUGCAACAGAUAGACUAUAUGUUGCAACAGAUUGUAUAUCUAUUAUGACAGAUAGACAGAAAUAUCUGCAUAAUGCUAUGGAUGACUAACCAAUUAUAAUAGAUAAUAAAUUUUUCACAACAGAUAGACUAUAUGUUACAAUAGAUAGACAAUCUGUUUCAUCAUAAAAUAUUCAACUUUCGUCAAAUAUAAAAAAUUAUCACUACAUGUAAAGUGAAGUGGCUUUGAAUAAAAAAUUGUUAUGGUGUUUGUCUUUGUACAUCUUCUUCUUAAUACACAGGCUCCAAGCAUCUAGUUAGUACCUCAUAAGCCCAGAUAUCUUCCAUCUUUUCCAUAAUGCCAUCGCACAGAGCGGCUAUUUUUGUGCUGGCUAUUUUUCAUAAGCGCGUACGACCCUCACACGACAUCGAUUUUAUUUUUUUGAAGUUCUAUGUCCUUGUUUCGACUUUCAAAAUCUCAUAUUUUUAUCAUCAACACUUCCACUGGCAAAUGAUCCAUCAGUUUACUCUGCCUCAACAAGCUGGGGAACAACUCUAACAGUGGCUGCAUAUGGGUACAUAAAUGAAGUUAUCGAAGAUAGGUAAGUUGCAGUCAUAAACCUUAAUAUUUCCCUCCUCAAGUAGUAUCUCAACAACAAGAAAAUGUCUGGCUUUCAUAUUCAUGACUUUAAGAAUUCUCUUUGCCUUGGUCCAGCUCUUGUCAUGUGGAAAUAACCUUUUCUCUCUAAUAUAGUUAAUCAUAUCUUCAUCCCAUUCAAAUGUAGAAACUAACCAAUCAAAUCCCGGGCCACCGGGAGUGUCAGCUAGCCUACUAAGCUCAUUAUACCUAUUCUUAAAAUUAUUGUAGAAGUUGAGAUCCCUUAUCCUAUCGGCAGUAUCAUAACCAUCCGGGUACGUUAAUUGCAUGCCUCUCAUAAGGCAUAGAAUUUCAUCAACAUACUAUGAUAUAAGAAGAUAAUUUUUAAAUAGGUUAGUAAUUGUAAAGAAGAAAAACAUAGUGGAAAGAUGCAACGGAUGGUCCAUCUGUUGUAGAGGGUUCUCUGAAUCCCUUCACAAAUUACCCAGCUAACGUAACUUAUACAACAGAUGGGUAAUUUUUUGUAACAAAACCACCACUAGUUGCACCAGAAUACCCAACUGUUGUAACAGAUGACACAUCUGUUGUGUAGCUUCUUAUUCAUAGAGUAGAUUAGAAGGCUAGGUUAGGAAAAGUAAGCUUACCCAAUCCACGCACCGCUUACGCAUACUUGUUAUAUUCUUGAAGUCUUGGGUGUGAAAGACAUGCAUGGUGUAUUCUUGUGUAGGUUUCUUGGAAUUCGUGGUCCUUUACAGUUCCUUCUUCUAUUCGUUGUCAAGUGUCACGUAUAUUUCCACCUUCUUAAAUAGCCCUUGAACUUCAACAACUUUUGGAGUGGGAGGAGUUGCAUUUUUUUGUUUUCAGAUAGGAGAGUAUUUGGUUAAUUUUUCUUUUCUUCCUCCUAACUGCAAAUAUAGGAGUGUAUGUCUCCCUCACCUUCUUGGAUGGUAUGUGUAAGACCCCACAAAUCUUUCUAGUCGUUGAAGCUUGAAAAGAGGUUCCCGACUUAGAAUCUCCUAGCUAAGUAUUCAAACUUAGUGCUAUUUUGGCCUUCGAAAGUUAGCGUUCUUAUUUCAUGACCUUUACAUCCAUAAACUUUCGAUAUUUAAGUUAAUCCAUGAUCAGAAAGGUCAAUAGGGGUUCCCAGAUGAGUUUUGGAUUUUUCGAACCUCGAUUAGACCACGUUUGGAAUCCCAAAACGGUGGACCAAUGCAAUCUUGGUGUGCUACGUCACUAUCAUAUUGGUCAAUAUUAUUGCAGGAACUGCCAGUCAAAAGUACUGAGGCUUGGCGCGAUCACGACUCGACACGUUAGGUAUCACGUCGACCAGCGCGUCAGCACCCAGUUCCAGUCAUUAAAAUAGUCGCGACCCUAGGGUUAUUUCAGUUUUUUUUCCACUCUUAUAUAAGCCUAUAACACGAGAUUCAGCCGUUGUUUACCCACUUAUAUUAGUUUUCUCUCAAUUUUCCUUAAGAAUAAGUUUAGGGUUUCCCAUUGAAGAUCUAAAUUAAAGAAAAAUCCACCAUCUAUCUCUGUAAAAUCAAGAACUAAGGUAUGUUAGAUGUUGAUUCUUGGGUUCCUUCCACCCAAGAAGUUCAAGAACCCUUUUCAAAUUAUUAAUAUUGAAUAUUUAUGAUUUUCAUGAUUUAUGUGAGGUGAAGUUCAUGUUUAUAUGAUUGUUGAGUUGUUAUUCAUGUUCUAGGUUAAAGUUCCGAGAUUUGAUUCUAGUAUGAGAUGAAUUUCAUGAUAUUCAUGAUAUACCCUUCAAGUUGCAUGUUGAUUUAUGUAGUUAUGUUAAUUUGAUGGAUUGAUUGUUGCUUAACCAAAUUAUGCUCCCUAUAUGUUUGAUACAAUGCUUAUUUAAAUGAGAUAGUGUCAUUAUAGCAUGUUAGUAUGAAACCCCCAAUUACGUAUAAGUUAUUGCAUACCAAGUGUUUGUAGAAAAGCCUUAGCAAAUGAAAUAUGAGAUGUUAGCAUGAAAUCCCCAAUUAUGUACAAGUUGAUGUAUGUUAAGUGUUUGAUGAAAGACUUCAUUGGAUGAAUUAUGAGACAUUAGUGUGCAUUCCUAUGCAUGUGUGAGUUUAUAACUUUCAAGUGCUUGAAGAGAUGCCUCAUUGAUUGUACUGCGAAUGAUAGAUUAUUGUAUGCUAUUCAAGAACUGUCAUGUCUUAAUUAUUUUAUGUUAUCGAGUCCUGGGGUAUUUAAUACAUGAUAAUUUAGCUGUGUGCCUAGAGUUAGUGUCAGUUACAGUACUCUCAGUCAUAUCGAGAUCAGUAGUAUUCUCAUCCAGUUACAAAAUUUAGUAGAACUCAGUCAGUUACAUAACUUAAGAAAAUCCAGUAAGCUCAGUAUCAUUCCAAGUAUAGCUCAAGUAUUCAAUUUAGAUCUCAGCAGUAUUCAAGUAUUCAGUUUAGAACCCAGUAGAAUUCAGUUAGUUUAACAUUUUGUCAGUCAACGAAACUUAGUAAGCUUAGUUCAGCUCAGUUAAACAGUAUGAAUAGUAAUAGAUUUAGCUCAGUCUAGUACAAUCUAAGAAUCAGUUCAGCAUCUAUUCAGUUGGAAGUAGGACUCAGCACCGAGCGAGGGCAGGGAUGGCGAUUUCCCCGUUAGAGAGGCAAAGUCGUUAGUAGUAGUCCCUAUACUCCAGAACUGCGUAGCUAGCGUAGGAUGAGGAGUCACCCAUUAGAUUAAGGCUUGGCUACCUCCCAGGAGUCACCCAUUAUAUUAGGCUUGACUUUCUGUUUAGAUCACCUGUUAGAUAGGCUUGACCAUAGUAGAUAUCUUUACUCGUGGUACGGUACUGACACUCUUCCAGCUGGGGUUACAGGUUGGACCCCACUAGUUCAGAUUUGGACCAUGUCAGUUAGAUGACUACUUACCCCAGUCUCAAUUUCAGAUUCAGUCUCAGUAAUGGAAUGCAGAUCAGCAUUACAGAAAUUAGGACUGUCAGAUAUAGUAAUCAGCUCAGAAAAGAACUUAAACAGUUCUGAAGAUUUAGAGAUCACCCGUUAGAUAGGCUUGAUCUCAAAUUCAGUCAAUCAUAUUCAUUAUCAGUAGAUACAGAGAUCACCCAUUAAAUAGGCUUGAUCUCAGAUUUAGUCAAUAAGUAUCAGUAUCAGUAGAUUUAAGGAUCAUCCGCUAGAUAGGCUUGAUCUAAGAUUUCAGUGUUUGUAGAUUUAGUUAUCAGAAUUUAGUAUCAGUAAACUUAGAUAGCAGUUAUCAAUAAUCCAGUCAUUAGAAAUCAGUACUCAGCGUUACUACAAUUUCAGUUACACUUUAUGCAUUCAUGCAUGUAUCCUCAUUCAGCAUACUCAUGUAUUCAGUCAGUAUUGUUCAUACAUAUAAACCCUUCCAUUUAGCCUUACCUCAUCUAGCAUACUAGUAUAUUCUCAUGUAUUGACACAUACUUUUCUCUUGCGCUAUGGUGAUUUAUACCAUAGGUUCAGAAGCACGAGAUCUCAAGCAACCUUAGCAGUUCAGACUCAGCCAACAACAGUAGACAUAGCAGUGAGUCCUCAUUAUUUGAGGAUGUUAUAUUAUUUCAUUAUAUUACUAGACUUAGUAUUUUAGUAGACGGAGUUAGUUGGGGAAUUUUCCCAUCAACUCCACAGUUUAGACAGUUUAGAGGCUUUCAGACUAGAUUUUAAACAAUUGUAUUAGUAUUCAGUUUUCAAUUGUAUUUCAGUUUUUGAACCUUAUGGCAUGUUUCUUGCCAGUUUUCCAUAUUUUUACAGUAUAUCAUGCAGUGCUCAGUUACAGGUAUCAUUUAAGGGUUAGCUUGUGGUACUUCGAGAUUAUGAGUACCGUGUAGCGUCUGGGGUACCAUACUCGGGGCGUUACAGUAUGACACCCCUUUUGGAUUUCAAUUCCUAGGCAUCUUCAACGAUAGCCUCUAGUUUUACAAGGAUUUUAUCAUGUCUGUCUUUGCACACUUUGCAUUUGCAAUGAGAACAUAAGAGUAAAAAGGGGUGAGACAAACCACUAUAAGAGUGGGAGGGACCACCGUAUGGGUGAGAAGGACUGAUAUAAGGGUGAUUUCAAUAAUAUUUUUUUUAUGCAUCAAUAUGCUCAUCAUCAUGAUUGGCAGCAGCCUCAGCCUCAGGAUGACUUUCACCAACAUGAACAACUCCACCAGCAACACCUUCAGAAGAAGCACCCGAAUCUCUUACAGUAGGUUGGUCAUGAAGAGCCCCAACAUUAGGAUGACCUUGCCUAACUACUCUUCUUAUAGCUAUUUCUCCAGUCAAUUCCUUCUUUAUUAGAUCCACCAUUCAGUCUGCUAUUAUAUCAACAAGACUUAGAGUAAUAAAAGAAGUCAUUCCCAACUCCUGCUCAGUAGGCAGGAUCCAUGGAUUCAUAACCUAUAAAAUAAAGGCAGAUACAUUUAAAUCAUAUAAUAAUAAUUUAUAGUCAGUUAGGUUACAUGUUAACACAGAUAACUUAUGCAACAAAUGAUUUAUUCGUCGCAAUAGUUGAUCAUUCUGUUGUAAUAAAUUAAUAAUAUAUUGUAUCAGAUUACCCAUCUAUUACAUAAUUUAUAUUCAAUGAGCAAUCUAUUGAGUCGGGUUCAGAGAACCAGAGUAAUAUAUAGGUAAUCUGUUGCGAAAUAUGAAUCGUCUGUCACAAUAGAUUACCUAUCUGUUGCUCUAAUUGUAAUAGAUGGGAAAUAUAUUGCAAUAGAUGACCCAUCUAUCACAACAGAUAGAACAUUUAUUUUAAUAUUUUUCUUUGAGUCAAAUUAUUUUACUUGAAAGAAUACGUACUAUAUCAUCUGGAAGGUUAAAGAGAUCAGCCUCUUUAAUUCUUGUGCUGCUCUUUACAACCAACCACCUAAGGACCCUUGGAUGAGAAACCUCAUCCUGUAAUCCUUGACCUAAUUUUGGAGGAGAGGAAUGGCUUCAAAUGUCCAAGCCUAAAAUAAUUAAAUAGAAAGAAAGAAAAAAGAAAUUAUAAUAAUUAUUCAAUAUAAAUUAAUGGAUGAGUAAACAAAUAGUGAUUAAAUUUACCAUGAAAACCCAAGGAAAUCCAUAUAAUGUGAUCAUCUUUAGGGAUAGCUUUGUCAGUAAAUAUUUGAUAGUCAAGUUGUAGUUGUCAUAUCCCUAAGGAUAAUCAUUGAAUUUCUCAAAAUCCUCAGCAAGCGCUAACAAAUCAUCAUCUAUGACUUUGUUGACAUCUCUUGCCAAUAUAAUGGAAUGGGCAAACCAAACUAAGCAUUAUUGCUUCCUGUAAUACUUUGGUAUGGUUUAUCCUUGAGAUCUUCUAUCAAAUCUGCCGCUUUAUAGCUACGUCCAGCAAUUUCUAACAACCCGUCUAUUUUUUCUCGCGUUUGUUGGUUUUGGUGGGUGGUCUCUAGGUCAAUGCCUUCACUUUAUUUGAUGGUGGUGCUUUGGUUGUCCUACUUUCCUUGGACCUUUUGUAGGGUGUUUCCUUGAUGAGAGGUUUUGUUGGACGAUCGUAUCUCAAGCCUAUCACAAUGGCAAACUCUUUCAUGCAAAAACAAAUCGGCAUGUCAUAGCAGUUGAUCCAAAUAUCAUCCAUCUUUUUCCCUCAUUUGUCUAAUCUUUAUCAUCCCUCACAUACUUGAUCCUGCGCUUGAGAAGACCAUAUAUUAUGAUCAAUUAGAAACAGGCAGUGUGGUCCUCAGGCAGCUCAAGAAAGUAUCUAAAGUAGCUCUUCUUAAAAAGUCUGUCUAUGUUUUUAUUCUUCAUAAUAUUCCUAAAUUCAUCAAAAGAUUUCCCCAACUGACAUUUUAGUAUAAGAUCACCAGUUAGUUCUGCAGGGCCAUCUAUCGGCAUCGCAACUUGAUACCUAUCAAUACUAAUUAUUUUGAUACGAUCAUACUGGGAUUUCGAUCUUAAUUCAUGCUCCAUUAGUGAUGCAGUAUCAUCAUCUUGAUCAUCAUCCUCUUUCUCACUUGCUACUUUCUUCUCUUAUUGUUUAUCAUCAUGUUGAUUAUCAUUCUCUUUCUUAAUUUCUACUUCUUCCUCUUCUUGUUUAUCUUCUUCUUUCUCCUCACUUUUAUUUUACUCAACAGUCUCUAUAUACCCUUCCCUACCUCCUUUUUCAUAACUUUCCUCAGCUUUAUUUUUCCUUGAAUGAGAUUGUUCAGGAAGCUCCUCCGAAUCCAUCUGUACUCUAGCCUUUUUUGUUAGGGGGUCAGAAGUUGAUGCACUUUUAGUUUCUUUUAUUUUGGGAGACAUCUUUUCACUACAAACAACAACAAAAACAAAUACAUUACAUUUGAUGUCUACAUAAUUUUUUUAAAAAAAAAGAUAAGACAAAUUUUAAUAAAUUAUUAUACGCCACAUUACAAAAAAAAUAUUCCACCGGGUAACCCAUCAGUUGGAACAGAUGGGAAAUUUGUUUGAAGACCUAUUUAAUAUCUCCCAAUAGAUUUUCACCUGUUGCAAUAGGUGGACCCCUAAGACCACCACCAACACUAACACCAAUGCCACAAGACCACCAACACCUCCACCAAUACCACCAAUGCCACCAAUACCCAUACCAAGGACACCAAGACUGCCACCACCACACCCAAUGCCACUAAUACCACCACAAAGACCGCCAACACCACCACCAAGACAACAAAUACUGACACCACCAACAAUACCCUGAUAUCCAAUGAAAUCGUGUGUAAAAAACUAGAGUUUUCUUGGGUUCUUCCUGUGUUUUUAGCAUCAAAACUCAAAAUUGUUAACCCAUUCUCAAAGAUAAUACAACUAAAAGUCUUCUUUUUUAUCAUUAACUAAAAAUCCUAAUUUUUAGAAUAAAGAACAAAUGUAGAACUCUUCUCAAACUUUAUUACCUGUGAAGACAGAGAAAACAAUGGAUAGAAGCGAGAAUGAAGUCAAAAAUAACAACUGUGUGGUUAAAAGUGAGAAGAAAAUUGAUUUGUUUUGAAGGGUUGAGCAAUAUGUUGAGUAGUUGUUCUCUGUAUUGUUGAGAAAGAAAGGAAAGAGAGAGAACUCGGAUUUGAAAUGACGAAACAUUUUUCCCAUGAAUGGAUGAUUUUUAUGGGUUGAUUUGUAUUUUUGAAAAAGAAUGACAAGUUUUGAAAUUGUUAAUUUGGUCCAAAUUGAUCUUAAUAAUUUUUUAAAAUUUUAAAAGAUAUAAUUUUUAAUUGUCUCAUAAUAAUAAAGUGUAUUAAGUUCAACUGCAACACUGAUGAAUUUUAGGUAUAAACUUAAUAAUAGGUUAAUAAGAAUCAUUUUAACUCAGAGUGAUCGAUCGACGACUCGAGUCUGGUGGAAUGCCAUACCAACAUGAUGCAAUUGCAAAGACUCAAUUGAAGUUGUAGUUGACCCUAUAAUCUCAUCCCUAUUUAUAGCUAAAUCAAUUUAGGUAUUAGCUUAAUAACAGGUUAAUAAAACUCAUUUCAACUCAAAGUGAUCGAUCGACGACUUGGGUCAGGAGGAACCUAAUACCAACAUUAUGCAAUUGUAAAGACUCAAUUGAAGUUGUAGUUGACCCUAUCAACUCAUACCUAGUUCUAGAUAAAUAAAUUUAGAUAUUAUCGUAGUAAUAAGUUAAUAUGAAUUGUUUCAACUCAAAGUGAUCAAUCGAUAAUUCGGGUCGGAAGGAAUGCAAUACCAAUAUCAUGUAAUUGCAAAGACUCAAUUGAAGUUGUAGUUGACCCUAUCAACUCAUACCUAGUUUUAGAUAAAUCAAUUUAGAUAUUAUCUUAAUAAUAGGUUAAUAAGAAUCAUUUCAACUUAGAGUGAUCGAUCAACGACUCAGGUUAGGAGGAAGGCAAUACCAAUAUCAUGCAGUUGCAAAGACUCAAUUAAAGUUGUAGUUGACCCUAUCAACUCAUCCCUAGUUCUAGCAAAAUUAAUUUAGGUAUUAUAUUAAUAAUAUGUUAAUAAGAAUCAUUUCAACUCGAAGUGAUCGAUCGACGAUUGAGGUCGGGAGAAACGCAAUAACAACAUCACGCAAUUGCAAUGACUCCAUUGAUGUUAUAGUUGACCCUAUAAAAUUAUCCCUAGUUAUAGCUAAAUAAAUUUAGAUAUUAGAUUAAUAAUAAGUUAAUAUGAAUUGUUUCAACUCAGAGUGAUCGAUCAACCAUUGAGGUCGGGAGGAACGCAAUACCAUCAUUAUACAACUGUAAAGACUCAAUUAAAGUUGUAGUUGACCCUAUAAAUACAUUCCUAGUUCUAGAUAAAUCAAUUUAGUUAUUAGGUUAGUAAUAAGCUAAUAUGAAUUAUUUCAACUCAGAGUGAUUGAUCGAUGACUAAGAUCGGAAGGAACAAAAUACCAAUAUCAUGCAAUUGCAAAGACUCAUUUGAAGUUAUAGUUGACCCUAUCAACUCAUCCCUAAUUCUAGCUAAAUAAAUUUAGGUAUUAUAUUAAUAAUAGGUUAAUAAGAAUUGUUUCAACUCAGAGUGAUCGAUCAUAACUCGGGUCAGGAAAAACGCAAUACUAAUAUUAACAACUGCAAAGACUCAUUUGAAGAUGUAGUAGACCCUAUCAAUUCAUUCCUAGUUCUAGAUAAAUAAAUUUAGGAAUUAGAUUAAUAAUAGGUUAAUAAGAAUAAUUUCAAAUUAGAGUGAUCUAUCGAUGACUGAGGUCGGGAGGAACACAAUACUAACAUCAUAUAAUUGCAAAGACUCAAUUAAAGUUAUAGUUGACCCUAUCAACUCAUCCCUAGUUAUAGCUAACUUAAUUUAGGUAUUAUAUUAAUAAUAGGUUAAUAAGAAUCAUUUCAACUCAAAGUGAUUGAUCGAUGAAUCAGAUCGGGAGGAACACAAUACCAACAUCAUGCAAUUACAAAGACUCAAUUGAAGUUGUAGUUGACCCUAUCAACUCAUACCUAGUUUUAGAUAAAUUAAUUAUAUUGAAAUCUAUUGCAAUAGAUUAUUGAGUUGUUGGAAAUUUUCAAACAGAUAUUGAGAUUUGUUGUAACAGAUUACUCAUCUGUUUUAAUUAUCAAAUGGACGUUUACAUCUAUUGUGACAGAUGACUGAGUUGUUGGAAAUUUUCAAACGGAUAUUGAUAUCUGUUGUAACAGAUGACAUAUCUAUUUGAAAAUCUUGUUUUUUAAAUUUAAAGAAAUUUUUUUUUCCAAAAUAAAAAAAGAUAAAUUUCUAAGGCGGUAAAAACUAUUUCUUAGGUAACUCAAAAAUCUCCUCCUUUAGUAGUCUUAUCUUGUCUUUUCAAUGUCACCCGUCUCCUCAUGCCCCUAAAAUUUAUUAAUGAAUAUUAAUUAAUAUUUAAACUUAUCUCUAGAAUUAUCUCUUAUUCAACCGUAAAUUUAUUCAUCUCACUUCUUUUUCUUCCUCUUCUCUUUAGGGUUAUCACAAUCGCCUUUUUGUUCUCUAUUUUCUCUCCUCUUUAUCAUGAGGAUCCUUUUAAAUAUCAAUUGAUCUAUAUAUUUUUUUUGAUUAAAUAGUUUUUUUGAUACCCUUGCUUUUGACAUUGCUGAUAUGGUUCAUUAUUGCUCUUUCAUUCUCGUCUUCUUCUUUGCAAGUUAUCUAAAUUAGUUAUUUACAUCUAUUUUUUAAUUUAAUUAUCCUUUACCCAUAUCCUAUUUGUUUAAAAGUUUUGAAGGAAAGGUGACUUUUAAGUCUUCAAUGAACGAAUCGUUGUUUUUAUUAAAAUAUGCAAAAAAGUCAUUUGUUAGGAAAGUUUAAAAGCCUUGUUGGCAGUAUCAUUUUUUUAUAAGUAUUUUAUCUGUUUCUUUGUUGUUGAUGCUAUUAUUGAUGUUGUUGGUGGGGUUGGUAUUGUUGGAACAUGUGGUGUAGUGUUGUUGAUGGUGUUGGAACAAAUGGUGGUAUUUCUUUGUUGUUGAAGUUGCAAUAGACGAAGCAAAUGUUGGAAUAAAUCAAACCACAAGCAAGGAUGGUAUGAUGUAUUUCAUUAGAUUACAUAUCUGAUGUACCAAACUCCAUAUAUGUUGCAACAUAUGGGGAAUCUGUUGUCCAUCUAUUUCAAUAGACGGGGAAUCUGUUGCAAUAGAUGUGGAGUCUGUUGCAACAAAUGGUUAAUGUUAUUUUUGUUCUUCUCAUGUUUGACAUCAGUUGUUUUUCUCUUGUUUGUAGAUAUAAGAAAGUGUAAGUAGAUCAACUUUUGUCCGACCAACAAAAAAAGCUACAGUAAAGAUAGGUUUGGAGGAAUAAGUUGCUUGUAGAUGGAACCACUUCAUAUGUAGGAGGUAUGUAUUACUGAUCAUGUUAUCGUGAAAAUACACAUAGAGUACACUGAUUUUGUAAAUGUUGUUUUUUACCAAUUAGGCAUUGAUCAUUCAAAUAACAUAUCUGCAAUUUUAUAGUUAAGUUUGAUAGGUUUGAACUGAUAAGGCUGAGGGACCAUGAAUAUAUUUUUGAUACCUUAUUAAAAUUUAAUGUCAGUUGUUGUUCAGGUUUAUGUGUUAAGCUUUGUGAAGGGAUCAAGUUUUGGUGGCAUUGUAAAAAUAUUCAAUAGCGAUUAGACUAACUUUUAGGGUGCAUUGGACUUUGAGAGCGCCUUUGAAUCCUCCCAUUGCUUCAACUAAGAAUGAAAAUCAAUAUAGUUAUUGCUCUAGCCCAAAUUAUAUGGUUGGGUUGCUCAGGGUGAUGAUUAUACGCUAAAAAGUGCGGUAGGAGAAUACAUACGAGGAAAAAUGAGAGUUGAUGAAAGACUAUAUCAUCUGAGACCUAAUUGAAGAGGAAAUAUAGGAUAAGAGGGAACGUCUAGCAAAUAUGGCAGAUAAAACUGAAUUAGAACACAAGAAAUCUGAAUCAAGUGCAAAUAUGAAAGUGUAUCCAAAAAUGAAAAUCUAUCUAUUUUAUCUCUCAAAGAAUAAUAGUGCAGCUGGGCACUUUGCUAGGGAUUGCGACUAGCUAGCAUAGUUGGAAUAAUCACCUACAUAGAAAAUAGCAGAACACCAAGAAGGUAGCUUUGCGGGCACCGAGGGUUGAAAUGAUGUACAGUAAGUUAAGAAAACUUGUGCCAAGAAUAGCUGAAGUUAAAAUAAUGAAACUAAGCAAAGGCGACAAUUUUAAAUUGGAUCUCAUACCUUGUUGUUUGUGGUUUCGAUUAGGUCCACUGCUAUUGACCUGAUUGGAACCACAAACAAGCUUAAAACAUAGAUUGAGUAUCAUUAAUUCCUUAGCAAUAUGGAUAUAAUUUAUUGUGUUUUCUUGCCUUAACAUGCUUUCAACAUACCUUGGAAAAGAUCAAAGGCUUGUUGUAGCAUAUGAAUCUCGAUAAUUUUCAAGCUUGCCUCCAGUUUGCUGAUUUGGUCUUCAAGCUUGUCAUUGCCAUCUUUGAGGUUAUUGUAGAGUUCUUGGUAUUUUGUGAGAUCGUCAAUGAAGAACACUUUCUUUGGAGUUUUGGAAUUGUAAAAAGCCUUCAAAAGGCUUCCAGAACAUUUUAUUUAGGAUUCUUAAAUGAUAAAUGGAGGGUCGCUAUGUUUGUUUUAGGUCAACGGUUGAUGCACACUCAAGCAGUGGUCCCAACAGUUAAACAACUCACUUUCUCAUUGAACAACAUUCGAGAAAGUGAGUUGUUCAACUGUUGGGACCGCUGCUUGAGUGUGCUUCAUCACAGUGUGCUUCAUCACAUUGACCAAAAACAAACAUAGCAACCCUCCAUGUAUUAUUUAAGCCUUUUGAAGAAAGUGUCCUGGAAGCGUUCUAAUGGCUGUUUACAAUGCCAAAACUACUAAUAAAGUGCUCCUCAUUGACGAGCACACAAGAAACCAAUAACUCUACACUAACCUCAAAGAUGACAAUAACAAACUUGAAGACCGAUUCAGCAAGCUGGACGCAAGUUUGAAAAUUAUUGGGAUUUAUAUACUACAACAAGCCUCUUAUCUUCUCCAAGAUAUGUUGAAAGCAUGCUAAGGUAAGAAAACACAAUCAAUUAUAUUCAUAUAGCUAAGGAAUUAAUGAUUCUCAAUCUACCUUUUAAUUUUGUUUGUGGUUCCAAUCAGGUCAAUAGCAGUGGAGCUAAUCGGAACCAUAAACAACAAGGCAUGGGAUUCAAUUUAAAAUUGCUGCCUUCGCUUAGAUUCCUUAUUGUAACUUCAGCUAUUCUUGGCACAAGUUUUCUUGACUUACUGUACAUCAUUUCAACCCUCGGUGCCUGCAAAGCUACUUUCUUGGUGUUCUAUUAUUUUUUAUGUAGGUGACCAUUCUGACCAUGCUACCUAGUCGCAGAUCCCUAGAAAAGUGCCCAACUGCACUAUUUAUCUUUGUGAGAGACAACAGAUGAAUUUUUAUUACUGGAUACACUUUCAUAUUUGUACUUGAUUCAGAUUUCUCAUGUUCUAAUUCAGUUUCAUUGGCUAGAUUCACUAGAAGUUCCUUGCUACCUUAUGUUUCCUCUUUAAUUAGCUCUCAGAUUAUAUAGCCUUUCAUCAACUCCCCUUUUCCUUGCAGGUAUUCUCCUACGGCUCCUUCUACCAUAUAACCAUCUUCUUGAACAACCCAUCCACAUAAAUCUGUGCCUGGGGAAUUUUCAUUUCUUUUAGUUCUUGUUUGAUGCAGUACAAGGCUUCAAAGGCCUUUUCAAAGUCCAAUGCAUACUUAAAGUUGUGUCCAAUCGCUGUUGGAUCUCUGUACUGACACCAAAUAUUGAUCUCUUCUCUAAACUUGACACGCAUAAACAUGAUCAAAAGCCAUCAUUAAUUCAAAAUAGGGUAUCAGUACCAUAUUCAUGAGCCCCCUGGCCUUAUCAAUUCAAACCUAUCAAACUUAACUGUCAAUGCAGGAUCUUGUUCGAAUGAUUAAUGCCUAAUCAAUUAAAAGCUGCAUUCACAAAAUCAUUAUACUUUAUGUGUGUUGUUUCGAUAACCUUAUCAGUAAUACAUAACUCCCACACAUAAAAGUAGAUCCAUCUAUCUGCACACACCUUAUUCUUCCUAACCCAUCUAUGGCUUAAUUUGAAUAAACGGAUGACUAACCUGUUGCAAUAGAUGAUACAUCUGUUAAAAUUAUCAAACAAUUAUAGACAUCUGUUAUGACAGAUGAUCAAUCUGUUACAUCAUAUGACUUAUCUAUUGGAAAAAUCAAAUAAAUAUAUCCAUCUGUUGCAAUAUAUUGUCAAUAUGUUGUAAAUUAUCAAACAGAUAGAAUAUUUUUUGCAACAAAUUAUCCAUCUGUUAGAUUUAUUUUAAACCAAUUUUCUUUUCUUUCCGUAAUACAAUAAAGAUAAAAUAUUGUAUUUAGAUCCAUUUUUUAAAUUUACAUAUUCAAAAAAGUCACGAGUUUUAUUUAAUUAAGGGAUGUAAUUAUUAAAUAAGAGAUGAACAGUCGUGACAUUUUUACUAACCCAUUCGAAUUCAAUCCUUUAUAAAUAGGUCCCUCCUUACCCGUUCAUUCUACUCUACUUCAACAUAUGGCAGAUCCAGAUUUGUACAAGGUAAUUCAUCUCAAGUCCUUGCGGGAACUUGAAAGGAAAAUUCAUAAACUCCAGAGGGAGUUGGGCGACUUCAGAGCAAGGCUGAGGAGGGCCCUGCUGCUGCCGGAUGACAAUUGGCCAGUUGACAAUAAUAAUAAUAAUAAUAAUAAUAAUAAUUAGGUUAUGUUUUUUCUUUUAGCGUAUGUGUUUUCUUUUUUAUAUCGAAUCUACCUAAGGAUAUGUUUUUUUAUUGCAUAUAUUUGUAUAUAAUGGAUUCAAAAAUCUCUGUUUGGUAAACUUUGGAUUUUUAAUUCUUAAUUAAUAUCUAAUUUUCUUUUUGUCUAUUUCUUAUUCUCAACAUGUUGACAAGUGGAGGUAGGGAUUGAGCGUUUAUGGCAACGGAUGGACCAUAUGUUACAACAGAUGGUUAAUCUAUUGUGACAGAUGGAUCAUAUGUUGCAAUAAACGGUUAUUAAUAAAAAAGAAUUAUUGUUACUAAGAGGGUGAAAAGUCAUGACUUUUCAAUUAUUUAAUAUAAAAAAUGAUUCGUAAAUAAAUGAUAAGGAAAUAAAUGAUAAAUAUAAUUUAUAACCAUAAAAGAACAGUUAUUUAAUAUUUAAUAAUUGAUCGUGACUUUUCACCAUUGUUGUUUUUAAAUCUAUUUUUAAAUUUAUUUAUUUAUUAUAUAAUAAAAAAGGUAAACAAUCGUGAUUUUUUGUCUAACACAUUCAAAACAGCUCAUGAAUCAAAUUCCCCAUCCAGUGCGACUGAUGAAUCAGCUGUUAGAAGAAAUAAAAAAAGCUCCUUCAACAGAUGGUUGAUUUGUUGCAACAGAUGGUAUAUCUGUUGUCAUAGAUGGGUUAUCUGAUACAACAAAUAUACAAUCUGUUGCAACAACUCAAUAAAAAUAUUUAUUAUUUUAUUAAAAGAAAUGGUUAUUGAAUAGGUGAGAAGUCUUCGAUUAUUUAAUUGAGAAAAAGGUUAUUUAAAUUUAAGAACUAAUUAAUAAUAAUAAGCUGAAAAGUCAUGACUUGUCACAAUAAUAAAAAAAUCACCAGUUUGAUUUGAUUAAGUCAUUUCUUUUCACAGAAAGCAAUAAGAAAAUAAAUGGUAAACACAAUUUAUAACCGUAAAAAAAUGGUUAGUUAAUUUGAAUAAUUGAUGUUAAUAUUAAAUAAGCAACAAGUAGUGACUUUUCACCAUUUUUGUUUUUAAAUCUAUAUUUUAAUUUAUAUAAUAAAACAGUCACCAAUUUGGAUUAAUGAAAGUGUAUGAUAUGAUUAUUAUUAAGAAAGAUAGAUUAUAUGUUGCAACAGAUUGAUUAUAUGUUGCAACAAAUAGAUUAUCUGAUGCAACAGAUGGUCGAUUUGUUGCAACAGAUAGUAUAUUGAUUAUAUUUAUACACUCUAACAAACGACUUCUACAUUUCAAUGGAAGGAACAUAUACAAAAGUAAAGUUCGAUAAAAUAUUUAUAGAAGUAUGUUUUAUCGCGUUCUCAAAGUUAAAUAACUUAAAUUGAUACGAUGGAUGGUAACUUAUAAUUAUUUUUUUAUAUAAUUUUUGAAAUACUUAAAAUUUAAAUUUAAAACAUGAAUUUAAUUUAGCUUCAAAGAACAAGUUGAAAAAUUGAUAAAAGAAUGACCAAGAACACAUGAAAUCACACACAAAAAACAAGCCACAAGUUCAAGAGCCGAGGAUCCCUUUGGUGACCAACUCUCGGAUUCAACAAACAAUCAACAAAACGAGAUGACAAGGGUGUUAACACACAAAAAAAACACCAACCACACUAAGUUAAAACACAAUAUGAUGAACAAGAUAACAAUAACAACAAUGUGGUAACAAUAACAGCACCUCACGGGUUGGAGUACAAUUACAACAAACAAAUGAUUUCAACAUAAAAAAAGGGAUAGAUAGUUAGACAAGUGAAGGUAUAAUAUUAAGAACCUAAGACUUUGGUGGACUAUUGGACCCUUAAUACUACACACGACAAACACCUAACUCAUGCAUUGACACAAGAGGGACUUUACCUCCCCUAAACACCAACGUAUCAAGCCAACAUGCAACACAAGUGAUAUCCGUACUUGUUGCCCUCAUUUCGGUUUGGUGGCUAUUAAGGCCCUAUAACUAAAGGUGUUACCAUGUUCCAAGUCUUACAUCCAUGAACAACUAAGAAAAUAAUCCCUAAAAGGUUCUACAUAUAGUAUAUUAUAAAAAAGACAAAAUGACUACACUACCCUUAAUUAGAGGGGAGGCCAUGGAGUGCAUUUUGGGUAAAGUGGAGAGACAAAAAUGCCCUCAAUGAAGAUGGCCCAAAACCGUGAGCCAUUAAGUGUUCAAAACCGUGAAUCCUCAAGUCUUCAAUGCUCCAAGCAAUCUUCCACUCAUGGCCUUGAUAAAUGGUACGCUCAAUUAGUGAUGCAUUAUCAUCAUCUUGAUCAUCAUCCUCUUUCUCACUUUUUACUUCCUCCUUUUCUUGUUUAUCAUCAUGUUGAUUAUCGUCCUCUUUCUCACUUUCUACUUCUUCCUCUUCUUGUUUAUCUUCUUCUUUCUCCUCACUUUUAUUUUACUCAGUAGCCUCUAUAUACCCUUCUCCACCUCAUUUUUCAUAACUUUCCUCAGCUUUCAUAUCCCCUGAAUGAGAUUGUUCAGGAAGCUCCUCUGAAUCUAUCUGUACUCUAGCCUUUUUUGUUGGGUGGUCAGAAGUUGAUGCACUUUUAGUUUCUUUUCUUUUGGGAGACAUCUUUUCACUACAAACAACAAAAAAACAAAAAAUACAUUACAUUUGAUGUCUACAUAAUUUUUUUUAAAAAAAGGUAAGACAAAUUUCAAUAAAUUAUUAUACGCCACAUUACAAAAAAAUAUUCCAACGGGUAACCCAUCAGUUGGAAUAGAUGGAGAAUUUGUUUAAAGACCUAUUUAAUAUCUCCCAAUAGAUUUCCACCUGUUGCAAUAGAUAGACCCUCAAGACAACCGCCAACACUAACACCAAUGCCACAAGACCACCAAGACCACCACCAAUACCACAAUGCCACCAAUACCUAUACCAAGGACACCAAGACCACCACCACCACCACCGAUGCCACUAAUACCACCACCAAGACCGUCGAUGCCACCACCAAUACCGAAACCACCAACAAUACCACAAACACCGUCCAACAAUACCCUGACAGCCAAUGAAAUCGUGUGCCAAAAACUAGAGUUUUCUUGGCUUCUUUCUGUGUUUUUAGCAUCAAAACUUAAAAUUGUUAACCCAUUCUCAAAGAUAAUACAACUAAAAGUCUUCUUUUUCAUCAUUAACUAAAAAUUUUAAUUUUUAGAAUAAAGAACAAAUGUAGAACUCUUCUCAAACUUUAUUACCUGUGAAGAAAGAGAAAACAACAGAUAGAAGCGAGAAUGAAGUCGAAAAUAACAACUAUGUGGUUGAAAGUGAGAAGAAAAUUGAUUCGUUUUGAAGGGUUGAGCAAUAUAUUGAGUGGUUGUUCUCUGUAUUGUUGAGAAAGAAAGGAAAGAGCGAGAACUCAAGAUUUGAAAUGACGAAACAUUUUUCCCGUGAAUGGAUGAUUUUUAUGGGUUUAUUUGUAUUUUUGGAAAAGAAUGACAAGUUUUGAAAUUGUUAAUUUGGUCCAAAUUGUUCUUAAUUAUUUUUUAAAGUUUUAAAAGAUAUAAUUUUUAACCGUCUCAUAAUAAUAAAGUGUAUUAAGUUGAAAUGAAACACUGAUGAAUUUUAGGUAUUAGCUUAAUAAUAGGUUAAUAAGAAUCGUUUUAACUCAGAGUGAUCGAUCGAUGACUCGAGUUUGGAGGAAUGUCAUACCAACAUCAUGCAAUCGCAAAGACUAAAUUGAAGUUGUAGUUGACCUUAUAAUAUCAUCCAUAUUUAUAGCUAAAUAAAUUUAGGUAUUAGCUUAAUAACAGGUUAAUAAGACUCAUUUCAACUCAAAGUGAUCGAUCGAUGACUCGGGUCGGGAGGAACUUAAUACCAACAUUAAGCAAUUGCAAAGACUCAAUUGAAGUUGUAGUUGACCCUAUCAACUCAUCCCUAGUUCUAGAUAAAUAAAUUUAGAUAUUAGCUUGAUAAUAAAUUAAUAUGAAUUGUUUCAACUCAGAGUGAUAGAUCGAUGAUUCGGGUCGGGAGGAACGCAAUACCAACAUUAUGCAAUUGCAAAGACUCAAUUGAAGUUGUAGUUGACCCUAUCAACUCAUACCUUGUUCUAGAUAAAUCAAUUUAGGUAUUAUCUUAAUAGUAGGUUAAUAAGAAUCAUUCCAACUUAGAAUGAUCGAUCGACGACUCAGUUCGGGAGGAACGCAAUAACAACAUCAUGCAAUUGCAAAGACUCAAUUGAAGUUAUAGUUGACCCUAUAAAUACAUUCCUAGUUCUAGAUAAAUCAAUUUAGUUAUUAGCUUAGUAAUAAGUUAAUAUGAAUUGUUUCAACUCAGAGUGAUCGAUCGACCAUUGAGGUCGGGAGAAACGCAAUACCAUCAUCAUACAACUGUAAAGACUCAAUUAAAGUUGAAGUUGACCCUAUAAAUACAUUCCUAGUUCUAGAUAAAUCAAUUUAGUUAUUAGCUUAGUAAUAAGUUAAUAUGAAUUGUUUCAACUCAGAGUGAUCGAUCGACCAUUGAGGUCGGGAGAAACGCAAUACCAUCAUCAUACAACUGUAAAGACUCAAUUAAAGUUGAAGUUGACCCUAUAAAUACAUUCCUAGUUCUAGAUAAAUCAAUUUAGUUAUUAGCUUAGUAAUAAGUUAAUAUGAAUUGUUUCAACUCAGAGUGAUCGAUCGACAACUCGGGUCAGGAGGAACGCAAUACUAACAUUAUACAACUGCAAAGACUCAAUUAAAGAUGUAGUAGAGCCUAUCAAUUCAUCCCUAGUUCUAGAUAAAUCAAUUUAGGAAUUAGCUUAAUAAUAGGUUAAUAAGAAUUAUUUCAAAUCAGAGUGAUCUAUCAACGACUGAGGUCGGGAGGAACACAAUACUAAUAUCAUAUAACUGCAAAGACUUAAUUAAAGUUAUAGUUUACCCUAUCAACUCAUCCUUAGUUCUAACUAACUUAAUUUAGCUAUUAGCUUAAUAAUAGGUUAAUAAGAAUCAUUUCAACUCAAAGUGAUUGAUCGAUGACUCAGAUCGGGAGGAACACAACACCAACAUCAUACAAUUACAAAGACUCAAUUGAAGUUGUAGUUGACCCUAUCAACUCAUACCUAGUUUUAGAUAGAUCAAUUAUAUUGAAAUCUAUUGCAAUAGAUGAUUGAGUUAUUGGAAAUUUUCAAAAAGAUAUUGAGAUUUGUUGCAACAGAUUACUCAUCUGUUUUAAUUAUCAAAUAGACAUUUACAUCUGUUGUGACAGAUGACUGAGUUGUUGAAAAUUUUCAAACGGAUAUUGAUAUCUGUUGCAACAGAUGACAUAUCUAUUUGAAAAUCUUGUUUUUUAAAUUUAAAGAAUUUUUUUUCGAAAUAAAAAAGAUAAAUUUCUAAGGCGGUAAAAAAAAAUUUCUUAGGUAACUCAAAAAUCUCCUCCUUUAGUAGUCUUAUCUUGUCUUUUCAAUGUCACCCGUCUCCUCGUGCCCCUUAAAUUUAUUAAUGAAUAUUAAUUAAUAUUUAAAAUCAUCUCUAGAAUUAUCUCUCCUUCAGCCAUAAAUUUAUUCAUCUCACUUCUUUUUCUUCCUCUCCUCUUUAGGAUUAUCACAACCGCCUUAUUUUUAUUCUCUCUUUUCUCUCCUCUUUAUCAUGAGGAUCCUUUUAAAUCUUAAUUGAUCUAUAUCUUUUUUCGAUUAAAAUAGUUGUUUUGAUACCCUUGCUUUUGACAUUGUUGGUAUGGUUCAUUAUUGCUCUUUCAUUCUCAUUUUCUUCUUUUCAAGUAAUUUAAAUUAGUUAUUUACAUGUAUUGUUAAUUUAAUUAUCCUUUACCCAUAUCCUAUUUAUUUAAAAAAUUUGAAGGAAAGGUGAUUUUUAAGUCUUCAAUGAAAGAAUCGUUAUUUUUAUUAAAAUAUGCAAAAAAAAAAAGUCAUCUGUUGGGAAAGUUUAAAAGCCUUGUUGGCAGUAUCAUUUUUUUAUAAGUAUUUUAUCUGUUUCUUUGUUGUUGAUGCUAUUAUUGAUGUUGUUGGUGGGGUUGGUAUUGGUGGAACGUGUGGUGUAGUGUUGUUGAUGGUGUUGGAACAAAUAGUGGUAUUUCUUUGUUGUUGAUGUUGCAAUAGAUGGAGCAAAUGUUGGAAUAAAUCAAACCACAAGCAAGGCUGGUAUGAGGUAUUUCAUUAGAUUACAUAUCUAUUGUAACAAACUCCAUAUAUGUUGCAACAUAUUGGGAAUUUAUUGUCCAUCUGUUUCAAUAGAUGGGGAAUCUGUUGCAAUAGAUGUGAAGUCUAUUGCAACAAAUGGGUAAUGUUAUUUUUGUUCUUCUCAUGUUUGACAUCAGUUGUUUUUCUCUUGUUUGUAGUUAUAAGGAAGUGUAAGUAGAUCAACUGUUGUCCGACCAACAAAAAAGGCUACAGUAAAGAUAGGUUUGGAGGAAUAAGUUGCUUGUAGAUGGAAUUACUUCAUAUGUAGGAGGUGUGCAUUACUGAUCAUGUUAUCGUGAAAACACACAUAGAGUACAUUGAUUUUGUAAAUGUUGUUUUUUACCAAUUAGGCAUUGAUCAUUCAAACCAUAUAUCUGCAAUUUUAAGGUUAAGUUUGAUAGGUCCGAACUGAUAAGGCUGAGGGACCAUGAAUAUGGUUUUGAUACCCUAUUAAAAUUUAAUGUCGGUUGUUGUUCAGGUUUAUGUGUUAAGCUUUGUGAAGGGAUCAAAUUUUGGCGGCAUUGUAAAAAGAUUCGAUUGCGAUUAUACUAACUUUUAGGGUGCAUUGGACUCUGAGAGCAACUUCGAAGCCUCCCAUUGCUUCAAAUAAGAAUAAAAAUCAAUAUAGUUAUUGCUCUAGCCCAAAUUUAUAUGGUUGGGUUGCUCAGGGUGAUGAUUAUCGCUAGAAGAUACGGCAGGAGAAUACAUACGAGGAAAAAUGAGAGUUGAUGAAAGGCUAUAUCAUCUGAGAACUAAUUGAAAAGGAAACAUAGGAUAGGAGGGAACUUAUAGCAAAUAUGGUAGAUAAAACUAAAUUAGAACACAAGAAAUCUAAAUCAAGUGCAAAUAUAAAAGUGUAUCCAAAAAUGAAAAUCUAUAUAUUUUUUCUCUCAAAGAAUAAUAGUACAGCUGGGUACUUUGCUAGGGAGCUGCAACUAGCUAGCAUGGUCGGAAUGAUCACCUACAUAGAAAAUAGCAGAACACCAAGAAAGUAUCUUUGCGGUCACCGAGGGUUGAAAUGAUGUACAGUAAGUUAAGAAAACUUGUGCCAAGAAUAGCUAAAGUUAAAAUAAUGAAACUAAGCAAAGGCGACAAUUUUAAAUUGGAUCUCAUACCUUGUUUUUUGUGGUUCCGAUUAGAUCUACUGCUAUUGACCUGAUUGGAACCACAAACAAGCUUGAAACAUAGAUUGAGUAUCAUUAAUUCCUUAGCAAUAUGAAUAUAAUUUAUUGUGUUUUCUUGCCUUAUCAUGCUUUCACCAUAUCUUGGAGAAGAUCAAAGGCUUGCUGUAGUAUGUGAAUCUCGAUAAUUUUCAAGUUUGCCUUCUUUAACUUGCUGAUUUGGUCUUUAAGCUUGUCAUUGCCAUCUUUGAGGUUAUUGUAGUGUUCUUGGUAUUUUGUGAGCUCGUCAAUGAAGAACACUUUCUUUAGAGUUGUGGCAUUGUAAAAAGCCUUCAAAAGGCUUCCAGACCAUUUUCUUUAGGAUGCUUAAAUGAUAAAUGGAGGGUCUCUAUGUUUGUUUUAGGUCAACAGUUGAUGCACACUCAAGCAGUGGUCCCAACAGUUAAACAACUCACUUUCUCAUUGAACAACAUUCAAGAAAGUGAGUUUUUCAACUAUUGGGACCGCUGCUUGAGUGUGUUUUAUCACGUUGACCAAAAACAAACAUAGCAACCCUCCAUGUAUCAUUUAAGCCUUUUGAAGAAAGUGUCUUGGAAGCCUUUUAAAGGCCGUUUACAAUGCCAAAACUACUAAUAAAGUUAUCUUUAUUGACAAGCACACAAAAACCAAUAACUCUAUACUAACCUCAAAGACGACAAUAACAAACUUGAAGACCGAUUCAGCAAGCUUGAAAAUUAUUAGGAUUUAUAUACUACAACAAGCCUCUGAUCCUCUCCAAGAUAUGUUGAAAGCAUGCUAAGGUAAGAAAACAUAAUCAAUUAUAUUCAUAUAGCUAAGAAAGUAAUGAUACUCAAUCUACCUUUUAAUUUUGUUUGUGGUUCCAAUCAGGUCAAUAGCAGUGGAGCUAAUCGGAACCAUAAACAACAAGGCAUGGGAUUCAAUUUAAAAUUGCCGCCUUCGCUUAGAUUCCUUAUUGUAACUUCAGCUAUUCUUGGCAUAAGUUUUCUUGACUUACUGUACAUCAUUUUAACCCUCGGUGCCUGCAAAGCUACUUUCUUGGUGUUCUACUAUUUUUUAUGCAGGUGAUCAUUCUGACCACGCUACCUAGUCACAUAUCCCUAGAAAAAUGCCUAGCUGUACUAUUUAUCUUUGUGAGAGACAACAGAUGAAUUUUCAUUACUGUAUACACUUUCAUAUUUGCACUUGAUUUAGAUUUCUCAUGUUCUAAUUCAGUUUCAUCGGCUAGAUUCGCUAGAAGUUCCUUGCUACCUUAUGUUUCCUAUUUAAUUAGCUCUCAGAUGAUAUAGCCUUUCAUCAACUCCCCUUUUCCUUGCAGGUAUUCUCCUAUGGCUCCUUCUGCCAUAUAAUCAUCUUCUCGAAUAACCUAUCCAUAUAAAUAUAUGCCAGGGGAAUUUUUAUUGCUUUUAGUUCUUUUUUGAUACAGUGCAAGUCUUAAAAGGCCUUUUCAAAGUCCAAUGUAUACUUAAAGUUGAGUCCAAUUGCUAUUAGAUCUCUACACUUACACCAAAUAUUUAUCUCUUCUCUAAAAUUGACACGCAUAAACAUGAGCAACAACCAUCAUUAAUUCGAAAUAGGGUAUCAGUUCCAUAUUCAUGAGCCUCACGGCCUUAUAUAUUCGAACCAAUCAAACUUAACUGUCAAUGCAGGAUCUUGUUUGAAUGAUCAAUGCCUAAUCAAUUAAAACUGCAUUCACAAAAUCAUUAUACUUUAUGUGUGUUGUUUCAAUGACCUUAUUAGUAAUACAUAACUCCCACACGUAAAAGUGGAUCCAUCUAUCUGCACACACCUUAUUCUUCCUAGCCCAUCUAUGGCUUAAUUUGAAUAAACAGAUGACUAACCUAUUGCAAUAGAUGACACAUCUGUUAAAAUUAUCAAACAAUUAUAGACAUCUUUAUGACAGAUGAUCAAUCUGUUACAUCAUAUGACUUAUCUAUUGGAAAAAUCAAAUAGAUAUAUCCAUCUGUUGCAACAGAUUGUCAAUAUGUUGUAAAUUAACAAACAGAUAGAAUAUUUUUUGCAACAAAUUACCCAUUUGUUAGAUUUAUUUUAAACCAAUUUUCUUUUCUUUUCGAAAUAAAAUAAAGAUAAAAUAUUGUAUUUAGAUCUGUUUUUUAAAUUUACAUAUUCAAAAAAGUCACCAUUUUUAUUUAAUUAAGGGAUGUAAUUAUUAAAUAAGAGAUGAACAGUUGCAACAUUUUUACCAACCCAUUCGAAUUAAAUCCUUUAUAAAUAGGUCCCUCCUUACUCAUUCAUUCUACUCUACUUCAACAUAUGGCCGAUCCAUAUUUGUACAAGGUGAUUCAUCUCGAGUCCUUGCGGGAACUUGAAAGGAAAAUUCAUAAACUCCAGAGGGAGUUGGGCGACUUCAGAGCAAGGCUGAGGAGGGCCCUGCUAGUGCCGAAUGACAAUUGGUCAGUUAACAAUAAUACUAAUACUAAUAAUAAUAAUAAUAAUAAUAAUAAUAAUAAUAAUAAUAAUAAUAAUAAUAAUAAUAGUAGUAGUAGUAGUAGUAGUAGUAGUAGUAGUAAUAAUAAUUAGGUUAUGUUUUUCUUUUAGUAUAUGUGUUUUCUUUUUUAUAUCGAAUCUACCUAAGGAUAUGUUUUUUUACUGCAUAUAUUUGUAUAUAAUGGAUUCAAAAAUCUCUAUUUGGUAGACUUUGGAUUUUUAAUUCUUAUUUAAUAUCUAAUUUUUAUCUUGUCUAUUUCUUAUUCUCAACAUCUCGAUAAUUGGAGGUAGGGAUUGAGCGUUUAUGGCAACGGAUGGACCAUAUGUUACAACAGAUGGUUAAUCUAUUGUGACAGAUGGAUCAUAUGUUGCAACAGACGGUUAUUAAUAAAAAAAAGGGUUAUUGUUACUAAGAGGGUGAAAAGUCAUGACUUUUCAAUUAUUUAAUAUGAAAAAUAGUUCGUAAGUAAAUAAUAAGGAAAUAAAUGAUAAAUAUAAUUUAUAACCAUAAAAGAACAGUUAUUUAAUUUUAAUAAUUGAUCGUGACUUUUCACCAUUGUUGUUUUUAAAUAAAUUUUUUAAUUAUUUUAUUUAUUAUAUAAUAAAAAAGGUGAACAAUCGUGAUUUUUUGUCUAAAACAUUCAAAACAGCUCAUGAAUCAAAUUCCCCAUCCAGUGCGACUGAUGAAUUAGCUGUUAGAAGAAAUAAAAAAAAGCUCAUUCAACAGAUGGUAAAUUUGUUGCAAAAGAUGGUAUAUCUAUUGUCACAGAUGGGUUAUCUGAUACAACAAAUAUACAAUCUGUUGCAACAACUCAAUAAAAAUAUUUAUUAUUUUAUUAAAAGAAAUGGUUAUUGAAUAGGUGAGAAGUCUUCGAUUAUUUAAUUGAGAAAAAGGUUAUUUAAAUUUAAGAACUAAUUAAUAAUAAUAAGCUGAAAAGUCAUGACUUGUCACAAUAAUAAAAAAAUCACCAGUUUGAUUUGAUUAAGUCAUUUCUUUUCACAGAAAGCAAUAAGAAAAUAAAUGGUAAACACAAUUUAUAACCGUAAAAAAAUGGUUAGUUAAUUUGAAUAAUUGAUGUUAAUAUUAAAUAAGCAACAAGUAGUGACUUUUCACCAUUUUUGUUUUUAAAUCUAUAUUUUAAUUUAUAUAAUAAAAUAGUCACCAAUUUGGAUUAAUGAAAGUGUAUGAUAUGAUGAUUAUUAAGAAAAAUAGAUUAUAUGUUGCAACAGAUUGAUUAUAUGUUGCAACAAAUAGAUUAUCUGAUGCAACAAAUGGUUGAUUUGCUGCAACAGAUAGUAUAUUGAUUAUAUUUAUACACUCUGACAAACGACUUCUACGUUUCAAUGGAAGGAACAUAUAGAAAAGCAAAGUUCGAUAAAACAUUUACAGAAGUAUGUUUUAUCGCGUUCUCAAAGUCAAAUAACUUAAAUUGAUAUGAUGGAUGGUAACUUAUAAUUAUUUUUUUAUAUAAUUUUUGAAAUACUUAAAAUUUAAAUUUAAAACAUGAAUUUAAUUUAGCUUCAAAGAACAAGUUGAAAAAUUGAUAAAAGAAUGACCAAGAACACAUGAAAUCACACACAAAAAACAAGCCACAAGUUCAAGAGCCGAGGAUCCCUUUGGUGACCAACUCUCGGAUUCAACAAACAAUCAACAAAACGAGAUGACAAGGGUGUUAACACACAAAAAAAAAACCAACCACACUAAGUUAAAACACAAUAUGAUGAACAAGAUAACAAUAACAACAAUGCGGUAACAAUAACAGCACCUCACGGGUUGGAGUACAAUUACAAAAAACAAACGAUUACAACACAAAAAAAGAGAUAGAUAGUUAGACAAGUGAAGGUAUAAUCUUAAGAACCUAAGACUUUGGUGGACUCUUGGACCCUUAACACUACACACGACAAACACCUAACUCCUACGUUGACACAAGAGGAACUUUACCUCCUCUAAACACCAACAUAUCAAGCCAACAUUGCAACAUAAGUGAUAUCCAUACUUGUUGCCCUCAUUUUGGUUUGGUGGCUAUUCAAGGCCCUAUAACUAAAGGUGUUACCAUGUUCCAAGUCUUACAUCCAUGAACAACUAAGAAAAUAAUCCAUAAAAUGUUCUACUUAUAAUAUAUUAUAAAAGAAGACAAAAUGACUACACUACCCUUAAUGAGAGGGGAGGCCAUGAAGUGCAUUUUGGAAAAAGUGGAGAGACAAAAAUGCCCUCAAUGAAGAUGGCCCAAAACCAUGAGCCAUUAAGUGUUCAAAACCGUGAAUCCUCAAGUCUUCAAUGCUCCAAGCAAUCUUCCACUCAUGGCCUUGAUAAAUGGUACGCUCAAUGGUAGGCUAAAAAUAGGUCUUCCUAGCAUAUUCUUGUGCCCUCGGGGUGACCAAGUCUUAAGCCUUUAAGUGAUGGUCUCCAAUCAUGUCUUCAAAAACUAGGGUGGCCAUUUGACUUAUAUCAUUCUCCCCUAACAUCCUUUGCUUUAAUCACGAGGGACUUAGCAAAAAUAUUACAAAGAAGUUGGAAAAAAGAAUCACCAUCAAGGGAAGAUGCCCUAAUUAAAAAUAAAGUCAACGCAACACAUAUAGCAAUAUUACUCAAACAAGUGGACCUACUAACAACUAUCCGUCCUUCACACCCUAAGAAGUUACCGGGAUAAAAUAGGAGAUGUAACCAAUGGCUUAGGUCUCGGCCACUCUUAUUCUCCCCUAGGGUGUUAGACUAAAAGAUAAGCAAGCCCUCUUUAUGACCAUUGAAAAUAUCAUGAACAAAAAGAGGGUUGAGAAAGGUGCUCCAUAAGUCAACCUCAAAUAAAGGGUUAGCAUGCACGCACUUACUACUAGUAUCAAAAUCUCCACUAGGAAUAUGUCCAACAUAAGAAGCACAUAAAGAAGAAGUAGCCGGAAUUUCUAAGCACACAUUACCUUCUCUUUCAAAUGAGCAAUCCUCACUUAGACACAAACCACCAUGGGCAGCCAAGGGUUCACAAGCAAAACAACCAUUACCAAGACAAUCAAAAUUUGGGUUUCCUAAACAAUCAAGCACAUCAAGGUCAUUUCCACCCGAUUGAUCAUUGUCCACAUCGUCACUAGUUGUUGGCAACUCAUAUACCAACGUUGGCCCACCUUGGUUUUCGCAAGGGUCAACUAGUGUGUGAAUUCUCUCUUCACUUAGUAAUGGAACCUUAGUCAAUUUAUAAGUGCUGGCACUAGAUGGACACAAGUCAUUCUCACGAGGAGAAUCAAUUUCGUCAUCUAAAGGAUUAACUAGUGACUGUAUACCUACAACAAGAGUUUGGUCCUCAUGCGACCUAACUAUACUGAGAGUAUCACAAAAAGGAGGCUUGAGCACCUCUACCUUAGGCAAAGCCGUAACUACUCCUACUUGGAUCCUACUAGCCACAACACAAUCGUAGCUCACAUGGCUAUGGCCUUUCUCUUGACGUGUGUCCGGGCAGACCAUUUUCUCCAUUUGACCUAGUAUAUGAUCCAAACUUUCAUUUGCCAUAGCUGGUCUCGGGACAUAGUGUCAAGGUAGGCUAAAAUGAUAUUGGUUGCAUUGUUGUCCAUGGGUUGAGAGGUUGAGCCACGGGUUCCCUUGUAAUUGUACCUAAAAAAAAUAAAAGAACAAGCCUAAAAAUCAAAACACAAGUUAGUUCAAAACAACCUUACCGCAUUCUCACAUACUAGAUCAUCUAACACUUAGAGUUACAAGUGUUGCAAGUCGGCUUGUAGUUCGUGAUGAGUCGAGAGGUGAAUAUACUCCUUGGUCGGAAAGAAUUCUUUAUUUGAAGACUCAUGGAAAUGAUGUCCAAACUUGAAAGUGAUGACGUGUUACCCUAUAAUUGGCCACGACUUUCACUAAUUUUAAUUAUCAAGUAGAUGUUUUUGGUCACUUCUCUAUUUGGAAUGGAUGCAAUUAGUUUUGGAGGGAAAGUGUAAGUCUUAGAACCUUUGUCAAUUUCAAUCUUCAAAAAGGUAUGACUUGACUUGUACUAUUCCCACAAACAAGGCCCUUGAAAUAGGGAAGGUGGUUAAAAAUGUUGAUGUCAAGUCUAGGAAGUGAUGGGUUCAAGUCUUCUCACAAACAAACACUACAACUUUUAUCUUUACCUUUUUGAAUCAAUUUUGCACUUUUUGUUGGUCAAGUUAUAAGAAUAGGUGAAGAACAAGAUAAAAACAACAACAACCAUUAUGAACACCAUAACAACAUACCAAUAAUGUCCAUUCCAACGGCAAACAACAACAACACAUGGCCACUUUCAAGUUUACAACAACAAUGUCAAUGUUUUAAGCUCAAACUUUAGUUCUACACACUUGUAGUGUUGGUGAGAAUGAAACUAACACUAGAAACAAGAAAAAGACUACUAGUUCUAGACAACACAAUUUGGCCAAGACAACAACAACAAGAUCUUCAAGUUCUCAUCCAAGAACACUAAACACAAGAAUACUCUUUUUUUGAAGUUUCUAACAAGCAAGCCCAAGAUUGAUCUUUCAAGAACAAUAUCAAGCCAUGAUCUGAUACCAAAUGAUACAAGAAAAGCCAAGAACACAUGAAAUCACACACCAAAAACCAUCCACAAGUUCAGGAACCGAGGACCCCUUUGGUGACCAACUCUCGGAUUCAACAAACAAUCAACAAAAUGAGAUGACAAGUUUGUUAAAACACCAAAAACAACCAACCAAGAUAAGUUAAAACAAAAGAUGUGAACAAGAUAACAAUAAAAACAAUGUUGUAAAAAUAACAGCACCUCACGGGUUGGAGUAUAAUUACAACAAACAAACUAUUACAACAUAAACAAAGUGAUAGAUAGUUAGACAAGUGAAGGUAUAAUUUAAGAACCUAAGACUUUGGUGGAAUCUUGGAACCUUAACACUACACACGACAAAAACCUAACUCCUACGUUGACACAAGAGGAACUUUACCUCCUCUAAACAUCAAUGUAUCAAGCCAACAUUGCAACACAAGUGAUAUCCAUAUUUGUUGCCUUUAGUUCGGUUUGGUGUCUAUUCCAAGACCUAUAACUAAAGGUAUUACCAUGUUCUAAGUCUUAAAUCCAUGAACAACUAAGGAAAUAAUCCCUAAAAGGUUCUACUUAUAGUACAUUAUAAAAGAAGACAAAAUGACUACACUACCCUUAUGAGAGGGGAGGCCAUCGAGUGAAUUUUGGGAAAAGUGAAGAGACAAAAAUGCCCUCAAUCCGUGAGCCAUUAAGUGUUAAAAAUCAUGAAUCCUCAAGUCUUCAAUACUCCAAGCAAUCCUCCACUUACGGCCUUGAUGAAUGGUAUGCUCAAUAGCAGGCUCAAAAUGGGUCUUCCUUGCAUAUUCUUGUUCCCUCGGGGUGAUCAAGUCUUGAGCCUUUAAGUGAUCGUCUCCAAUUAUGUGUUCAAAAUUAGGGUGGCCAUUUGACUUGUAUAAUCCUCCCUUUAUUGAAAGGAUUCGACCUCGAAUCCAAACCUUACAAGAACAAAGAGAAGACAAACAAGCACCACAUCUUCAUGACAUAAGGGUUAGAUUUAGUACAAUAAACAACAUUAAUAUGCCAAGGAGGUACAGACUUGAGAUAUAACCACACAUCCUUUGUUUUAAUCACGAGGGACUUCACAAAAAAUAUUACAAAGGAGUUAGAGAAAGUAAUCACCAUCAAGGAGAGGUGACCUAAUUGGAAAUAAAGUCCACACAACACAUAUAACAAUAUUACUCAAACAAGUGGACCUACCAGUAACUAUUCAUCCUUCACACCCUAAGAGGUUACCGGGGUCGAAUGGGAGACGUAACCAAGGGCUUAGGUCUCGGCUACUCUUAUUUUCCCCUAAGGUGUCAUCCUCAAAGUUAAGCAAGCCCUCUUCAUCACCAUUGAAAAUAUCAUGAAAAAAAGAGGGUUGAGAAAGGUGUUCCAUAAGUCAAAUUCAAAUAAAGGGUUCUCAUGCAUGCACUACUAGUUUAAAAAUCUCCAAUAGGAAUAUGCCCAACAUAAGAAACACAUACAAAAAAAGUAGAUGGAAUUUCUAAGCACACAUCACCUUAUCUUUAAAAGGAGCAAUCCUCACUUAGCAUAAACCACCACGGGCAGCCAAGGGUUCACAAGAAAAACCACCUUUAACAAGACAAUCACAAUUAAGGUUCCCUAAAUAAUCAAGCACAUCAAGGUCAUUUCCACCCUAUUGAUCACUGUCCACAUCAUCACUAGUUAUCGAAAACUCAUAUACCAACGUAGGCCACCUUGGUUUUCAUAUGGGUCAACUAGUGUGUGAAUACUCUCUUCACUUGGUAAUGGAACCUUAGUUAAGUUAUAAGUGCUAGCACUAGAUGGACACAAGUCGUUCUCACGAGGAGAAUCAAUUUCAUCAUCUAAAUGAUCGACUAGUGCUUGCAUACCUACAACAAAAGUUUGGUCCUCAUGGGACCUAACAAUACCGAGAGUAUAACAAAAAGGAGACUCGAGCACCUCUACCCUAGGCAAAUCAGCAACUACACCUACAUGGCUCCUGCUAGCCACAACACAAUAUUCUAUGUUCAUAGGAGUAUAGGGGAUAGCGUUUUUACCUCAUAGCUCACAUGAGCUAUGACCUUCCUCUUGACGUGUGUCCGGGUAGUAAACUUGAUCCCUUUGACCUACUAUACGAUCCAACCUUUCAUUUACCAUAGCUAGGUCUUGGGACAUAGUGUCAAGGUAGGCCAAAAUGACAUUGGUUGCAUUAUUGUCCAUGGGUUGAGAGGUUGAGCUGCGGGUUCCCUUGUAAUUGUACCUAAAAAAAUAAAGAACAAGCCUACAAAGCAAAACACAAGUUAGUUCAAAACAACCUUACCGCAUUCUCACAUACUAGAUCAUCUAACACUUAGAGUUACAAGUGUUGCAAGUCGGCUUGUAGUUCGUGAUGAGUCGAGAGGUGAAUAUACUCCUUGGUCGGAAAGAAUUCUUUAUUUGAAGACUCAUGGAAAUGAUGUCCAAACUUGAACCAAGGAAUUCUACAAUUCAAAAAUAAUUAAAGAACAAAAUACUGCUAACACGUAAAAAUGUACUCAAAAACUAAUUUACAAUCUAGUAGAGGAGUACUAGCUUGUCGAUUAUUUAUUAGAGUCAACAAAUGAAACUAAGAAUCAACAAAUAAGAAACUAAUAAUCCAAGUUUGAGCUUAAAUUAACAUGUGAACAGUGAAAGUGAUGACGUGUUACCCUAUAAUUGGCCACGACUUUCACUAAUUUUAAUUAUCAAGUAGAUGUUUUUGGUCAAUUCUCUAUUUGGAAUGGAUGCAAUUAGUUUUGGAGGGAAAGUGUAAGUCUUAGAACCUUUGUCAAUUUCAAUCUUCAAAAAAGUAUGACUUGACUUGUACUAUUCCCACAAACAAGGCCCUUGAAAUAGGGAUGGUGGUUGAAAAAGUUGAUGUCAAGUCUAGGAAGUGAUGGGUUCAAGUUUUCUCACAAACAAACACUACAACUUUUAUCUUCACCUUUUUGAAUCAAUUUUUCACUUUUUGUUGGUAAAGUUAUAAGACUAGGUGAAGAACAAGAUGAAUACAAAAACUUUCAAGAACACCAUAACAACAUACCAAUAAUGUCCAUUCCAACAUAAAACAACAAGUCUACAACACAUGACCACUUUCAAGUUCACAACAACAAUGUCAAUGUUUUAAGCUCAAACUUUAGAUCUAAACACUUGUAGUGUUGGUGAGAAAGAAACCAACACCAGAAACACUUUAAAUAAGAAAAAUACUACUAGAUCUAGACAAUACAAUUCGUCCAAGACAAAAACAACAAGAUAUUCAAUUUCUCGGCCAAGAACACUAAACACAAGAACUUCUUUUUCUUUUUUUUUUUGAAUUUUCUAACAAGCAAGCCCAAGAUUGAUCUUUUAGGAACAAUAUCAAGACAUGAUCUGAUACCAAAUAAUACAAAAAUGACCAAGAACACAUGAAAUCACACACCAAAAACCGUCCACAAGUUCAAAAACUUUUAACCCUUUUAGUAACCAACUCUCAGAUUCAACAAACAAUCAACAAAACUAGAUGACAAGGGUGUUAACACACCAAAUACAACCAACCAAACUAAGUUAAAAUACAAGAUGAUGAACAAGAUAACAAUAACAAAAAUGUGGUAACAAUAACCGCACCUCAUGGGUUAGAGUACAAUUACAACAAACAAAUAAUUACAACAUAAACAAAGGGAUAGAUAUUUAGACAAGUGAAGGUAUAAUCUUAAGAACUCAAGACUUUGGUGGACUAUUGGACCCUUAACACUACACACAACAAACACCUAACUACUACGUUGACACAAGAGGGUCUUUACCUCCUCUAAAUACCAACGUAUCAAGCCAACAAUGCAAAAACAAGUUAAUCUUCAAUUGCCUAGCCCUAGUUUUGGUUUUGAGUUCACUCUCAAGACUAAGAGAGAACUUUGGAUGUUACAAUGUCUCAAGUUUCAACAAUAAUCCACUAAGACCUCAAUGAAGAUGGACCGAGACCAUGAGCCAUUAAGUGUUCAAAACCGUUAAUCUCCAAGUAUUCAAUGCUCCAAGCAAUGUUUCACUCACAACCUUGAUGAAUGGUAUGCUCAAUGGUAGGCUCAAAAUGGAUCUUUCAUCCACUUUCAUUAUCCUUUUCAAGACCUAUUUAGAACCUAUUGUUUUAUUUCCUGGAGUAAUAUCAACCAACUCCAACGUAUGGUUGCUCAAAAUUGAUUCAAUCUCACUAUUGACUGCCUUUUUCCAAAAGAAUGAGUCUAAAGACGACAUCGCUUCUUUAAAUAUUUGAGUCUCAUUUUCUAAGAGAAAUGUUACAAAAUUUGAUUCAAACGAAGUUGAGUUCUUUGACGUGUACUCUUGGAUUCUCAUCAUUAUAUACAUCCCCACUUGGUUCAUCUCAAGGUCAUUUAUACCUUCACUAAAUUGUUCAUGUCUAGUUCUAUACAGAUAAAUGUGUUCAAAGAACUCAGCAUUAUCUGAUUCAAUUACCUUAUUUUCAUUGAUAUCCAAAUGUUUUGAUUUAUGAAUCAAAAAUCGAUAUGUUUUACUACUUUUAGCAUAUCUUAUGAACACACAGUCCACUGUCUUAGGUCCUAUUUUCACCCUUUUUGGCAUAGGAACUUGAACUUUUGCUAGACACCCCCACACUUUAAAAUAUUUCGAGUUGGAUUUUCUUUUUUUCAUUUUUCAUAUGGAAUUGAUUGUGAAUUACUAUGGGGAACUCUAUUGAGUAUUCGGUUAGCUGUAAGGAUAGCUUCCCCCCAUAAGUUUUGUGAUAAACCUGAACUUAUUAAUAAGGCAUUCAUUAUUUCCUUUAGGGUUUGAUUUUUUUUCCGUAAUUCCAUUAGAUUGAGGUGAAUACGUGGUCAUAGUUUGAUGGAAAAUUACAUUCUCGACACAUAUAUUUGCAAAUGGAGAUUCAUGUUCUCCACCCCUAUCAUUUCUUAUUAUUUUGAUCUUUUUCUCAAACUGAUUGCAACUUAUGUUUUAUAUUGCCUAAACGCAUCUGUUGCUUCAUCCUUACUAUUUUUCAAAUAGACAUAAUAAUACCUCAUGCAAUCAUCAAUAAAAGUUAUAAAAUACUUUUUCCACCACGAAAUGAUGUUGACUUCAUAUCACAAAUAUUAGUGUGAAUUAAGUCUAAGGGAUUGAAAUUCCUUUCAACAGACUUAUAAGAAUGCUUGGCAUACUUUGAUUCCACAUAUGUUUGGUAUUUUGAUGUAUUGCACUUAAAGUUUGGCAAAACUUCUAAGUUAAUCAGUUUUUGUGGAGUUUUGUAAUUGACAUGUCUUAAACAUUCAUGCCAUAAUUCAUUAAACUUAAGAAAAUAAAAAGAAAUAGAACUUUUAUUGAUUUCAACUGUCAUUACAUUCAUUUUGGAUAGGUUCUCAGUGAGGUAGCCUUUUCCUAUAUACACUUCUCCUUUGCUAAAUACAUUCUUGCUAGAAAUAAAUACACAUUUGAAUCCAUUUUUAUCAAGAAGUGAUAUAGAAAUCAAAUUCUUCCUUAACUUUGGUACAUACAGGUCAUUGUUAAGAGUCAAAACUUUGCCUAAUGUCAUUUUCAGGCAGACUUUUCCUAUUCCUACAACUUUUGAAGUUGCAAAGUUUGCAAAAUAGAUCUUAUCUUUGCCUUGAGAUGGAGUAAAUGCAGGUAACAACUCUUUAUUUGCACAAACGUCGCAGGUAGCACCGGAAUCCAUCCACCGUUCACAAGGAUUUUCCACCAAUUUACAUUCAGGCAAUAUGGUACACAGAUUGUCUAUUUCGUUCUUGGAUUUAGCCAUAUUUUCAUGGUAUUUCUUUUUGCCUUUCUUUGGGGCAUGACUAUCUGUUGACUUGUGGCCAAUCUUGCUACAAUUAAAGCAUUUUCCCUUGAAUUUCUUCUUAGGUUGAUUGCUUUCUUAUCUAUCUUUCUUUUAUUUUUUUGAGUUGUUGUGAUCAUCUUCUGCCAUGUUUGCUCCACUCAUUGCAGAAUUUUCUUUUGACCUCCUUUCUGAGGCUUUGUUGUCUUCUUCAAUGCGUAACCUUACUAUGAGAUCUUCGACUAUCAUCUCCUUUUGUUUAUGUUUCAAGUAGUUCUUGAAGUCCUUCUACAUAGGUGGCAACUUCUCUAUUAUUGCAGCGACUUGAAAUGCCUUGUUCACAAUCAAACCUACAAUAAAGUUCAAGAAUAUUUUUAACAUGUUCAAAUAAGGUAUUCACCAAACUCAUACCUUCUGCAAGGAGAUCGUCGAUGAUAACUUCCAGUUCCUAUACUUGAGAUAAGACAGACUUGCUGUCAAUCAUUUUAUACUCAAGGAAUUUUGCAACAAAGAACUUCUUGGUUCCAGUGUUUAGUCUUGUAUUUUCUUUCCAGUGCACUUCAUAACUCUUUUGACAUCUUCGUUCCACUAUACACGUUGUAUAGGUCAUUUGUGAGGCCACUUAGAAUGUAAUUCUUGCAGAUAAAAUCAGAAUAGUUCCACGCCUCCAUAACAACAAAUCGCUUCUAGUCCGAACUUUCUUCGGGCAAUUCUGGAGCUUCUUCAGAUGUAAAUCUUUGAAGAUACAAGAUUGUAAGGUAGAAGAACAUCUUCUAUUGCUACCUUUUAAAAUCAACACUCGUGAAUUUUUUGAAUUUCUCCGCUGAUGUCAUUGCUUGGAUUAACUCGUACGACUAGUUGUAGCAACAUUCGUUGCUACCACACUUGUCCCAGCAUCAUUCACAUGACCGUCUAUAGUCAUUUUUUUGUCACAAAAAGACAGUCAACUUUAGUAUAAAAUAUACUAAUUACAAGUUCGUAGCAACUUAUAAAUACUACUUAUUUCUAGUUUCACGAUAAAGUUUUUAUGUCUUUCAAUUGUUAACUGAAUGACCUUCAACUUUUGAUGAAUUUUUUAUUUCUACAAAUCACUUGUUAAGUUUAAACAGAGUCGAAAGCAAAAAGCUCAAAUCUCCAGAAACUAAAUAAUACAGACCACGAAGAUUAAUUCCUUAAGAUUGUUGUUUCGGGUACACAAUCUGUAUAUUUAUACAUUAAACUUCAACACAAGUUCAAGACCAUUUCAAGAACACUUAUGAAGUUUUUCAACACCUUCAACACAAGUUCAAUAUGAACUAUCAAAGAAGUGUGUUAUAUUUAAGAAAUAAGAUGAAAUAGAAAUAAAGCCAAGUCCUCCGAAUUCACGGAGUGUCCUUAAGAAAUUAAUUCCCCUCAAGUACCUAAGGUGUGAAAUUUUUUCUCCCAAGAUAAAAUGGCUUACAAUCCGACAGUAGCAGCACCUCAAACUAUCGGAUUGUUCAAACUCACUCAACGGGAGAUGAUCACAAUGGGUUUUUGGUAGACAAGAAGUGUUUUUCAUCUCUCAAAAUUAUAUAUCUACCCGAGGAAUAAGUCAGGUAUUUAUAGCCAUUAGGUGUCUCUUCAAAAAGAAAGCAUUAGUUCUAAAAAAAGUUGCAUUGUUACUGAACAGUCACGUCACCUGCACCUAGUCUAUGCUGGAACUGCACUUGACCUACAGUCGCAGGUGACGUUUUGCCCAUUCCAGUGCCUUCUGCUCUUUACCUACGUCAGGCAGAGCCAGCCUGCACUAGGUCUGCGCUUGACCUACAUCCACAGGUCACUCUUUUUUCAACACAAUGUGUCUUUCUCUAAAGGUUGUGUUCCUUUUGAGAUGCGUUGCGCAUGCAUUUGCAUGGCGUAUGAAAUGCGUACGCAUAUCAAGAAAAUUAUUUCAUUAGACUUUUGGAUUAAAAAUUCACUUGUUUUACAAAGUUUCAAAUAAAAUUUCUCUAGAAAAUUAAUCUCAUCAAUUGAUUUUCCAAAUCUGAAGCCGAGUCGAUUAAGCAACAAUGACUAUGAUGAGAGGCACCUCUUUGUUCUUCUUUCCCUAAAAAAUCCAUGUGGAGAAGUGUUUCUUUAUAAGAACACAUGAAAGUUUCUUUCUCCCACCAAUGUGGAAAAUUAGUAAACUUUCCUUAUUUUUUAGUAAACUUUUCUUUCUAAGUUUGAUCUCAUUUUUCCCUCCACCAAAUCCCUCCAUUUACCAUUCACACAUUCAACUUGAACCCAAUGUUUUUUGGUAUCUGUACUUCAAAAAUCUACGGAUAAUAAGAGAUAAUACAACAAUUAACCAAGAAUGUACUUUAAAGGCCUAAAAAUAUAAUAAGUGAGCUUAAAUAUAUUAAAAUUUUACGAGUUAUCAAUUAUCUCUUUUCCCUUGAACUUGACUAUUUGAUAGUCUAUUUUAAUUAUAGAAAAAAAAGGACGAUUUGAUAGUCUUUACUCAGUCUUCUUUAAAUGUGCUAGGAUAAUUUUAUAUUAAACAUUAACUCUCACAUAGGCUAUUUUUCUUCUCCUUUUUCUUUUUUUUUGAUUAAAAGAUGAAUUUAUUCAUUACUAUUAAUAUGCAUUAUAAAAUUUUACAGAAGGAGUUGCAACCAGCUUAUCAGUGGCUAAAGGAGGCCUAGUACUAGUUACAUAAUCCUGACAAUAAGAGGACCCAAUAGGCCCAACAAAAGGAGUUACAUAAUACCGAUAGUUAGGGGGUAUAGCAGGCCCUAAAAAUGGAGUUCCACUAUUGUCUGCACUCUGCACCUAUCAAGGGAGAACAAACACCGGCGGAGCUGACCAUAUAACAAAAGGUUAUUAUUUGACAACUUGUGACCCUCUUUAGCUAGCCUAUCUGUGACUCUGGGGCCUUUAUGCCAAAAAGACUCUUUAUCCAAACUAUUUUGUCAAAUACCCACAAGUUUUAAAUCCUUUGCCAAAUACCCACUUAAUUCUACCUCACCACCAACUUUUCCAACUUAAUAAUUUCAGCCCCAACCUUUAUAAUAAUUGACUUUAACCCAAUACUUCCAACUUAAUAAAUUCACCCAUAAGUUUCUAAUAAUACACUUCAACCCACUCCAUCAUCCACCACUAUAUAUAUAAAAAUAAUAUCAAGGUUUCCAAAAAUAUUAAAAAAAUAAUUCCAAAAGCUAAAAAUAGAAAUUGGUCAUUUUUUCCACCAAAAAGCUCCGAUUCCAGCCACUUUUCCGGCGUAAUUUUCCGGCGAUCAGCUGUAAAUUAGUCCACAAACAUCAUAAGCUUGUCCAUUGCAUUCAUUGUUACCCCAUUUAUUUCCUAUCUUCUCAAACACACUUUCCACCAUUGUUAAAAGGCUUUAAAUCACUCACAUUACUCAAAACCACUUUAGAAAGUGCAUUACAGCAGCUCAGGCGACUCCAAGUUCAUUUCUUUAUUCUAUAAACCCAACAAUCAUUGAUUACAAGCAAUAUUUUCAAUUUCAAGUAUUUGUACGAAAAUCUGCACAGUCAUCGAUCCGUCCUCGCCAAUCAUCGAUCGUGCAUACAACACGACAUAGACCAUAAGCAUAAUCUACCAUCGAUCGAAGCUUAAUUCUAGGAUGUCUAUUGUAGAAUUUAUUCUGGUUUCUGGUGAUUUCAUGGGAGAAUAGGUGGAGAAUUUGAAAUGUUGGAAAUGGAGAUCAUUUACCAAGGUGACUAUUCCCAUUCUUGUUCGCCGCAAUAGUUCAUACGACAAAUUUAUUGCAAGCAUAAUGCAGAGAGGGGAUCUAGAUUGCACGUCGUGCGACGUGAUGAUUAGUUAUGUAAUGUAUUUGAGCAAAAAGGUGAAUCCUACGAUCAUAAAUAGCGAUGUACAUGUGAUGACAUACAUAAUAGAUGCUGAUGCAGAUGGCUUUAGGCUAAUUUUGAGGAUAAAUAUGGUUGAGAGGUUCUUUGAAGGACCACUGAAUUCAUCAGCAUCCCUACCGCGGUGCCCGGCAGUCAACAAUGAUUUGAUCGAUGAUGAUUUGAAUGAUUACAAGAACGAUGUCGAUGAUACAAUUAAUAUGGAAGAUUAUUCUAUGCAUAUGGAAGACUUUUCAUCGGACUCGCAAGAUGCUAAAGAAGAUCGUAAAAUGGAAUCACAAGCAGGACACUCCUUUACUGAUGAAACUAAUUUUUGUUGUGGUCAAACAUUCAUCGAUAAAAAAGAGCAGAAAUACAACUAGACGCAGCAGUUGCGAGGCAGUUUUUUGAUUAUUAUAUGGAGAAGAGCUGCACGAAAUUGAUGAAGGCGCAAUGCUUAUCUCGUGGUUGUGGCUGGCUGUUGUAGGCAAAAAUGUAUGACACCUCAGACAAGUUUUGCAUAUACAAGUAUGUCGGGAUGUACAUGUGCGACGUUGAAAACGCCACCUGCAAACCCCAAAAAGUCUCAUCCAAAUUCAUUUCUUCAGUAUGCGUAAAUCAUUUUCAGAAUGGUAAGGGUCUAAGCAUAAGAGAAAUUCAAAGAAUUGUAUUUAAGGAGUUGUGUUGUAACGCAAGCUAUUGGAUGUGUUGGAAAGGAAGUGCAAUUGCGAAGAAAAUCAUUCGCGAGACACCGGAGCAAGGAUAUGCUUUCUUGCCGACUUUUUCUCACAUGGUGGAGUUAUUGAAUCUCGGGUCUUCUUACUCUAUCAUGGUAAAUCGGAUGGAUGGAUCAUUCAUUUACUACUUCUUAGCAUUUGGAGCUUGCAUACCAGGAUAUGCCUACAUGAGAAAGGUAAUUGCCAUCGAUGGCACACAUUUGUAUGGCAAGUAUGGGGGUGUUCUGAUGAGUGCCAUUGUACAGGCUACCGAAAAUCAUAUAUUUCUAAUUGCCUUUUGUGUCGUCGAUAAAAGGAACGAUGCUUCUUGGACCUUCUUCUUCCAGAAGCUGAAGCCUAUCAUAGAAGAUGAACCAGAUCUAUACGUCAUCUCCGACAGGCAUAUUAGCAUCGCCAAUGCCUUCUCUCGUGUAUACAAUGGUGCACAUCAUGGACUUUGUAUGAGGCACCUCGCUGAAAAUCUUCACAUAAAUCAACACUGCAGAGAACAUCUUUAUCUAUUCUAUACUUCGGCAAAGGCUUAUUCCUUUGAUCAGUUUAGCAAUAAUUUUGUGGAAUUGAAGAUUAAAUACCCCGAGGCAUCUCAUGUCCUUGAAAAUGUGCUUGGUUUUGAAAAAUGGAGUAGAGCACACUUUUUGGGCAAUAGGUACGACGUGAUGACCACAAACAUCACCGAGUCGCUCAACUCGAUUUUGAUAGAUAAACGGGAGUACCCCAUGUCAUACAUAUUUAAUUCAAUUGCUAAAAAAUUUGAUGAAAAGUUUAGGAAGCGGGAUGCAUUUGUUGGUGGUAAAGAGAACAUAUUUAUACCUUCUGCGGAAAGGAUCCUAAGGGAUAAUAAGAGUGCGAGCGAUUCCUUGUAUAUGGGUAAUACAAACGGGGUUCUCCAUGAGUAUACUUUGUUCAGUAACAGCGCUACUGCCAAGGUCAAUCUCUUGGAGAAGAGCUGUUCUUGUCAAAAAUUUGACUUGGUGAAAAUGUCGUGCAAACACGCGAUGGCAGCUUUGUGAGAAAAGUACGGCAAUGGCGAAGAUUAUGGUAAAUCCAUCUACGAAUACUCUUCGCCAAUUUAUAAAGCUGAAAGUUACCUCCUCACAUACUCAAAAGUAAUUAAUGUGGUCCCUCUGGAGGCUGAAUGAACUGUGCCACAGAAAUUGGUAGACACCAAAAUUUCUCCACCCCCGUACGAUCCCAAACUUGGAAGGAAGAAAGUCAAACAAACUAAGGGCCUCGGUGAGACAUUCAAGUCCAAAAGGAGGAAUAGGUGUUCAAUAUGCAAUAAAUACGGACACAAAAGAACUACGUGUAGAAUGGGCAUCAAAUCAUAAAUAGGCUUUUUUUAGCUUCAGUUGUAAAGCUACUGUUUUGGGGGAUGAAUAUGCAUUUUUGUAGAUUUUAACAUUCAGUUAUUAUCGACCUAAAGUUUUAUCUGCGAUAGACUAUCUAUGGUCUACGGUAUAUAUAAUAUAUGGUCUAUAAAAUAUUAUGUAUUGAUUAUAUUAUUGUUGAUCUAACACAUUAUGUUGGUCAUUUUCUCGGCCUAUCUCUCCAAUCGAUGCAAUAAAUCAUUAUUUCCCUUGUUUCCCGUUCCCAUUUAUUAAAAAGCUGCACAAAAUGUCUCUUCACGAGGAAAAAUAGCUGGUAUACGCAUACGAAACAUUUUCUCUUGUCAGACACGUCGACCUACCAUUGGGUGGAUAUAUGAACGAACGCAAUCUACAGGUCUAUAAGUACAGGCCCUCUUUCUACGCAAUCCUUCAGUUUUCCCUAAACCAAAAAUAUCAGAAAUCAUCUCUUCUUCUUCUUCUUCACCCAAAUCAAAAAGAUACCUCUAAGAAGGAUACCCCUGCGCCCCAUCAGACGUGUUCCUCCGAGGCACUACGACCUCCUCCUCCUAAGGAAUGAUUUAGACCGGUUUUUCUAUGAGCUGGGUCAAGACUGCAUCUACCUAGAGCAGGAGCUCCGUCGAAUUGCUCGUUUCUCGAUGGCAAUUCUGGAAAGGUUCGGAAUGGAAGACCCUGACUAUAUCACCCCCCCUUCCCCACCAUUCCCAUAAUUUAGUUUAAAUGUUUUACUUUAGUAUAUGUUUUUAAGUUUUUUUUAUUUGUUCAUUGCUGAAGAAGCUUUCUUUGUAGGAUCUUGUUAGAAGAAAGCUUCUUCCAUUUUCCCCUUUUUGAUGUAAAUUUUAUUAUGUAAUGCAAUGAACAAUUUUAAUACAACUAUGUUUCAGUUUCUUUUAAUAUUGUGUGUUUGCCAUCUUUGUUCUGAUCCCUUGUUUGAAAACUCGAAUCAAAUAUGUCUGCCUUUUCAAGUUACAGUAUUAUGGCUUGACUAAUUUCCUGAAGAGUAUAGAUUUUAUACAAAGUAUUUCGUCGACUGUACAUAUUAGUCGAUCAUAGACUACAUGAAUUGAUUGAUCAUCAGGUAAAUUAAAACAAACAAUAACAGAUUUUCAAAAAAUAAUUUAAUUUUAAAAGAUUUAAACAACUUAUCACAUGUUAUAUGGCUGGUAGAAGAAAAUAAUUAAAUUAAAAUGAUUUAAAUAGAUAAUCACACGUUUUGGGAAUUAUGAAAGACAAUUAUUAAAUUUAAAAAAUUAAAUAAAUAAUAGUAACAUGUAUUUUGGGCUGGUGGAAGAAAAUAAUUAAAUUAAAAAUGAUUUAAAUAGAUAAUCACACGUUUUGGGAAUUAUGAAAGACAAUUAUUAAAUUUAAAAAAUUUAAAUAAAUAAUAGUAACAUGUAUUUUAGGCUGGUGGAAGAAAAUAAUUAAAUUAAAAAUGAUUUAAAUAGCGAUCAGUCUGGUAUAUCUAGACUUUCAUGUUUAUUAUCGCAUCGACUGAUAUCAUUUUUAUGCGUAGACCAUGGUGAUCUAUGUACACAGUUAUAGACCAUUACUUGGAUGUAGUUAAAAAAUAAUUAAAUAAAUUAUAAAUAAAUGUGGUGUGGAUUUCUACACAUGUUAAGAUGUGUAAACAAGUCACAUAAUNNNNNNNNNNNNNNNNNNNNNNNNNNNNNNNNNNNNNNNNNNNNNNNNNNNNNNNNNNNNNNNNNNNNNNNNNNNNNNNNNNNNNNNNNNNNNNNNNNNNNNNNNNNNNNNNNNNNNNNNNNNNNNNNNNNNNNNNNNNNNNNNNNNNNNNNNNNNNNNNNNNNNNNNNNNNNNNNNNNNNNNNNNNNNNNNNNNNNNNNNNNNNNNNNNNNNNNNNNNNNNNNNNNNNNNNNNNNNNNNNNNNNNNNNNNNNNNNNNNNNNNNNNNNNNNNNNNNNNNNNNNNNNNNNNNNNNNNNNNNNNNNNNNNNNNNNNNNNNNNNNNNNNNNNCCACAUUUAUUUAUAAUUUAUUUAAUCAUUUUUUAACUACAUCCAAGUGAUGUUAUAACCUUGUACAUAGAUCAUCGUGGUCUACGCCUAAUCAUGAUAUCAGUCGAUGCGAUAAUAAACGUGUAAGUCUACAAUAGACUAUACUGAUCGAUGGAUGACAUAGUUUAUGAUCUACGACGGUCUAUUAAGUGUCAUCACCAGUCCAAGAUCAUCUAUUUAAAUCAUUUUUAAUGUAAUUGUUUUCUUCCACCGGCCCCAAACACAUGUGAUUAUCCAUUUAAAUCAUAUUAUAUUGAAUUAUUUUCUUCCACCAGCCCCAAAACAUGUUACUAUUAUCUAUUUAAUUUUUUUUAAUUUAAUUAUUCAUUUUUUAACUACCUCCACGUGAUGGGAUAUAGAUGUGUACAUAGAUCACGGUAGUCUCCGCAUAAUCAGGAUAUCAGUAGAUGCACUACUAAAGGUGUAAGUCUAUGAAACCAUACAAAUCGAUGGCUGACAUAGGUCAUGAUUUACGAAAGUCUAUUUAGUGUCACCACCAGUUCAAAAGAGAAAAAUUACUUUUCCAACGGUAAAAAAUGGCUACUUUUGUAAGCCAUCAGUGUGAACACUUUGUUUUUACUUCAUAUAUAAGGUGUACAUCCCUCCUUAUUUUAUUUCAUCAACUUUAUUUUGUUUUUAAAAAUUCUACAAUGUCACAAGAAUAUCAAUCAUCUAAUUCUAAAAAUACUCUAAUUUGUCAUUGUGGGAAUGCGGUUGUCUUGAGGACGUCACUCACGGAUUCAAAUCCACGUCACAAAUUUUAUAAUUGUGCAAUUGAAAAGGUGAGGUGUGCAUGUUUUCUGUAAAAAAGUUAAGUUAAUGGCUAUGUAAUUGUUAUUUUUCCCUAGGAUAAUGGUGCAUGCUCGUUUUUCAAAUGGCUUGAUGAGCUAUCACCUCCAUCUAGUCCAUCAACGUUUAUUCCGGGACUCGAGACAUCAAUUUUUCAAGGCUUGGCAAAAUUUAGUCUACUACAAAGGCUCCAACAAUGCGAAAAAAAUAAAGAUUUUCUCAUGACUUUGUUCAAAGAAGCCAAAGAACAGAGGGAUCACUUUAAGCUAUUGCUACAUGACACCCAAAUAGAGAGGGAUCAACUAAAACAAAAAUUGAUUUUGGCCGGAGAAAGAGAGAAUGUCCUAAAAAUGAUGUAUGUGCUAUAAUGCUAGUAUUCGUUCUUUGAAAAAGUGUAAUGUGGAUGUAGUGAUAUUGAAUAAAUAAUAAUAGUUGCACUUUUGUAUAAUGUUAAAUACUAUUUUUGAUAGAAUCAUAGUCGAUUAAACAACACGUCAACUUAAAUUCGACCAGCAAGGUAAUGAUAGACUAUGCAUACAAUAUAUGGAAUAUUAAGUAUGCAUUCUAUGAUAUCAAGCAUAUAAUGUACCAACUAUGACCACACCCUGCAUAUUCAAAUUCCAUACCACAAAUCAAUUUGAUAGAAACAGAUUCAGCUCAGAAUCAUAACAAGUUUCAUAAAAGAAAAGAAUAAUUAUCAUAUCCUACCACUAGAUCCUUCAAACUUCAUAUUUGUGAAAUAAAAAAAAAUUGUCAUAUCCUAACAAAUCAUCAUUUAACAACAAAUUAAACAUUUUAGCAUUUAAAAGUCUCUUUCACUAAGUUCCUCAUCAACACAAGUGUUACUGUUGAUUUCAUCAACAAUGUCCAUGACCACAUCUAUUUGGACAGCUUCAACUUCUUUUUUCUCAACAAUUGUAGUUGCUUCUUCAUUCUUACCUUCUUCUCCUUCUUUUUCAGCAUGUGCAUCAGCUGCUGCUUCUUCAGUUUCCUUUUCUUCCACACCUUGUUUUCUUACUUCACCUGCAGCAGCUGUUUCUUCCUCAGCUUCAGUAGUUGUUUCUUCCUCAGCUUCAGCAGCUGUUUCUUUCUCAGCUUCUUCUUUUUUUCACCUGCUGCUUCUCGCUCAACUUCUUCUUUGUCAGCUUUGUCAGCUGCUUCUUCAACAGUUUUUCCUUUUUGGGCCUCCUUGUUCAUCUGCUGCCGCUUUUUCUUCUUUUGCUGCUGUUGCUGCUACUUUUCUGCCUUCUUCUUGGCUCUUAUCUUCUUCACGAUCCUUCUUUUCUUUUUUUUUUUUACUCUUCUGCCACAACAAUGGCCAACUCAUCCAUUUUGCUCCUUUUUUCUCCUUCUCCAUUCCUCUUCGAUUUAUGCAUAUGCACUAUUUCAUAAUAUUACAAAGUGUUACUAAUGUUUAAAGAUGAAUAUUCAUUAAUAACAUCAAUUAAUGAAUGAAGUUACCUCGCUCAUGUUGUCGUUCAUCAUUUUCUUUUUUCUUCAUUCUUUUCUCUUUGAUAUAGGCAGCAAUAUCCAACACCAUUUCCUCGAGCGCAACCACACGCUUAUGAAGAUCCCCAGGGGAUGAGGUUCCUGCUACAUCUUUGGAGGUGCUCAUAGAAUCAUCAUCACCAACGCGUACUCCAACGGGGUUACCACCCAAAUCCCCAUCAUCAUCACUGUCCUCAUUUGAAGUGAGGACAGUCACCCCUUCUAACUCUUUCUUCAAGCCAUCGAGGACGUUAUUCUUCACCUCAUCCGUAUAUGGAUCAAACGUAAUCAUGUAAUCCAUCUUUGUCUCACAAACAGUAGGGAUGAUGUACGGGUGCACGUUCUAUCAAAUAUCAAUUAACAAUUACAUAACAUUCGAUAAAACGGUACUAUUAUUGCAUUAUAGAAAAUAAGUUCAUACCUCAGUAACUUUUCCUUUAUACUUGAAUGGGUCGCCUUCUAUUAUCUUAUCGCUUUUUGAAAUGUGCCAUCUGAGGAUGCAGGGGAUGGGUAAGGGCUCAUCCAUUGAUUUUCCAGCAAAUUCUCCAAGAUGAGGAAAGGCCUCAUAGAUCCAAAUUUGUACGCAAUACAGCAGUGAAAACAAAAUAACUAUGAAUCUAUGACAUAGUAUAAAUAAAAUGAUAAUCUACGAUAAACUCACUAAAGGUUUUAUGGUAGAUACCAUGAAUGCCCAGGGAAAUCCGAAUAGAUCAUAGAAUGCCUUCUGCUUCUUAUCAAAUACUUUCUUCUGCUUCUUCAGGUCGCUUUUCUUCUUCAAAUAGUUCAUAGUCAGUUGAAAUGUUUCUUUCCUCCAUAGAUACUUCUCGAAGAAACUCAAAAAGUCGACCAUUCGAAUCAGUUUUGUGUCGACAACCUUCGUCAAAUCUUUCGCAAGCAACAUGGUGUGCAAGAACCACAAUAGACGACACUUGAACUUCUGAUCCUCAUUCAGCUUAUUCCCUCUGAUCAGGUGUAACAAGUUGGCCACCGUGAUGUUUUUGUUUUUUGUCACCUUAAAACAAAAAUUGUCCCCCUUUGCUAACACNNNNNNNNNNNNNNNNNNNNNNNNNNNNNNNNNNNNNNNNNNNNNNNNNNNNNNNNNNNNNNNNNNNNNNNNNNNNNNNNNNNNNNNNNNNNNNNNNNNNNNNNNNNNNNNNNNNNNNNNNNNNNNNNNNNNNNNNNNNNNNNNNNNNNNNNNNNNNNNNNNNNNNNNNNNNNNNNNNNNNNNNNNNNNNNNNNNNNNNNNNNNNNNNNNNNNNNNNNNNNNNNNNNNNNNNNNNNNNNNNNNNNNNNNNNNNNNNNNNNNNNNNNNNNNNNNNNNNUCUUUUUCUACUACUACCAGCGGUAUCGUCUUUUUGUUUAGGAGUAACAUUUUUUCUACCCAUUUUCAACAUAGUCUACACCUAAAGAACAAAUCUCUCAUUUUCAGUUCAUAGACCACAAGUCUAUCAACAAAAAUAACUCAAUGAUCAAAUGCAACCCCUCCCCCCCAAAAAAAAAAUUAACAAACACCCCACCAUUAAACAGUUCACUACACAAACAUACAAUAAUUGAACCAAAAUCGAACAUGCAAAAUAUCAAAACACAACAAUUGCUAAAAAUCAAACUAGUGCACCUAAUCAAACUAAUUAGCUAUUAAUAUUUCAAUUUUCACUAUUUCAACAAUCAUGUUUUAAAAGAAUUUCAUACGUCUGAAAAUUGAAAUAUAUCUAGGGCAUUCUCAUUUUGAUAGACCACGGGUCUACGAAUAGACCGCGGGUCUACGGGCAGAAACAGGACGUUGUUCAAAUCAAAAUACCAAAAUAAAUCUUCAAACAACAAUUAUUCCACCAUUCAACACUUCGUUGCUAAAAAAAAUACGAUUAAAUCAAAACACCAAAUUCGAAAAAAAGAUCCUACAUCACUACCAAUCGAUUAAGAAAAAGAAAAACCAUUUAAAUGGAUCUAGAAAUGAUCAAAACUCAAUUUUAACUAACCUUGGGAACCAACAACGCCCCCUUAGCAGCUGCAGAUAAAGAACGUACGAAAAUGACGUUUUUGGGAAAAGUUGUUUGAAAGCGGGAGUUGGGAAUUGAAGAGGAGAGAGAGAGGGAUUAUUUUUUGGAUAUUGGAAUAAGUGGAGGAGGUUAAGUGUAUUAUAUUAAAUUUGUAAAGUUGUAAUGAUGAAUUGGUCCCUUGCCCACGUAUGGGCUCCACUUUUUCCACCUUUUACAUCCUAAACCUAAAAAAAUAAAUCAAAAAGAAAUUAAGUGGGUAUUUGACAAAAUAAUUUUGCAAAAGUUUUCUUUGCCAAUUAUUCCCAUGGUUAUGUUUUCUUGAUUCAUGCUGCAUCCGAGGGUUCCCCAAGCUGGUUAGUAGAUUCCUACAUGAAUAUGAUAAUGCGUUGUUAGUAUCGUAAUGAUUAACAAGUAUGCUUAUUACCUCCAGUGAGUUAGUUGCAAUUUCUAGUUGAGUGACCUGUAGCUUAAGAGCAAAAAAAGACUAUAAUACAAGCUUAUAAGUUCUGCAUCCAAAGGUGAGUUAACAUUAAUUUUUGCACUAUAACCCUUAACCCAAUCUCCCGUAUAAUUUCAAAAGAUGCCGCCUGCUGCUCCUAUUUUUGUUGAGUGGUUAUGGGAUCCAUCUAUAUUAAGUUUUAGAUCAAUAGUAUGAGGCUUCCAGGAUGAGGGUUCUUGAUUAUGACAAAUCGUAGUAUUAGUGCUAGAAGGUGAUAUUCCACUGCCCGUUCAAGAGGUGUUGAAAUCAAGAUAUGAACCUUCUGUUCAUCAUGAAUAUUGUGGUUACGAGUUAGCCAAAUAUUCCAUAGAUAGAAAGGAAAAAAUUCCUUCCAACUGAGUAAGGAGUUGCACGGGGUGCUAAUAUUUCUGCAGUUUACCAGCCAGUCCUUUUCCUCAUUCUGGCUAAUAGCUUGAAUGGAAGGCAGCAUGGUGAAUUGCAUUCCAAAAUAGUUGGACAUGGGGACAUUGAAGAAAUAUGUGGACUGCAGGUUGUGUACACAGAAGGCAAUUUGGAUCAAUGUCAAGGCCUAUAUGGUUUUUUAAAACGGUUUCUUCGGGAGCCGGUCAUGAUGACACACCCAUAAGAAGUUACUCCUCGUUUAAAAAAGAAUAACCUACUUUGACUUGACACAAAGUUUAAGAAAAUAAAGAAACUUUUGAAUCUUGUGUCCUUAAAUUAAAGUAGUGUCAAAUGUACCAAAAUGUCCUUUAAUCUUGUGGUCAUAAACAUACUAUGUGGAAAGUUGAAAUUAAAGUAUUGCCAAAAAAGGAAAGGGAUCAUUCUUUCUUAAAUGGACUAGAAAGGAAAGUAGGUCAUUCUUUUUUAAACAAAGGGAGUAUUUUAAUUUGUUAGGACAUUUUUGCUUUCCAAUACAGUUGAAGGAAUUGGUGGUAGACUGGUAGUAGCUUGAAUGGAGUAGUUUAACAGAAGACGAUUAUAGGCACUCCUUGUGGAAAAGUUUCCAUUUGGCUCGAGGGCACAUGUUAGAUAAUCAGAUUUAUAGUUUAGACGAUUAUAGGCACUCCAAGAGCAGUGGCGGAGCCACCUUAUGAUUAGGGGUUCGUCCCGUUCGAUGGAAAAUUAUACUCUUUCUAUAUGGUAAAAAUUAUUUUUAUCUAUAUGUAAUUGAUGUUGUAGACACGUGAUUUUGACCCUCCGUGAGUUUAAUAUAAAUAUUUUUUGAUAUUAAAUAUUUAUAUUUGGUCUAAUAUUAUUCAAAUUUCUUAUUUUUAUUUUAAUAAAUUUUUUGUUAAAAAAUAAAUUUAUUUUUGAGAUGUUUUAUUUUAUUUGAUUAUAAUUUUUUUAAAAAAUAAUACAAAAAUUUUAAAAAAUAUUUUCUUGUUAAAUUUUAAACAAAUAAGCUAGUAGUUUUAGUACUAUUUUAAUUAUAUUUAUUUUUAAACUUUUUUGUAUUUUUUUUAAAAAUAUAAAAAUUAAUUAGUUAUUUAUAUUUAUUAUUAUUAUCCUAUUAUCUUAUUUAUUUAUUUAUUUAUUUUUAUUUAUUUAUUAUUAUUAAAAAAUAAGAAUUAAAUUAUUUUAAAAUUCAAAACUCCUCCUAUCAGAUAAUAACUGCUCCCCCUUCAACUUCACCCCAAGAAUCUCAUUAUUUAAGGACUUAUCCAACCCCCAAGAAAAGUACGAACUAUUCUCAGACUAUACAUUAUAUCAGACAAAAACCAGACACUACAUCAUCAGAUACUGCAUCAGAAAAAAAUAGAGAAAAAAAAAGAGUGAGAAAACAAGUGAAGUAAAAACAAAGAGGAGGAUUCAAAAGUGAGAGUUCCGUUUGAGUUUUUCUGGUGACGACUUUCUUAUUUCUAUAUUCAAAUUAUUUCGCCCUACAGGUUCUUAUCCAACUCUAUAAUAUUUUUUUUAUAAAUUCCCAUGUGAAUUAAAUUAUGAACAAUGUUUGUUUUAUCUGAUUUUGUGUGUUAUAUAGUAGUUCGUUGAUUACUUAUAUUAGUUCUAAUAAUAAGUAUGCAUAUCUAGUAGAUUGAUAAUUUAUAAGCACGCAUGCAUAAAUAUAAUAAUAGGAAGUUUUGGACAAUAGAUUUGAUAUGAAUAAUAAAAGCGGAGGUUAAAAAAAAAAAGCAGAUCAAGCAACAAAAAAAAUAAAAUAUAAAAAGAAAUAGAAGAGAAAGGAAAUCUGAGGAUCGAAUUUGAUAUCAAGUUUCUUUCUCGUCUCACUGCGACUCAGAAAUUUGGUCCCAAAAGCUAUUGUUGGGUUCUUUAAUAUUAUGCAGGUUGGUGCGAGUUUUGCUGUGACAUGUAUAUAUUUUCAUAAAACCAUUUAAAAGUUGGACGGGUGUUGGGUUUGGCACAUAGAUGUGGGAUUUCCUUAGUAAAGUAGAAUUUUAUUUUGUUUCUCAUAGAUGUUGUUCAAUGUUAUCAUUCAACAAAGUGUACUAAUAUUUUAUUUUGUGGAAUAAGGUUUCAAAAUUUACUAUAAAAAAGAAGGGGCAUAACCACACAAACAACACAAGAUUGUAGAAGUAAAAUUAGUUAGAUUUUGUCAUGUUAUUAAAUAUUUAUGUUAAAAUAGAAUUGUGCAUGGUAAAUUUUUUUUACCCGUUUUGUUUUUAAUAAUAAUAAUUAUGAACUUGUUCAUGAAGAUAUAAUUUAUUAUUAUUAUUAUUAUUAUUAUUAUUAUUAUUAAUAUUAUUAUUAUGAUUAUUAUUAUUAAAAAAGUUUGUGGUUCUUUAGGUUUCUUUUUCUAGUUAGAUUUUAUUGAGUAAAUAUAAUUAGUUUCUUUUAGAUUGCUUCGGUAAUGGUUUCAUGUAAUCUUAAUUUACUUAAUUUGGAUGAUUGAGGAUUAUUUAGUCACAUGUCUAUUUUACUUUAGUCAAUAUGGAAUCAUGUAUUUUCAAUUUGCCUUAUUACUCCUGCUAGUUUCCUCUAGUGUUGUUGGAACGUUUUAAUCCUAAGUUAUAUAUUAAUUAUUAACGUAAGGUAAAAUAAUAUGGUUUGCAAACUUAUUCAAAAUUUGUUACCAUCAAUAAGAAAUGAAAAGAGUGGAAAUACCCAUUUGUAAGGGAGCAAGACGAGUUGCGGAAUAAUCCAAAAUUCGUUGAAAAAUAAAGAGCGAAAAAGAAUAAAAAUGGAUAAUAUAAUAUUUUUUUGAGGUCAUAAGAGACAAACAAAUGCCUUUGAACGCUAGAUAAGCUUUAGGCAUGUUUAAAAUAUUUGUCUCGAUUAAGAAUGCGGGGUGCGCAUCUUUUGAGACGUUUAAAAAUAUUUCAAGGAUGUAAUAAUGCACCUUGGUAAAAAUUGUUCUAAAAAUUAAUUCUCACUAGCUUAAUACAAGAGGUAUAGAUAGAUACAAGAUACUAAAAUGAGCGAAUUUAGGUCCUGACAUAAUUUAUUAAAAUAGUUUAAGUAUAAGUCAAUAAAGCGCCCGUGCUAGAACCACAGGACUCGAAGGGUGCCUCACACCCUCCCCUCGGUCAACAGAAUUCCUUACCCAGUCUUCUGUUUUCGCAGACCAUAUUAAGAGUCAUUUCCUUUUGAUUAGGGAUUCAACAAGGUGACUUGGCGCACCAUAACUCAAUUUCAAGUGGGGACUCUGUAAUUAAAAUAAUUCCUAUUCAAUACUGUCAUUUUAAUUGGAAAAUCCUUCGACUCGACCCUCGGGCGAAAAAGGGGUGUGACAAAUAUAAUGCGAAGUGUUUCAUAUACAUACUCAGAUGCGUGAUCGAUUAAUUAUAUUUGAUUAGCUUAAUAUACUAGGUUUUGACUACAUUUUUCAUCAAUGGAUCACUACAUCAUAUACUGAAUUAUGGGUUAUAUAUACACAUACUCAUUAUACAAAUAGUAUGCAUGUUUAACGUUAUUUAACGUAUAUACAAGGAAAAUAUUUAUUUAAUUUAUAUUUAACGUAAUUUUUUCACAUAAUUUAAGAAUGAUUGGUUUUUAUUAUUAUUAUACUGGUUAUCGACUACGUGUGAUCAGUGUAAUUUUAAAAAAUUAUAUAUAUAUAUAUAUAUUAUUAUAUAUAUAAUUAUUUUUAAUAAAAAUAAUAUAUAUAUAUAUAUUUGAUUACAUAUAUGUAAUUAUUGGUUACUCAAAAUUAUUUACUUUUAAUUUUUUUUAGUUCAAAAAUCAACCACAUGUUGUCGAUUUUUUAAAAUAUUUUCUUUUAAAAUUAAAAAUCAACCACUUGUGGUCGGUUUUUAAAAAUAUUUUUCAAUUAUAUUUUAAAAAAACAACCACAACUGGUCGGUUUUUCGUAAUACUUGAUUCGUGAACUUUAAGAUCCCAUAAAAAUUCUAAGCUUAACUCAGUCCUCUAAAGAUUGAAAAGAGGUCCCAGACUUAGAAAUUUUAGCUAAGUGUUUAUACUUAGAAUUAUUUUAGCCUUCAUAAGUGGGCGAUCCUAUUUUACAAUCUUUAGGACCUUAAAAUGUCUAUUUUUAGGUUGAUUCAUGAUCAGGAAUGUCAGUAGGUGUUCUCGAAUGAGUUUUAGAUUUGUUUAACAUCGUUUGAAGCACGUUUGGGAGUCCAAAAUAGUGGAUCGACGCGUUGCGUCACCUAUCGUGUCAAUAAAUAUUUUCCCCAACUCUUAGAGUAAAUUUCAGUAAGACGACGCAAUCUUAACGAGUUGUGUCAGCCAUCGCGUUGACCCCAUCGAUGUAGUGUGUCAGUCUGCGCGUUGUUGGGCAUGUUUUCAGUAAUUAAAAAUCCGUAUCCAGAGGGGUAUUUGGUUCAUUUUUUCACUUUUAUUCAGCCCUAAAACAUGAGCUUAAACAUUUCAAAAGGCAAAAUCACUCGCUUUCUCUCAAUUUCUUUCAAAUUUCUUUCAAGAACAAACCCCAGGGCAUUCAAUUUCAAGCCCAAACUUCAAGAACACACCAUAAAUCCUCACGAAUUUAUGUACCAAGGUAUUUUAGGUGUUCAUUUAUGGAUUCCUUUCACCUAUGGACAUGGAUUGUGUCCAUAUGUGAAUUGAUGUUAAGGGUUUAAUUCUAUGAAUUAUUACAAGUUUCAUGAAAACUAAAUAAUUGUGAGUUGAUUUAUGUGAUCUUCAUGUUGAACUCUUGAACUACAAGUUGAAUGUAGUAGCCAUGAUAUUAUUACAUGUUUAUUGCUAUAUAAAAUAACCAUGCUUCCCAAGUGUUUGUUAAAUUGCUUAUAUGAAUUGACUAGUGAAAGCAUGGCAUUUUAUUAUGUGAUUCCAUUCAUGCACAAGCUCAUGUAUAUCAAGUUCAGUCCAGCAUAGUACAACUUCUAAAUUAGUUUAGUGUCUAUUCAGUUGGGAUUAGGAUUCAGCACCGAGUGGACCCAAGGAUGGGGGCUCACCUGCCAAUAGAGGGUGUGAUCCUUAGAAGCAGUCCUUGCAUUCCAGAACUACAUAGCCAGCGUAGGUUGGGAUAUCAACCUGCCAAUUGAGGGUUGAUGAGGUGUCUUAACUGCCAGUUGAGGGUACCGCUAUUCUCGUUCAGAGCACUUGUCAGAUGAGGGUAACUCAACAACUUUUCUUUACCUGUGACACAGUACUGACACCCUUCCAACUAGGGUUACAAGUUGGACUCCAAUCAAUUCAGAGGGGGGCAUAUCAGUUAGAUAAUUACCUCCCACAGUUUUAGUUUCAGUCUCAGUAUAAAACUCAGUUCAGUUCUAUAGAACCCGGCCUGUCAGACACAAUCACCCAGCUCAGCACGGAUCUUAGUUCAAUUUCAUAGAAUCGGGACUAUCAAAAAUAGUCACUCUAUUAAUAGUAAUAUAAUAUCAGUAAACUCAGAUAUCAGUCAUUCAGUUUUCAAAACUCAUUAUCCAGUGUUAAUGUGAUCGUAGUUACAGUAUACGUAGUUAUAUGCAUAGCAUUGCAUAAUCAUUAUUUACAAAAGCUUCAGAUAUACCCGUACUCUCAUUCAGUUAUACUCAUAUUAUUCAGUCAAAUAUUGUUCAUGCAUUCAGCCUUACCUCAUCUAGCAUACUAGAACAUUCAAAGUUCUGACACAUACUCUUUCUUUUGCGCUAUGAUGUCUUAUAUCAUAGGUUCAUAUGCACGAGCUCCUGAUCAUACUUAAUAGCCUAGCUUAUCAGCAGCAGACUUAGUGGUGAGUCCUCAUAGUUUGAGGACAUAGUUAUUAUUUCAGUAUUUUAGUAUAUUUUCAGUAUUCGGAGUUAGUUGAGGGCCUGUCCCAUUAACUCCACCUUCAGACAGUUAGAGGCUUUCAAACUAAAUUAUUUCAGAUAGAUGUUCAGUUUUCAGUAUUUAAAAUAUUAGAGUAUUCAGCAUUUGUUUCUCAGUUAUAAACUUUAUGGCAGAUUCAUCCUAAUUUUUGCAUCAUUAUAUUAUUACUAUUCAGUGAUUUAUAGCAGGUACCAGUGAUGGGUUAGCUUGGGGUCCUUUGGAAUUAUGAGCACCGUGUGAUGUCUGGGGUGUAGAGUCGGGGUGUUAUAAACUUGGUAUCAGAGCCUAAGGCUCAAUAGAGUCCUAGUAAGUCUGAAGGCUAUGUCUAGUAAAGUCUUAGGCAUGAGUGUGUAGUGUACCACACUUAUGAACAAGAGGCUAUGAGGAAUUUUAGGAAAAUUUUCCCUUCUUUCAGUAUUUAUAUCGUGUGAAUGAGCAUGAACUCAAAUUAAACUCUCUGUCUAAUUCAAGUUUCCCUUUUGUUUAUGGAAUAUGCCUCCAAAAAGGACUAACGGAAGAAGAACGGGAAACUAGCCAACACCUCCACCCAUCCAGCCAGAUCCCCUGGACGAGCAUGUUUAUAAUGCAAAAUUCUGAGCAGUUUUCACUACUCUAGCUCAUUCUGUGGUAGCCCAGAAUAAACGUCCAACUUUCUUCUAGGCCAACCCAGUGUCCAAUACUACUGUAGCUAGAAUUCAGUACUUCACCCAAAUAAAUCCUCUAUUAUUUAUAAGGUCUAAGUCUGAGGAGGACCCACAAUAAUUCCUUGAUCAGGUGCAGAAAGUCACAGAUAUUAUGGGGGUGACUACUAGUGAGAGUGUUGAGUUGGCCGCAUAUCAGUUGCAGGAUGUGGUUCACUCAUGGUUCAAGCAGUGGAAGGCAGAGAGGGCCAUAGAUACAAGGCCCAUAGAAUGGGAGGAGUUUACUACUAUUUUUCUGGAUAGGUUCUUCUCACUGGAGUUGAGAAAAGCAAAGGUUUUGGAGUGUAAUUAAUCUAGAUAGUGAAAGAGUAUUCUCUUAAGUUUACUUAGUUAGCCAGAUAUGCCCCUCAUGUGGUAGCAGAUAGUAGAUCUAAGAUGAGUAAGUUUAUGUCGGGUUUGUCUAAUAGUGUGGUCAAAGAGUAUAGGAUCACAUGCUGAUUAAGGAGAUGGACAUAUCUAGGCUCAUGGUCCAUGCUCAAUAGAUAGAAUAGGCUAAGAAUAAUGACAGGAAAGGGAGAAUAAGAGGGAUAGAACAAGUAGAUUCAACUUUUCUCAGCCUAAGUCAUAGGGUGGAAAUCGUUCUCAGUUCUGCCCAAAAUAUUUAGUUCCAGCUUCGUCUUCUGUUAUUUCUCCAGUGCCAAAAUUUAGAGAUGGAAAUAAAGAUAUGGCACCAUGACCUAAACCUCAGGGUAGUGUUAGCAGUACCUGAACAAAUCCUCUUUCCCAAAAAUAUAGCGGAAACCAUCAGGGUGUCUGCAGAGCUGGUAGUGAUGUAUGUUUCGGAUAUGGCAAGCCAGACUAUAAAAUUAGAUAUUGUCCUCAGUCAGGUUCUCAGGGUCAGUAUAAUCGUCAUCCAACUCAGUUCGAUUGCCUGAAUCAGCAGGGUGCCACUUCUAGUGCCACCAAUGGGCAGUUCCCAAACAGACUCUAUGUACUUUAGUCCCGAUAGGAUCAGGAAAUUUCUCCUGAUGUGGUCACUAGUACAUUAAAAGUUUAUCAUUUACAUGCUUAUGCUUUGCUAGAUCCAGGAGCUUCUUUGUCCUUUGUAACUCUUUAUAUAGCUGUUGUCUUUGGAUUCAGUCCCGAAAUUCUAGUCGAUCCUUUCUCAGUCUUUACCCCAGUGGGUAAAUCCAUCAUAGUCCGGUGGGUAUACAGGAACUGUCCGGUUAUGGUAUCUCAGAAAAGUCACUUUAGCAGACUUAGUAGAAUUAGAGAUGACAGAUUUUGAUGUUAUUCUAGGCAUAUACUGACCAUUCAUGCUAUGCUUCUGUUAACUAUAGAAAUAUAAUUGUCCAUUUUUAGUUUCUGAAUAUACCUGUCCUUGAGUGGAGGGGUAGUACUUCAACACUUAGGGGUUAGAUUGUUUCCUAUAUUAGGGCGAGAAAAUGAUAUCUAAGGGAUGUAUUUAUCAUAUUGAUCGACUUAAGGAUUUUAGUUUCAAUACUCCCAGUCUUGAGUCAGUUCCAGUAGCAUGUGAAUUCCCAGAUGUGUUUCCCGAAGAUCUUCCUGGAGUCCCUCCCUGGCGGAAAAUUAACUUCUGAAUAGACCUCCUUCCAGAUACUUAGCCUAUCUCUAUUCCGCCAUAUAGACUGGCUUUAGUAGAACUUAAAAAAUUAAAAGAACAAUUAAAGAAUCUUCUAGAUAAGGGAUUCAUCAGGCCCAACGUAUCACCUAGGAGUCCACCAGUUCUAUUCUUGCGUAAGAAAGAUGGUUCUCUUAGAAUAUGUAUAGACUACCAUCAGCUAAAUAAAGUUACAGUCAAGAACAAGUAUCCACUUCUUAGAAUGGAUGAAUUAUUUAACCAACUUUAGGGUGUCAGUUACGUUUCUAAGAUAGACCUCAGAUCUGGCUAUCAUCAGCUUAGAGUCAAAAAAAUGUGACAUUCUGAAAAUAGCUUUCAAAACACGGUAUGGUCACUUCAAAUUCCUAGUCAUGUCAUUUGGUCUUACCAAUACUCCAGAAGCCUUCAUGGACUUGAUGAACCACGUGGUCAAGUAGUACUUGGACAUUUUUAUCAUAGUCUUCAUUGAUGACAUUUUUGUCUACUCCUGCAGUAAACAUGAUCAUGCAGACCAUCUCAAGAUAGUAUUGCAAACUCUCAGAACCCAUCAGCCAUUCUUCAAAUUCAGUAAGUGCGAAUUUUGGAUAAGGUUAGUAGCAUUUCUUGGUCAUAUAUUUUCUGGUGAUGGCAUUAGAGUUGAUCCUCAAAAGAUCAAAGUAGUAAAAAAAUUAGCCUAGGCCCAUCUCUCCAUCAUAUAUUAGGAGUUUUUUUUGUUUGGCUUGAUAUUACCGAUGGUUUGUUGAAGGAUUUUCAUCCAUUGCAUCCCCCAUGCCCAUAUUAACUCCAAAGAAAGUCAAAUUCUAGUGGUCAGAUUUUUGUGAGAAGAGUUUUGAGGAGUUAAAGACUCGACUAACUACAACCCCAGUUUUUGCUUUACCAAAUGGUUUCGACGGUUUUUUUGUGUAUUGUGAUUGUUUUAGAGUUGAUUUAGGGUAUAAUUUGAUGCAAAGAGGUAAGGUCAUAGCCUAUACCUCUAGACAGCUUAAAUUACCCUACCCAUGAUCUUGAAUUAGCAGUUAUAGUGUUUGCCUUAAAGCUUUGGAGGCACUAUUUGUAUGGGGUUCAUGUUGAUGUGUUCACAGACCAUAAAAUCCUACAGUAUGUAUUUUCUCAUAAAGAUUUGAACCUGCAUUAGAGGAGGUGGCUAGAGUUGUUAAAAAAUUAUGACAUGAAUAUUCUGUGUUAUCUGGGCAAAGACAAUGUAGUGGCUGAUGCUCUCAGUAGGAUAUUUAUGGAUAGUGUUGCCCACGUGGAGGAUGGUAAGAAGAAGUUAGUUCAGGAAGUUCAUUAUCUUGCCUGACUUGGUGUUCGCUUAGUCAAUUCAGCAGAGGGCAGCGUAUGGGUGAAAAAUAGUUUGGAAUCUUUUUUGGUAUUCGAGGUAAAAUAAAUGUAGGACAACGAUCCCAAUUUAGUUAAGUUGAAAGAGUAAAUCAGGGAUCAAAAAGUAGAGGUUUUCUCCCAAGGGGAAGAUGGUGUAUUGUGUUGCCAGGAAAGACUAUGUGUGCUAUGUGUAGAUUGCGUGAGACAGUGAAUUCUUGCAGAAGUGCAUGGUGUGCGCUACUCGAUUCUCCUAGGAGCCACCAAGAUGUACCACGACUCAUGUGAAGUCUAUUGGUGUAGUGGGAUGAAGAGACAUACAGAGUUUUUAGCUAAGUGCUCGACAUGUCAGCAGGUUAAGAUCGAGCAUUAGAAGCCUUGUGGAGUUAUUUAGGAGUUCAGUAUUCCCACUUAGAAGUGGAAGGAGGUGAAUAUGGAUUUUUUGAUGGGUUUGCCUCGCACUCAUCAUCAGCAUGACUUGAUUUGGGUCAUUGUGGAUAGGAUGACCAAGUCAGCUCAUUUCUUACCAGUUCAUACCUUUUAUUAAGAUGAGGAUUAUACCAAGAUUUAUGUUAGAGAGUUGGUCAUAUUGCACGGAGUUUCGUUAUCUGUCAUUUUAGAUAGAGAUAUGCAGUUCACCUCUCAUUUCUAGAAAGCCUUCCAAAAGGGUCUUGGUACCCAAGUUUACCUUAGUACAGCCUUUCACCCUCAGAGAGAUGGUUAAGUAGAAAGGACCAUUCAGAUAUUAGAAGAUAUGCUAAGAGUGUGUGCCAUUGACUUUAAGGAUAUUUGAGAUGAGCACCUGCCCUUGAUUGAGUUUGCAUAUAAUAACAUUUAUCAUUCCAGCAUUUAGAUGGCUUCGUUUGAGGCAUUUUAUGGGAGGAGAUAUUGAUCUCCCAUUGGUUGGUCUAAAGUAGUUGAAGCCGCAGUGGUAGGGCCUGACUUGGUAUUUGAUACCUUAGAAAAAGUUCAGUUCAUUAAGAAAGUCUUAAGAUAGCUCAGAGUCGACAAAAUCGUAUACAGAUGUGCGGAGAAAGGAUCUUGAUUUUGAGAUUGGUGAUUAUGCAUAUUUGAAAAUCUUUCCUAUAAAGAGAGUGCAGAGGUUCAGCAAGAAGGGGAAACUCAGUCCCCGAUAUGUCGGUCCUUACUGAAUUCUCAGCUAUUUUGGAAAGGUAGCUUACGAGCUUGAGUUGCCUUCAGACUUAGCUUCAGUACAUCCAGUGUUUCAUGUCUCCUUGCUAAAGAAGUGCAUAGGUGACCCAACAGUUGUAGUCCCUAUAGAGGGUAUAGAUAUUCAGAACAGUCUUUCUUAUGAGGAAGUUCCAGUCGAAAUACUUGACCAUUAGGUUCGCAGACUGAGGAACAAAGAAGUUCCUUUAGUCAAAGUUCUUUGGAGGAAUCAUUCUAUUAAGGGGGCCACUUGGGAAGCUGAAGUAGAUAUGAGGAGCAAGUAUCCUCACCCCUUCUUCGCAAACUCAAACUCAGCUCAAGGUAGCAGUCUUUAUUAGAUUUACUCAGUCUUAUGAUCAAAUUUCCUUUACCAACUUGGUAACAGUUUCAACUGCAUAGCAUUCUCAUGUUAUACAUACCUUCAUAGAAACAGUUCAGUCAUGUGUCAUGUCUUUAGAAAUAAGUCAUGCUUUAGUUAUGCAUGUUCAGUAUAAAAACACAGUAUAUCAGUAAUUUCAAUCAUGAAAUCAUGCUUCAGUUGUGCAUGUCUAGUAUGUACACUCUGUCGAUUAGUAUCAUCAGUUAGCCAGUCUCAUUCGAGAUGAAUGUUCCUAAGGGAGAGAUAUUGUAUGACCCACAAAAAUUCUAAGCUUAACUCAGUCCUCUAAAGCUUAAAAAGAGGUCCCAGACUUAGAAAUUUUAGCUAAGUGUUUAUACUUAGAAUUAUUUUAGCCUUCAUAAGUUGGCAAUCAUAUUUUAUGAUCCUUACGACCUUAAAAUAUUAAUUUUUAAGUUGAUUCAUGAUCAGGACUAUCAGUAGGUAUUCUCGGACGAGUUUUAGAUUUUUCGAACAUCGUUUGAUGCACAUUUGGGAGUCCAAAAUAGUGGAUCAACGCGAUCUCGAUGCGUCGCAUCGCCUAUCGCAUCGAUAAAUAUUUUUCCUAGCUCCCAGUGUAAAUUCUAGUGAGCUAACGUGAUGUUAAUGUAUCGCGUCCGCCAUCGUGUCGACCCCAUCAAUGCAGCGCGUCGGUCUGCGCGUUACUGGGUACGUUUUUAGUCAGAGGGGUAUUUGGAUCAUUUUCUCACUUUUAUUCAGCCCUAAAACACAAGAUUAAACAUUUCAAAAGGCAAAAUUACUUACUUUCUCUCAAUUUAUCUCAAAUUUCUUUCAAGAACAAACCCUAGGGUAUUCAAUUUCAAGCUCAAACUUCAAGACCACACCAUAAAUCCUCAUGAAAUUAUGUACCAAGGUAUGUUAGGUGUUCAUUCAUGGGUUCCUUUCACCCAUGAUGUCCAAGAACCCUUUUUUUUAAACUACAAGUUUAUGAUUUCAUGAUUUACAUGUUGGAAUUGGAUUGGGUUCAUGUGUGAAUUGAUGUUUGGGGUUUAAUUCUAUGAAUUAUUACAAGUUUCAUGAAAACUAGAUAAUUGUGAGUUGAUUUAUGUGAUCUUCAUGUUGAACUCUUGAACUAAAAGUUGAAUGUAGUAGCCAUGAUUUUAUUACAUGUUUAUUGCUUAAUGAAAUAACCAUGCUACCCAAGUGUCGUUAAAAUAUUUAUAUGAAUUGACUAGUAAAAGCAUAACAUGUUAUUAUGUGAUUCCAUUCAUGCACAAGAUCAUGUAUAUCAAGUGUUUGACAAAAUGCCUAAAUGAAUGUAUUAUUAGUAAGCAAGUACUAUUAUGCUUUUAAGGUUAUGCUAUGCUUUAAUUUCCAUGCUAUAAUACCCGAAAAUAUAGCUGUUGACCUAGAGCUACAGUAGUUAUAAAAUUAUCUCAAUAAUAUCACGAUUAGUAGUAUUCAGUCAGUAUAGAACUCAGUUAAACUCAGUCCUGUUAAGUCAGUUAACACGAUCAGUAACAGUUCAGUCCAGCAUAGUACAACUUAGAAAUCAGUUCAGUGUCUAUUCAGUUGGGAUUAGGAUUCAGCACCGAGUGAACCCAAGGAUGGGGGCUCACCUGCCAGUAGAGGGUGUGAUCCUUAAAAGCAGUCCUUGCAUUCCAGAACUACGUAGCCAACAUAGGUUGGGACAUCAACCUGCCAGUUGAGGGUUGAUGAGGUGUCUUAACUGCCAGUUGAGAGUACCACCAUUCUUAUUUAGAGCAUCUUCCGUGUGAGGGUGACUCAGAAACUUGUCUUAAACCAUGGCACAGUACUGACACUCUUCUAACAGAGGUUACAAUUUGGACCCCAAUCAGUUCAGAAAGGGGCAUAUCGGUUAGAUGACUACCUCCCACAGUUUCAGUUCAGUCUCAGUAUAGAAUGCAGUUCAGUUCUACAGCACUAAACUCAAGUAAGUUCCACAGAAUUAGAACUAUCAGAAACAAUCACUUCGUUAACAGUAAAACAGUAUCAAUAAACUUAGAUAUCAUUCAUUUAGUUUUCAAAACUCAUUAUCCAGUGUUAAUGUGAUCUAAGUUACAGUAUACGUAGUUAUGUGCAUAGAAUUUCAUAAUCAGUAUUUACAGAAGCUUCAGAUAUACAUGUACUCUUAUUCAAUUAUACUCAUAUUAUUCAGUCAGAUAUUGGUCAUGCAUAUGAACUCAUGCAUUCAGCCUUACCUCAUCUAGCAUAUCAGUACAUUCAAAGUGCUGACGCAUAUACUUUCUUUUGCAUUAUGAUGUCUUAUAUCAUAGGUUCAGAUGCACGACUUCUGAUCGUACUUAGCAUCCCAGCUUAUCAGCAGCAGACUUAGUGGUGAGUCCUUAUAGUUCGAGGACAUAGUUGUUAUUUUAGUAUUUCAGUAUAUUCUUUAGUAGUCGGUGUUAGUUGGGGGCUUGUCCCAUCAACUACACCUUUAGAUAGUUAGAGAUUUUCGGACUAGAUUAUUUUAGGCAGAUGUUUAAUUUUCAGCAUUUGAACUAUAAGUAUUCAGUAUUUGCUUCUCAGUUAUGAAGCUUAUGGUAGAUUCAGCCAAAUUUCUGCAUUAUUACAGUGUUACUAUUCAGUGAUUUGCAAUAGGUACUAGUCAUGCGUUAUCUUGUGGUACUUUGGGAUUAUGAGCAUAAUGUGACAUUCGGGAUGCAAACUCGGUGCAUUACAUGAACAUUAGUCGGAGAGGUGAAUUAAGAUACAAGCUUGAGAAGUUAGAAUGUAUACGUCUUACGAAUAUCCAUGCAUGGGUCCUAUCCAAAGUAUUGUGUCUUUGAAGGUAUAUAUGAAAGUCAUGGGAUGUCUUAUAUCAUCAUCAUUCCAUAUUUAUCAUUACAUCGCAUUGCAUCACAUAUCCUUGGCAUGUUUGAUAUUAUGUUUGGGAAUUUUAUUUUUGUAUUGAAUUAUUGCAAUUGGACCUUGUUUGUGAUAUUGUAAUUUAUGCAUUCAUCUCAUUACAUUACAUCAUAUUAUGCUAUCUCUUGAUUUCAUUUGGGAGUUGAAAUAUUGUCAUGACCUGAGACUACCCCCUAGUCGUAACACGAUUCUUAAAACCAUAAGUGAUCUCAAGCUAACCCAUGAACUGGCAUAUUGUUAAGCAACUGAACUAUAAUAUAUUAAAUAACUAGUUCUUCUAUAUGGAAAUAUAAUCAUGACAAAAUCUGGGAAGAAUUAUAAUACUAACUCUUACUCACAUCUAUGAAGUCUCUACUAUAAUGACUAUGAUAGCUAGGACAUGAACCCAGCUACCACUAAUCAAUACAUAUGAGUAAUAAAGUAAAGUUCAUGAACAAAAUCUGACUGAAGUCCCCUAAAUAGGAGAACUCAUCACCUGUUGGAUGGAACUAUAACUGUCUGAUCAUGAUGUAUGGACUAUAACUGGUACCUACAUUAUUAAACAAUGUAGCCACACAGACAUAUAUAUGGAUCAGUACUUCUGGAAUGUACUGAGUAAGUGGGGGGUGAAUACAAUAAGUAAAACUUAUUUCAUACGUAAUCUUAAAACAUGCAUGCUAAGUGUAAGUAGACUCACUAAGCUACCGAAGUAAACUGAAAUCUGAUGUAGCUUAAAACAUGAGUAACAAACAUAAUAUUAUAACUAGUGAAUCAUUAAACUUAGUUUCUUAAAGCUUUACUUUUGCAGGAUAAGUAGAAGCUGGGGGAUACGGUAAAGCAUGAAAACAUGAACAUACCAAAACCAAGCAUACAUUUACUGAACUGAUCUGAUUAACUGGAUAACUAAUGUCUAAGUGACGAAAUGAUUGGAAACUAGGAAAAGGGAUAACUAGCGUCGAUAUACUGAGUAGCUGAUAUAUGAAUACUGGCUGCUGUACAAUCAUGAGAUAAAUAGGCAUAAAUGCAUGAAAAGUGUAAAAUCUGAGAAUGCAAGACUAAGUGUAUAGAUGUUAUGUUAUUGAGAUAAUCUGUAAUCUGAAAGAAUGAAAGCUGUUAAACUGAAUAUCUAAAAGUCAGUACACUUAGUAAAGCAAACCUGAACUGAAAAGGCACUAAAUACUAUACUGAUACUGUGGGAGGUAUCAUGUAACCGACAUAAACCAUGUGAGCUAUCAUGGAGUCCAACGUUUGACCCACGUUGAGGGGGGGGUGUUCUAUCCUUACCAUCGGAAUAAAACCUAAACUGUAGUGAUCACUAAAUUGAUGUCCUAAAAGACUAGAGAGUCAAGUCUAAACUGAUGGGUGACCCCUGAGAGAAAGUCAAGCCUAAAUUGAUGGGUGACCCCUCAUAUCCUACGCUGGCUACGUAGCUAUGGAAUACAGGAACUGUUACUGACGACUCUGGCUAACUGAAGGAGAAGCCACUAUACAUGCAUUCGCUCGGUACUAAAUCCUACUCCCAACUGAAAGACACUGAAAGACUAACUAGCAUUUGCACUGAUAACUAAUAAGCUCAGGUCCUGAUAUUUUGUAAAUAACAGUGCAUACGGAUUCUGUGAUUAUUAGAAACAUAUAAAAUGAUACUAAAACUAAAACUGGACUGAGUUUAACUAGACAUGAUUCAUAAUUGAUAGUGCUCAUUAUGAUCAUAAUAACUGAUUAAAUAGGAAAAAAAUCAUGGUUUAACUAAAUCAUACUUAAAAAUCUGAAAAAUUAUGUAUAACAUAUAGUAUCGGGUGUUAUAAUCUACCAGAACCGAAUGACCAUAAAGCAUGAUAUCAGCACUUAAAACUAUAGUAGGGGAAUCAUGGUUCAAAAAUCCAAAAGCAUAGACACUUCAUCAAACACAUGAGAAUCAUAAACUUGAACAUGGGAAUGCUUUAAACAUGAUGAAAUAGUAUGAUUACGUGACUAAAAUCAUAAAUUGGGGAUUUACAUGGAAUUCAAUUGAAAUAGUUCAUGGGCGUUUCAGCAAAACAUGUAAAGAUCAUAGCUUGAACAUAAGAAUAUCUUAAACAUGAGGGAAACAAUAGAGUUACAUGGCAAAAUUCACAACUUGGGGAUUCAUCUUGAAUUUAAUUGAACGUGAUAUGGGAAUUUCAAUACUCAAACAUGAUAUGACUCAUUCUACUUUAAAACACAUGAAAUCAUAACUUGUAAAUAAAAUCAACAAGAGAUUUAGGGGGAUACGUCAACUUGAAACAUGUAAAACUCAUAAAUUUAAAUUCAAAAAAUGUUCUUGGGCUCCAUAGGUGAAAGGGGGUCAAUGGAUGAACUCCCACAUACCUUAAUAGAUGAUUUCUUGAAGAAACUUGAAAUUGAAACUUGAGUUCUUGAAGUUCUUAGGAAGAAACCUUGAAUUUUGGAAGUUAAAUGAUAAACUUGUGAAAGAAAUCCUAUUCUUGAUGUUUGUUGAAGAUUUACUGAACUGGGAAGCUUUAACUCUUGGAUUCUUACAGAAAUCUUGAAUUUAAAACUUAAAUCCUUGUGCUCUUGAGAGGAAAAGGUUGAAAUUUUCUCAUGUGGGAAAGGGGAGGGUGUUUGUUAGAGUUGAUUUGAAUGAGAUGAGCAAAUAAUUUCCUUUUGGAUGCUAUAGAUCAUCCUUUGGAUGUUUGGGGUUGAGGGUAAAGGACCAAGGUGCCCCUUGACCCUUAAGGAGCUGAAACAGAGGGUGAAUAAGCUCUGCAUCGCAUCAGAUAUUGCAUUGAGAGAGCAACACAUCACGCCAUAUAUCGCGUUGAGAUACUGGCGCGCUGCAGCUAAAUUGCGAACCCUUAUUGCCUCUCAUGAAAAAGGCGAUAACUUUUUGCUUGGGUAUCAGAUUUAGGAGAAAUUAGUAUCGAUGGAAAGCUAACUCAAUUAUCUAUCAUUUGGUGUAUCUUGAGCUGAAAAAUUCCAUGUAUAUCAAAUGUUAUAUACAUUCAAAGUAGACCCUUAUAGAAUCGAAUAUCAAAUUUUGGACGAAUCAAAGGCUCUUAGCUCAACUUUGUUCUAAGUGAUUUCUAUGAACAUUUUUCACUUCUAAAGCACUUCACACACUAGUAUAAGGAUCAUGACACAUUUAUUCAAAAGAAAUUCAUGGGAUUAUAGUUUACACACGUGAGAACGAUUCUUCAAAGUCUAGCCUAAAAAUAUGGGGUGUUACAUAUAUUAUGAGACGUACGGUAUAACUUUGGCUUGGUUAGUGUGGCUUGUAGAGUUUCACCUAUUGAUAAAUGAUAUACAUUGAUUUUACACUUUCACUAUUGUAUUCCAAAUUAUUGGCUAAAUAUAUUGACUGAGGUUGAUAUACUAUUUGGUCCAUUUUACAUAACCUUCUCGGUCGUCCAAGAGGACUUGCUAUCUUUCUAUUUACUUACGUAGUUUUUAGGAAGCCCAACUGGAAAUUGAAACUUUGGUUAAAGAUGAAGGAGUACUUACCACUCCACCACAAUCCUUGUUGGAUUGCCAAGUGGGUUUGUACAAUAGGAUUAGUUUUUUUUUCUUCUAUUUACUCCUUCUCUAUUAUUAAAGAAUCAUAAAAAAAAUAUUGAGAACCUACUAUUAUUAAAAUAGUGAAACAAAUAUUAAAAUAUACAUCUAAAUGAAUUCCUUGAUGACAAUGAUGGAUUCAACAUAUAAAUAAUUCCUUGAUAACUGAUAGAUUCAUGAUUUUAAGAUGGUGGAUGCUCACUUUUUUAAGGAUAAAUUACACAAAACCACAAACCUAAGAGAUCUUAUUACAAAAAAUCCCUUACCUUUUAAACAAUUACUUAAAAUCCCGGAUAUUCUAUUUUACUCUUGAUACAUAUGAAUAAAACUCCCACCCUACUUUUACUCCACAAUUAAUGCAUACAAUCUGUUUUUCUUUGAAGAUUUUUUUUCAAAUAUUUCAUUCCCUCAAAUCUCUCCUAAAUUAUCAUCAAUUGAUACAACUCUCAUCUCCUUUACUGUAACUUCUUCACCAAUUUUAUUGUCUUUCUUUAUCUUUUUUAUCAACUUUUCUUUUAUAAAUUUUGAAUUCUUUUUUUAUGUCAGUAGUCAUUAAGGAAGGGAGGAGAAAUUGAACAAUGUGAUAGUGACAUAUACUUUGUGAUAGUGAUUCAUAUUUUUAAUUUAUUUAUAAAUGUUUGUAACAUAUGUUUGACAAAUGUAAAUUAUUUAUUUUGGUGUGAGAUUGAAUUUUCAAUGAUUAGUGAGUAAUUUUAUGAGAUGUAUCAUUAUGAUAAUCUGAUAUCAGAUGUAUCAUUUUCACGAUUUGUGCCUAAUUUUACUCUCUGUAAUAAUUGAAAAUAGUUACUUCCUUAUUUAACUAAACACUAAAUUAUAAAUGUAUCACAAUGUAUAUGACAUAUACUAUUGAUACAUAUGUCACAAUGCAUAUGACAUAUUAAGUCAAUACUGGUGAUACAUAUGACAUACACUUUGUGAUAGUGAUUCAUAUUUUUAAUUUAUUUAUAAAUGUUUAAUACAUUUAACAUAUGUUUGACAAAUGUAAAUUAUUUAUUUUGGUGUGAGAUUGAAUUUUUAAUGGUUUAUGAGUAAUCUUACAAAAUGUAUCAUUGUGAUUCAUCUGGAACCAAAUGUGUCAUUAAGAUACACCUGAAAUCAGAUAUAUCAAUUUCACGAUUUAUGCCUAAUUUUACUCUCUAUAAUAAUUGAAAAUUAGCUACUUUCUUAUUUAACUAACCACUAAAUUACAAAUGUAUCACAAUGCAUAUGUAUCAAGACUAAAAUAUGUAUCACAAAUUUAAAAAUUCAGAAUAUGAUGUAAUUUAACAAAUUAUUGAGAUAAAAUGUUAUAACCCUUAAACAUUACAAAAUUUAUGCAAGUUAUCCUUUUUUUAAUCUAAACUUGGUACAAAUUACAAAUAGUAAAAAUGUACAAUUAUUAUUCAAACAUUACAAUGGAAAAAAUAAAUGAAAAACCUACUAUUUAUAUUAUUAUUAUAGAAAAAACACUUCACAUCACAAAAUACAAUGAACACUAAUAAAAGCAUGAUUGAGAAAAUGGAGGCUACAUAUCCCGGGGUUGAUGUUCUCUGCAUAAAAACAAGACAAAACAAUUAAGCCAAAAAAAAAAAAAAAGUUUAACCUGCUGAUGCAGAAUUUGAUCUUUACUUUUGCAAUAAUUCUAUCACUAAGCACCAUGAUUGAUGAUUUAGUAAUUGAAAUUGAACUACAAACAAAAAGGAAGAUGGUAUACCUUUAUCUUAAUGAUUCUUAACAAUUUUGAAAAAAUAUAUUAUUGAAAUUUUUCCAACAUUGUUCUUGACAUAUUGAUUCCAAUUACCUGCCCCUCUAAGUCUCUUCUAUACUUUUAAGUGUGUUGCAAUCAAACUACUUGUAAAAAAAAUAAGGUAAAAUUUCACUUAUAGUUUUCUUAGAGUAUCUAUAACUAACUUUCUAGUCUAAAUUUCAUAUUUACAAUUCAUAGACAAAAUAAAUGACAUUUUUAUGCAUAUAUAGACAAAAAAGAAGGAAAAAUAACAACAAAAAGAGAUAAAAAAGAAAAUUUUAAUGUAAUAAAUGUCCUUAGUCUUCUCCAAUUUUUCAUUUAUUUCUCUGAUAUAACAGAUCAAUAAAUAUGAAUUUAUACGUUAAUUACUCCCUCAAAAGUUGAUAAUUUUUUUAAAAAAAAUUGUGAUCUACAGGAGAAAAUUAGUAAUUCAUGCAUACAAAAUUCUGGUAUAUACGAUUUACACAAAUUAUUGUUUUACUUGAAUUUAUUUACUGAAAUCCUUUUUUGAAUCUAAUACGCAAUAAAAAUUGAUUCAGUUUCAACAUAAUGAAAAUUGAUUUUAUUAUUGGUUUAAAUUAGAUUUUCGAAAUUGAAUGCACAAUAUAAACUUCAAAAAUUUUCAAAUUGUCAAUUUUGUAAUUACUAUUAUUUUUGUAUACAAUAACUUCAAUUGUAAUUUUAUGUUUCAAUUUUCGUAUUCAAUUUUUAUUUUCGUAAUUUUGAAUUUUUUUCACAGAAGUUGUUAAAAGGUUAUAAUCCCUUUUUGUGUUAGUUUUUUUUAUUUUUUCUAAAUUUCAUUUGUAAUUGCAAUUUGUGUGAUAUAUUCAUUCAUUACUCUACUACAUAUUUCAUAAUAUACAAUUGAUAGUCUUUUAAUAUUUUUUUUUAUGUAUAUCUAUUAAUAGUAUAUUUGAAUUUUUGUAUAUCUGUUAACAUAAGUGUAUAAUUGUAUUUGUAUAUCUGUUUUAAAGGUUACAAAGUUUGUUUUCAUUAUUUGUAUAUCUAUUGUUUGUAUAUCUGUUUAUUAAUUUACAUAAAUUUGAUAUUUGUAUAUCAGUUGUUUGUAUAUCUAUAUAUACAUAUAUGCAAAUGAAGUAUACAUAUAUUCAAAUAAAAACCGUUGUUUAUUAUUUGUAAAUCUGUUGUUUGUAUAGUUGUAUAUACAAAUUUGAAUGUUGUUUGUAAACGAUAUUGCAAGCGAAAUACACAUAUAUUCAGAUCAAAAUUGUCAUUUAUUAUUUAUAUAUCUGUUGUUUGUAUAUCUGUAUAUACAAAUUUAAAUGUUGUUUGUAAACGAAAUAUACAUACAAACGAAAUAUACAUAUUUGUAUAUCUGUUGUUUGUAUAUCUGUAUAUACAUAUAUGCAAACGAAAUAAACAUAUACAUAUAUGUUUAUUAUUUGUAUAUCUAUUAUUUGUAUAUCUGUAUAUGCAAAUUUGAAUGUUUAGCAUAACAACAAAUUUGAAUGUAUAUGCAUAUAUGCACUCUAACACUGUAUAUAUCUAUAUAUGCAUUAUUCUUCAAAAUGUAUAUGUGAAAGUUAAAUGUAUAUACAUAUAUGUAGAUUGUAUAUAGAUAUAUCAAAAAUACAAACUAUAUAAACAUACAUACACUCUAACUCUCUCUCUCUCUCUCUCUCUCUCUCUCUCUUAUCUCUCUAUAUAUAUAUAUAUAUGCAAGUAUUAUUCUACAAAAAAAAAAGUAUACGUAUCUACAUGUAUUGAAACAAAAAUUUAUAUUGACCAACAAUUCUGUUUCAUGAGAAAAUAUACAAAAAGACCUCGUAAUCAUUGUCAACUUCAUUACUCCCCCUUUUAGAUUUAGAUACCUUAAAAUAUAUUUUCCUUUUCGCCUUGCUAGAAGAUGCAAAAUUCUUUCCUUUUUUAUUUUUUUGAUAAAUCAUCCAUAAAAAAAUGGGGAAGUGACUUACAUAAUAUAUAAAUAAUUAUAUUAUAAAAUAAAAAUCAGCAAAAACGAAAAAAUUAUAAAAACGGGGGAGCGCUCCCCCUUUUCUAUUUUUUUGUAAAAUAUAUGAAGAACGAAAAAAUUUAACGAUUAAUUGACAUAAUAUAUAAAUUUUUUUGAAAAAAAAAUCUAAUGUCAAUAAGUGAUUUAUCACAUAGAAAUCCAGAAUUAUAUUUUGUGGUAUUAGAGUGACUUUGAGAGAAAAAUAAGGAGAAAAAAGUUGAAGAAGAUGUCUUAAAUAAUCAUGUAUUAUGAUUUUGCCAAUGUUGGCGUUUCUUUAAUUUAAAAUCAAGGAUAUUAGAGUAAUUUUGAGAGAAAAUUAAGGAAAAAAUAGUUGAAGAAGAUAUCAUAAAAAAUCUUAUGUUUUGAUAUUCCGUUGUUGCUUUUUUUUGAGUCAAUAGGAUAGAGAGAGAAUAGAAAGAAAAAACCAAAAAUAAAUAUAUGAGAGAGAAAAUUGAUAUAUACAAAUCUUAAUAUAUUUGUAUAAAUGGUCCAAAAAAAAACAACUAACUUUUAACUACCAAAUGACUAUGAAUUGUAAUUUUUUAAAACAUGAACCAUUUCAUAUAAUUAAUAUAGUAUUUUGUCUAUAAUAUGUAGUUUUUCCAAAAAAUAACUACAGACGAUGCACUCAAGGUGGAGCUAGAAGUCGACGUUCAGCUUCAACCGAAGUAAUCAAUAUUAGUUCAAUCUUUAUAAUACAAAAGUCAACAGUCAAGUAAAACUUAUGCAUAAAAUAUAUGGUAGUAGUUCUCCACAAUAUUACCUCAAAGGAAACAUGUUGCAUAGUAAAAUCAUGAAACUUUAGGUGGAACAUUUGACUUAAAAAUCUAUUCAGCGUGUUCAUUCAUCUUCCUAACCCCCAACCUGCUUCAGAAAUAAUUUAUAUCAGCUAUUUAUAAGGAAAAAAAGCAAGACUUAUCAUCAUUGCGCAGAGUUUCCUACGUCUUACAUUCUCCAUAACAAACUAAUAAUAAAAGCAUUCAUUGAAUUUAUUAAAAGUGUAAACAAUAAGCAUGGUAAGAUAUCAACAAUAAGAAUUGCAAGGACUUGGAAUUCUCAAUAUAGAGUGUGUGUAUUGUACUUAUAUGCAAAAUAUAUUCAAUUCAACAAUAACAAAUUCAAUAAAGUUUCACAAGUGAAGUACGAAGAGGGUAUGAUGUAUGCUAACCUUACUUCUUCAACCUCUCAAGGAAUACAGAGGUUUCAGAUAGAUAUUUAACUCAAAAGAAGUGUAAUUAGAAUAGAAUAAAGAGGAUUUUUUUUUCUUUAAUGAAUAUACUAAAUUGUAUCACCUUGUUUCUUGUACAAAAUGCGUUUUAAUUGAAUGCAAGAUGUUAACACUUUCAAGAAAAUCGUCUUAACGUAUCCAGUAGUUGUUAGCAUCAUCUACACCGGAAAAUUCAGCGACCGUUUGCUGCCCACUCCCAGAAUCAUAUGACACAUCCAUGCGAAGUUAGAAAUAAAGAUUGGGGUAUCUUAAUUUGUUCGUAAUAUUAAAGUUAAUACUCACUUCGUUUCAUAUUAGUUGACCCCUACAGACUUGAUACAUCCAUUAAGAAAAUAUUAAUUUAGGAUUUAUUUUACCAAUUAGCCUUAUUCAUUAUGCUUUGAAAAUAUAAAUUUGAUUAAACACAUUUUUUUAGUCAUUUAGUGUUAAGGGUAGUAUUGGAAAAACAUAAUAAAAUCUUUUUGAUUUCAUCAAAGAGACAACUAAACUAAAAUAAAUAUUUUUACAAAGAGGGUCAAUUAAAAUGAAACGGAGGAAAUAUUAAAGACAUUAAAAAUCAAGUACAAAAUUUCAUUAUAUAUAGAUAUAUAUAACUUUUUUUUUUUUUUUUGGCAAUUAAAAGGGAACUUUCUAUUACCUAAGGAUAAUUUUUACAAAAGUCAAAACUGUUUGUGGCAUAACCGCCAAAACAUUUGCAUAUCAGGCUAUUAUUACAUCAAACUAGAAGGCUUGCAAAGUCAAACUAGGGAAUUAGGGAUAAAAGAUAAGCUCCGCUAAUCUUGGCCUUCUGGAACCUCGCACAAAAAUAUCUUGCACUAUCUUCCUGUUGAUCACCUACGUUGGAUUACUCUUCAAUUGAAAAAUUCAUCAAUUUCUCUCGAUCCAUACCUGGUAUACACCAGCUGCCAACCACAACCUAUAUAAGGUUACUGAGGCUACCCUUCCCUUGGUAUUAACAAAGGCCCAUUCUAGCUCUUCUUGCCAUGCCAUCGUGGCAUCGCUUGCCUUGUAAUACCUAACCAUAGUAACAUUUUGGACCAUAUUUCACUGGAAUAGGGGCAGCUGAAAAAUAAAUGUUCAAUAGAUUCACUUCCUGAGGGGCAUAAAGCACAUUGCUGAUCAUUAGUAACUCCCCAUUUCACAAGUCUGUCCCUAGUGUGAAGCCUUUUCAGAGCUGCCAGUGGUAGUAUGAAAAUUCACUUGGGUGAGCCGGGAUUUUUGCAUAUAAGACUUCGCCACCGAACUUUCUGGUAAGUACCUCGCAUAACAACAUAUAACUUCUUGAUUGAGAAAUGCUCCAUAGAAGUGAUAUCAAUUUCCCUAAUACUAGCAUCCUGCAAAUAUAGCUUAGCUUUCACUAUUUUCUGAACUACCCAGGAGGCUUGUUUGGGACUCCAACUCCAUAUAGGUUUAUCCUUUAUAUAAUAGCAAUGUACCCACUUGACCCAUAAGUUGUCCUUCUUAUGACAUAAAUGUUCGGUUCAAUAUGUAUGGAAGAAGUGUGAAUGGAAAAUGGAGAGAAAAAUGGUGGAGGGAAGGAGACACUAAUUUAGAAAGUGUACUCCCAACUUGGAAAGUUCACUAAAUCACCCACAUUAGUGGGAGAAGAGAACUUUGGAGUGUUUUUAAUAAAGAAUACUUACUCGACAUGGAUAGUGAGACAAGAACAAGGUAGUGCCUCGCGCCGUCGUCGUUGUCGCUCGCUCGGCUUCGGAUUCUGAUUCGGCAAAUGAUUAAUGAGAUCUAUCUUUUUGGAAAAAAUUUAUUUGAUCAAAAUCUAAUCCGAAUAUACCAAAGGAAAAAUGACAAUGCAGAAAAUUUUUCUGUGUUUUAUCCUCCAUUUAUAUGCAUGUAUACAACGAAUUGUUGUAACGUUUCGAACUAAACUGAUGCACUGUUUUGAACUGAACUGAUGCUUCGGAAAGAUGCAAACAUUCAGUAAAAUGACACACUGAUUCAUGAAAUAGCAUGCCUGUUCGGGAAAGACACACUGUUUGGACAAAUAGACAUGAUUUUUCAGGAAAGGUUACACCUUUUUAAGUGAACCAUUGUCACUUUUCAGAAGAGGCAUGUUAUGGCUUUAUAAACCUGCUUUCAUCCACAGGUUUAGACAUGAAAAAUAAUUUCUAAAACAAAAACUCUUCUUGUCUUCAAAUAUUCUGUGUGAUCAAUCAAACUGUUGAGUGAGUUCGUAGAAUCCGACAAUUUGAGGUACCGCUAUUGUUCGGAUUGAAGGCUAUUUUAUCCUAAGAGGAAAAUUUCAUAACCUCGGGUACAGUGAGGAGAAUUAUUCCUUAAGGACACUCUGUGAAGUCGGGGGACUUAGUCUGAAUUUUAGUUUCAUCUUUUUCUGAUUAUUAACACACUUCUAAGAUAGAUUAUUCAUAAUCUAGUGUUGAAGGUGUUAAGAAACUUCAUAAGUUCUUGUCUUGAACUUGAACUUGCUUUGAAGUUUGUGUUGCUUAUAUACAGAUUCUUGUACCCGACUAAAUACAAAAUAACAAUCUUAAGGAAUAACCUAGAAUCUGUAUUACUUGUUUUUAGAGAUGAAAGCUUUAAGCUUUCUACUCCAUUUGAAUUUAACUAGUGAUUAGAAGACAUAAAAUCUUCGUCACAAAAUUUAAAAUUCAUUCGGUUGACAAUUGGAAGUCAUAAAAACUUCAUUGUUAACUAGAAGCAAGAAGAAGAGUGUAAAUAUGCUUAACUUUAUAAGUAGUAUUCUGAAAAUACUAAAUAUUAUUGUCUUGUGGUGACAGAAAAAAUGACUAACGAUAAUCUAAUGCAAGAUGCGGCUACGACUGUGGAGGCAAACAGUAUUGCCUCAACAGGUCGAGCAAAUGCUCCACAACCAAUGGCACCUGCGGAGAAGCCCAGAAAAUUUGGGGGCAUUGACUUUAAGUGAUGGCAGCAGAAGGUGUUCUUCUACCUCACAACACUAUGCCUUCAAAAGUUCACUAGUGAGAAUGCUCCUGAGGUGCCCUAGGGAACCUCAAAAAAAGAGCGUUUUAUGAUUGUAGAGGCUUGGAAACACUCAAAUUUCCUUUGCAGGAAUUAUAUCUUGAGUGGUCUACAAGACGACCUUUCUAAUGUUUAUAGUGAAACUAAGACAUCAAUGGAAUUGUGGGGGGCACUUGAACAAAAAUAUAAGACAGAGGAUGUGGAAAUUAAGAAAUUCUUUGUUACAAGAUUCCUAGAUUUUAAAAUGAUAGAUAGCAAAUCGGUUCUCUCAAGUGCAGGAAUCGCUAAUAAUCAUCCACGAUCUCCUAGCGGAAGGUACAUCUUUGAAAAAUACCUUAGUUGAACAAAUUGAAAAGGUUCUUAAUACUCAUAUAAAGUGUUUUGUAGGUUUGAUUGUGAAUGAUGCUUUCCAAGUAGCCGCGAUAAUUGAGAAGCUACCACCGAUGUGGAAAGACUUCAAAAAAUACUUGAAGCAUAAACACAAGGAGAUGACUGUCGAAGAUCUUAUUGUCCGAUUGCAUAUAGACGGGGAUAAUAAAGCUGCCGAGAGAAGGUCAAAAGGGAAUUCUACAAUUAAUGGAGCACAUAUUGUGGAAGAUGACCAAAAUAAUUCUAAGAAAAGGAAGAAAGUUGAACAAGAAAGCUGUCAUGCCUCAAAUCCUAUUGGGGGGGACUGGCACCCAUAAUCGAAGAGGCUUGGGAGAACCAGCUCAUAACCUUAUACUUCCCAUGCAUACCUCUAUGACAACCUGAAAUUCGAAUAGCAUCCUGUAGCAUAUAAAAGGAAAUAAUCACCUAUAUAAGCUCGAGCACACAUAUAUAUGUAUAUACAAUACUUGGCCGUUGAAGCCAUCACGUCUAUUAACAAAAUGCCACCUUGACUGUACAUUAGGUCUACAAAGCCUCUAGACAAUACACAGAGUUUAACUAAGGUCGGGACACACCCCACCAUAUAACUGACUUCUAUACAAUACCAAAAGUGACUGGAUAUGACACGGAAAGCCCCGAAGCAAACUGAAGCUCACCAAAAGCAGCUGGAUAUCCUGGCUCCUACUUGUGCGGUGUAUGAGCUGAGGUGCCUGUGCCUGCAGCAUAAAAUGCAGGUCCCCCAUGGGGAAGUCAGUACAAAAUAUGUACUGAGUAUAUAAAGCUGUAGAUAAUCACAUAUGAUAUAGGAGCUCAAUAGAAAUCAGAAACAAGUGAAUAAAUCGUAAUAGGANNNNNNNNNNNNNNNNNNNNNNNNNNNNNNNNNNNNNNNNNNNNNNNNNNNNNNNNNNNNNNNNNNNNNNNNNNNNNNNNNNNNNNNNNNNNNNNNNNNNNNNNNNNNNNNNNNNNNNNNNNNNNNNNNNNNNNNNNNNNNNNNNNNNNNNNNNNNNNNNNNNNNNNNNNNNNNNNNNNNNNNNNNNNNNNNNNNNNNNNNNNNNNNNNNNNNNNNNNNNNNNNNNNNNNNNNNNNNNNNNNNNNNNNNNNNNNNNNNNNNNNNNNNNNNNNNNNNNNNNNNNNNNNNNNNNNNNNNNNNNNNNNNNNNNNNNNNNNNNNNNNNNNNNNNNNNNNNNNNNNNNNNNNNNNNNNNNNNNNNNNNNNNNNNNNNNNNNNNNNNNNNNNNNNNNNNNNNNNNNNNNNNNNNNNNNNNNNNNNNNNNNNNNNNNNNNNNNNNNNNNNNNNNNNNNNNNNNNNNNNNNNNNNNNNNNNNNNNNNNNNNNNNNNNNNNNNNNNNNNNNNNNNNNNNNNNNNNNNNNNNNNNNNNNNNNNNNNNNNNNNNNNNNNNNNNNNNNNNNNNNNNNNNNNNNNNNNNNNNNNNNNNNNNNNNNNNNNNNNNNNNNNNNNNNNNNNNNNNNNNNNNNNNNNNNNNNNNNNNNNNNNNNNNNNNNNNNNNNNNNNNNNNNNNNNNNNNNNNNNNNNNNNNNNNNNNNNNNNNNNNNNNNNNNNNNNNNNNNNNNNNNNNNNNNNNNNNNNNNNNNNNNNNNNNNNNNNNNNNNNNNNNNNNNNNNNNNNNNNNNNNNNNNNNNNNNNNNNNNNNNNNNNNNNNNNNNNNNNNNNNNNNNNNNNNNNNNNNNNNNNNNNNNNNNNNNNNNNNNNNNNNNNNNNNNNNNNNNNNNNNNNNNNNNNNNNNNNNNNNNNNNNNNNNNNNNNNNNNNNNNNNNNNNNNNNNNNNNNNNNNNNNNNNNNNNNNNNNNNNNNNNNNNNNNNNNNNNNNNNNNNNNNNNNNNNNNNNNNNNNNNNNNNNNNNNNNNNNNNNNNNNNNNNNNNNNNNNNNNNNNNNNNNNNNNNNNNNNNNNNNNNNNNNNNNNNNNNNNNNNNNNNNNNNNNNNNNNNNNNNNNNNNNNNNNNNNNNNNNNNNNNNNNNNNNNNNNNNNNNNNNNNNNNNNNNNNNNNNNNNNNNNNNNNNNNNNNNNNCGUUCGAAGCUCUCGAGAUGACAAACGCAGUUAUCGGAUUACUUUAGAAUUUCUACGGUUGAAUCUAAAGUAAUUUAAAGGUCAAAUUUGGCUAGGGUUUGUUCUUUCUCAAUGAUUGAUGAUGAAAAUAAGUUUUUGAACUCAUAUACAUAUAUAUAUAUAUACACAUAUUCCCAUCCAUAAUAUAAUAGGAAAUGACCAAAAUGCCUUUAAAAUUUAAAUAAUGUCAAAUCUAUCCUUUGGUGGACUGUUUUGGAAAGCUAAAGUAGAUCGACCAUAAAUCUUUUCCCCGAUAUCGAAUUUGGGUGAAAUUGGUACCGUUGGAAGGAUAAUUAAAAGGGCUUUCAUUUCAUAUAAAGUAGGCCACCCAGUUCGUCCUGUACAAGGAGUUAUGGUCGUUUGAAGUUGACCCUAAAAAUCUGUUUUGAUAGGCUGAAGUAAAAUGAGUAUAACUCCUUACUCAGACGUUGAAUUUGGAUGAAUACAAUUGAAUUGGAAAUAAUACUCAAAGAUCUUUCUUUUCAUAGGUCGCAGCUCUCCCAGUUCAUUAUAGUAAGAGAGUUAUGAUCGUUUGAAAUUGACCCAAAAAUUCGGCUGGCCUCAGUAGUUUGUGUGCAGGAAAUUUUCCUGCACAUUUACUAUUCCCAAAUAUCCCGGCCACCGUUUUAUAGUUUCGAACGUACUUGAUUAUAUCCGAAACCUAUCCAUUUUUAGAAAUCUUUAUAUCGUUGGAAAGUUUAUUCAAUAACCUUCGCAUGGAACCAUCGACGGGCAAGUUCUGGUAUAAAUAAAAUAAAAAAAUUAAUUCUAUAUAAAUAAGACCAAUACACGUACUUGAAUACACCAAUAAAUGUAUUUGAAUACAGGGUGUUACAGAAGCAAUCAACCCAAGAAUAAAUUCAAGGAAAAAUGCUUCAAUUGUAACAAGAUUGGCCACAAGUCCACGGAUUUUUGCACCCCGAAGAAAGGAAAGAAAAAGGACCAAGCAAAUAUGCUUGAGUCCAACAAAGAAUGUGAUGAUCUGUGUGCUAUAUUCUCAGAAUGCAACUUGGUGGGGAAUCCUCGCGAAUGGUGGAUGGAUUCUGGUGCCACCCGCCAUGUGUGUGCCAACAAAGAGUUAUUUUCGUUAUUCACUCCGGCUCAAGUAGAAGAAAUGAUCUACAUGGAUAACUCCGCUACUGCUAAGGUAGAAGGAACAAAAAAAUAUGCUUGAAAAUGACUUCAGGAAAAGUCUUGACAGUUAACAAUGUCUUGUAUGUUUCGGAGUUAUGUAGGAACUUAAUUUCUAUUUCACUUUUAUAUAAGAACGGAUUCGAAUGUGUAAACGUUUCUGAAAAAAUUAUAAUUAGCAAAGGAGAAAUGUAUGAAGGAAAAGAAUAUCUCACUGAGGGCCUUUAUAAGAUGAAUGUAAUAAAUGUUGAAAUCAGUAAAAGUUUAAAUUCUUCUUAUUUGCUUGAGUCUUAUGAUUUAUGGCAUGAACGUUUAGGCUAUGUUAAUUACAAAAUGCUACGAAAACUGAUUAACUUAGAAGUUUUGCCAAACUUUGAGUGCAAUAAAUCAAAGUGUCAAACAUGUGUAGAAUCAAAGUAUGCAAAGCAUCCUUAUAAGUCUGUUGAAAGGAAUUCCAAUCCCUUAGACUUAGUACACACUGACAUUUGUGAUAUGAAGUCAAGACCAUCACGUGGUGGGAAAAAGUAUUUCAUAAAUUUUAUUGACGAUUGCACUAGAUAUUGUUAUGUCUACUUGCUAAAUAGCAAGGAUGAAGCAAUAGAUGCGUUUAGGCAAUACAAAACUGAAGUGGAAAAUCAGUUAGAGAAAAAGAUAAAAAUGAUAAGAAGUGAUAGGGGCGAAGAAUAUGAAUGCCCCUUCUCUGAGAUAUGUGUAGAGAAUGGAAACGUCCAUCAAACUACGGCCCCGUAUUCACCUCAAUCUAAUGGAAUUGCGGAAAGGAAAAAUUGAAUUUUGAAGGAAAUCAUGAAUGCCUUACUUAUAAGUUCUGGUUUACUGCAAAACUUACGGGGGGAGGCUAUCCUUACAACCAAUCGUAUACUCAACAGAGUUCCCCAUAGUAAGACACAAUCAAUUCCUUAUGAAAAAUGGAAAGGAAGGAAACCUAACUUGAAAUAUUUUAAAGUGUAAGGGUGUCUAGCAAAGGUCCAAAUUCCUAUACCUAAAAGGGUUAAGAUAGGACCUAAGACGGUGGACUGCGUGUUCAUAGGAUAUGCUAAAAGUAUUAAAGCAUUUCAUUUUUUGGUUCAUAAAUCCAAAGAUUCGGAUAUUAAUGAAAAUACGGUAAUUGAAUCAGACAAUGUUGAAUUCUUUGAAAACAUUUAUCCGUAUAAAACUAGACAUGAACAGUCUAGUGGGGGGUCUAAAUGACCUCAAGAUGAACUAAGUGAGAAUGUACAUAAUGAAGAAAAUAAAAAACGUAGUACACAUCAAAGAACGUCUACUUCAUUUGGAUCGGAUUUUGUAACAUUUCUCUUAGAAAAUAAGACUCAAACAUUUAAGAAAGCGAUGACAUCUUCGAACUCAUCCAUUUGGAAAGAGGCAGUCAAUAGGGAGAUUGAUUUAAUCUUAAGCAACUAUAUAUGUGAAUUAGUUGAUCUUCCUCCCAAAAAUAAACCUUUAGGUUCUAAAUGGAUCUUCAAAAGAAAGAUGAAAGCGGAUGGUACUAUUGACAAAUACAAGGCAGGACAUGUAGCAAAAGGCUUCAAACAAAAAGAAGGCCUUGAUUACUUUGAUACAUUCUCGCCAGUAAUAAGGAUAACAUCAAUUUGAAUGUUAAUUUCCUUAGCUGCGGUAUAUGGCCUUGAAAUCCAUCACAUGGAUGUGAAAACCGCUUUCCUAAAUGGAGAAUUGGAGGAAGAAAUAAACAUGGAACAGCCUGAGGGUUUGGUGGUUCCAGGAAAGGAAAACAAGGUAUGUAAACUUAUUAAGUCAUUGUAUGGACUAAAGCAAGCACCAAAAAAAUGACAUGCAAAGUUUGACCAAACCAUGUUGGCAAAUGAAUUCAAAAUAAAUGAAUGUGAUAAAUGUGUUUAUAUUAAAGACACUCCAAAUCACCAAGUCAUUGUAUGUUUAUAUGUGGAUGAUAUGUUGAUCAUCCACAGAGAUAUUUCUGACAUAAAUACAAUAAAAUGAAUGCUCGAGAGCAAGUUUGAUAUGAAAAACCUUGUAGUUGCAGAUGUGAUCUUAGGUAUAAGAAUCCAUCGAACUCCACAAGGGUGCGCAUUGUCACAGUCUCAUUAUAUCAAAAAUAUACUUGACAAGUUCAAGUAUAUGGAAUUCGGUAUUGCCAAGACUCUUUUGGAUGUGAGCUUUGCACUUUGAAAGAAUGAAGGUGAAAGUGACUCACAAUUGGAGUACACAAGAAUAUUGUGAUGUUUAAUGUAUAUAAUGAACUGUACAUAACCAGACAUAGCAUGUGCUAUCAGUAAGUUGAGUCGAUACACGCGUAAUCCCAACAAAACUCACUAAAUAGCAAUGAAAAGAGUUUAGGGGUAUCUUAAAUACACUCAAGAUUAUGCCUUGCAUUAUAAUAAAUAUCCUACGGUACUUGAAGGGUAUAGUGAUGCAAAUUGGAUCACCAGAUCGAAUGAAGUUAAAUCCACAAGUGGAUAUGCAUUUAGAAUCAGUGGAGGAUCAGUCUCUUGGAAAUCAUCCAAACAUAUUUGUAUUGCUCGCUUUACAAUAGAAUCUAAAUUUAUCGCAUUGGAUAAAUGCGGUGAAGAAGCAGAAUGGCUUCCGUAUUGGCCCAAGCUAGUGGCACCAGUAUGUAUACACUGUGAUAACCAAGCGGCAAUAGGUAGGGCAUGGAUCAUGAUGUACAAUAGUAAAUCUUCACAUACGACGAAGACACAAUACCGUUAGGGAACUUCUCUCUAGUGGAAUUAUCAUGGUUGACUAUGUAAAGUCAAAGGAUAAUGUGUCGGAUCCACUUACAAAAGGCCUAUCUAGAGAAGAAGUGGAAAAGACAUCUAAGGGAAUAGGUUUAAGGCCUAGGAUAAGUCAGCAUAGCGGUAACUCUGCCUAGCAGACUGGAGAUCCCAAGAGCUAAGUUCAAGGAGAUCAAACAAAUUUAUGUUUGACAGGUUCAACAUUAUCAAUUACCUAACCCAUUCUAAUGAUGUAGACAAUGUUUAGUAAACAAGGAUAAGACUUAAGGUGAAAAUUCCUUUAAUGAUUAUCUAAAUUUGGCAAAUUUGACAAAAUAGUUUAAUCUAUAGGAUUGAACGUUUAGAAAUCACUUAAGUGAGGACGAAGUGGAAGCCACUUCAAGGAGAAUGUUAGUAAAGGUCUAUUCUCUAAGCUCUCAUGAAAUCGGGACAUGUUCAUGGCUAAAAAGAACCAAACCGUGAGAAUCAUAAAUGGUAAAAGGAUGAUUGUGUGACAUGUGUUGUCUAGGUGUACAUUAAAGCUCAAUGGUUCAAAGAUAUCAAAUCUAUCGAUUGAACGAGUGCAUCCAAUGUAUGUUCACUACAGAAAGUUCAAAGGAAAACCCACUUAUCCAGAUACAAUCAGUCUUUGCUUGAUGAUCACAUACUUGUCCGUAAAAUUUUUAUGAAAAAUAGUCAUUUUCCAUUCAUGUGGGGGAUAGUUGGGUUCAAUAUGUAUGGAAGAAGUGUGAAUGAAAAAUGGAGAGAAAAAUGGUGGAGGGAAGGAGACACUAAUUUAGAAAGUGUACUCCUAAAUUGAAAAUUUCACUAAAUCUCCCACAUUGGUGGGAGAAGAGAACUUUGGAGUGUUUUUAAUAAAGAAUACUUACUCCACAUGGAUAGUGAGGCAAGAACAAGGUGGUGCCUCGCGUCGUCGUCGUCCUCGCUCGCUCGACUCGACUUUGGAUUUGGAUUUGGAUUUGGUUAAUGAUCGAUUGAUGUGAUCUAUCUUUUUGGACAAAAUUUAUUUGAUCAGAAUCUGAUCCAUAUAUACCAAAGGAAAAAUGACAGAAACGCAGAAAAUUUUUCUGAGUUUUAUCCUCCAUUUAUAUGCAUGUAUAUGAUGCACUGUUACGAACUGAAUUGAUGCAAUGUUAUGAAAUGAUGCUUCGGAAAGAUGCAACCAUUUAGUAAAAUGACACACUAAUUCAUGAAAUGGCAUGCCUGUUCGAAAAAGACACACUGUUUGGACUAAUAGACAUGAUUUUUCAGGAAAAGUUACACCUUUUAAGUGAACCAUUGCCACUUUUCAAAAGAGGCAGAUUAUGGCUAUAUAAACCUGCUUUCAUCCACAGGUUUAGACAUGAAAAAUAAUUUCUAAAACAAAAACUCUUCUUGUCUUCAAAUAUUCUGUGUGAUCAAUCAAACUGUUGAGUGAGUUCGUAGAAUCCGACAAUUUGAGGUACCGUUAUUGUUUGGAUUGAAGACCAUUUUAUCCUAAGAGGAAAAUUUCAUAACCUCGGGUACAGUGAGGAGAAUUAUUCCUUAAGGACACUCUGUGAAGUCGGGGGACUUAGUCUGAAUUUUAGUUUCAUCUUUUUCUGAUUAUUAACACACUUCUAAGAUAGAUUAUUCAUAAUCUAGUGUUGAAGGUGUUAAGAAACUUCAUAAGUUCUUGUCUUGAACUUGAACUUACUUUGAAGUUUGUGUUGCUUAUAUACAGAUUCUGGUACCCGAAUACAUACAAAAUAAUAAUAAAUUCCACAAUUGCUUACUGACGGCCGUUCUAUUCCAGAGCGAUAUCCAGGACAUUAAUUCCACCAGAAGUUCUAAGUAAGCUCACUUUGUCCCAUGGUUACAAAGUCUUUUUUCAACUCCACCGGUCCACAAGAAUCUCAUACAAGUCUGUUCAAUGAGUUUGAUCACCUUAGAAGGCAAAAUAAAAAUCUGUGACCAAUAGACUUGUAUGGAAAACAAGACAGCUUUGAUCAAGGUUUCUCGUCCAGCAUAAGAGAGGAACUUGGUAGUCCAACAUAAAAUUCUACCAAUAUCUUUGUGAUCAAGGUCUAACAUUGCAUUAUUGAUAAUCUUUUGGUACUUAAGGGUACUCCUAAAUACCUAAAAGGCAAGGCACAUAGCAGUUUGGAUAAUAUCUUUGACUCCACCAAAAUACACGCAGCUCUUAUCAAGGUUAGCUAUCAGGCCAGAAGCUUGUGAGAAGUGAUGAAAGCAAUCAUAAAGUAGUUGGACAGACUUGACAUCUCCUUUACAGGAUAAAAGUAGAUCAUUCGCAAAUCCAAGUUGAAUCACAUUCAUUUUAGCAUAUCUAGGGUGAAACUUGAACUCAAGCAUAGUAAUCGAUUGUUUCAGCUUCCUAGGCAAAUACUCCAUAGCUAGGACAAAAAAGAAGGGGCACAUAGGGUCCACCUGCUGUAAUCCUCUCUUAGCAUCAAAGGGUUCAGCGGGCCAACCAUUAAUACAAAUCAAAUAGGACACUGUUUGGAGACAUUCCAUCAUCCAUCCUAUAAAUCUGGUUGGAAAAUUUAAGUGCCUCAACAUUUGUUCCAGAAACACCCAUUCCAGUGAGUCGUAUGCUUUUUGCAUAUCGACUUUGAGCGUACACCUUGGAAAAAUUCCUUUCCUACCAUAAUUGAAGUCCUCAUAUUAAGAAUAUAUUGCACCAAAAAUUGGAUCCAAGACCGAAUAAAAAUCUUACAUAAGAGAAAUUAUACAAUGAAACUAAUUUAUUUAUUAAAAUAAUUCAUAUUAAAUAUUGGGUUAGAGAUAAAAAUGGUAGUACGAAUUUGCCUUUGCUUGGAUUCCAUAUUGUCAUUUAAUUGCUUUCAAGUUUAGCAAUUCUUUUGUUAGGUUUGUACUAAUUUUCUACUAUAACUAAAAUUAAAUUUUUUGGUGGAAAAAGGUUACUUUGUUAAAAAAGAUCUAUUUCAUAUUUGAAAAUAAAUUUUUGGAGGAAAAGUUUUUAACUUUGAUAAAUUGAGAAUCUUUUUACUUAUAAAUAAUAGAAUAACAUUGACAAUAUAGCCUUUAAAGAGCUUUUUUAAGAAGGUAAAUUAUUCUUUCAAUAGUUGUGUAUUUUAAAUAUUAGUUUUUUCAUUAUGAGUGACCGUAUUUUAAAUAUUAGUUUUUUCAUUAUGUAGGUCACUCGAUCAAAUCAUAUUAAAUUUUAUACUUAAUUUGUUAUAUAAUUUUUUUGUUAUCUGAUUUAUUCUCUUCAAUGCUAGCAAUAGUUAGAUUUUGAAUAACGUUAUGUAGAAUAAUCAGGGCAACAUGCUCAUUAUUUUGAUUUACUGCAAUUCCAACUUUUUUAGAAUUAACUCGGAACUUUAAUUGUAGAAUAAUCAAAACUUAAAUUUUUAUUCCAAUAGACAAUAACAUAAUUGAGAUACAAUAUUUAAAUUAUUUAAAUAUUAGAUGGUCAAGCUUUAGGACCUAGUAGCCCUAAAGCAUCCGUAGUGGCUGCGGAAGUGGUCGAGAAAUCUGCAGCACCAACGAAUUGGGCAAAUUUGUUCACUACUAACAAGUUUGCAGCUAAAGGAAUGGAACUUGAGUAUGUUGCACCUAUGAUUGUUGAAGGGGAAGUUGUAGCACAACUACAGCAAGAGGAUAUACAAGCAGGCAUUGAGGCUUGGAAGCAUGCUCUAAUUUUCUAUGUUGUUGGAACUUCCCCAACCAUAGCAGUUGUUGAACGUUAUAUUGUUGGAACAUGUAAUUUUGUAGCCGCCCCUAAAGUGUACUACCACAAUGAUGAUUUCUUCUUGAUCAAAUUUCAGAGCAUCGCUGAUCGUGAUGCGGUUCUCUUUUAGGGUCCUCAUAUGAUGAACAACAGACCAGUAAUUGUCAAAGGGUGGGAAGCUGACUUUGAUCUGAACAAAGAGGUGCUUCGAAUGAUCCUGCUAGGGCUCAAAUUGCCAGGACUCCCGCUGAGCUAUUGGAGUUUGAACUCCUUGAGUAGAAUUGGGAGUGACCUUGGUAAACCAGUGUAUGCGGAUAACUGUACAACCAACGUGGAUUGUAUUUCUUAUGCGAGAAUUUUAGUGAUUAUGGAUAUCACAAAACCCCUUCCACAAUCAAUUAAGGUGUUCGACCAUAAUGGAAGAGUAGUUGAACACGAUAUUGUAUAUGAAUGGAAGCCGACAUACUGUGACAAAUACCUCCAAGUUGGUCAUAACUGCCAGGCCAAGGUGAAACAACAAAAAAAUAAAGAAGAAGGUGCUAAAGUGCAGACUACAAUAAAUCUGGAGAAAGGUGAAAUUAAGCCAGCCAACCCACAAAAGGGGAAACACAUGCGAGCAUUAUGGUUAAGAAAAGAUGGGGAAAUAAUGCAACCUCACCUGCUAAUUUUGGAAAAGGGGUCUUCAAGCAACACAGAGGAUGAAGGGUGGAAAUAGGUAGCAGGCAAGUCAAAUCCUAGGACUGCACAGGCGCAAACCCCUACUACUAUUGCUAAUGUGUUUAGACCACUAGAUUUUCCACCUAUACAGGCCUAAAAGGUGAACCAACAAGCUCAAUCGGGUGCGCCUAGGGGUAUGACCCGUCCCCCCGACCCUCAAUAAGCUUCAUGAAGAUAGUUGCCUGGAACAUUGGAGGCCUCAAUAAAGUGUACAAGUAGCCUGAGUUAAUAAAGUUCCUAAGGGAAAACAAUAUAGGCCUCAUAGCUUUAUUGGAACAUAGAGUUUGUCAAUCUCAAGCUUCUAGAAUAAAAGAUAGAAUUGCACAAGGGUAGGAAGUUUGUUGGAAUUACACUAUUGGGAAAGAUCACAUAUGGAUAUUGUGGAAUCCCGAUAUAAUUCAAUUCCACCCGCUGGACAUCCAAGAUCAGUUUAUUCAUGGUACCUUCAAGUUGAUUGGUAGGCAAUUGGAGUUCUACAUCACUGCAAUUUACGGUCUACAUACUGUGUCUUCUAGAAGACCACUAUGGCGUGCUAUCAGGAGUAUCCAUAAUUCAAUUCAUGGACCUUGGGUGAUUUUAGGGAACUUCAACGCUAUCCGAGAUAUAUAUUAUAGAUUAUAUAGGAGUAUGGUGCAGGAAUAUGAGGUAUCUGACUUUAAUUCAUGCAUGAUUGAUGCUGGUUUGACUGAACUAAAAACCAUUGGCCACAAAUAUGCUUAGAGAAAUAAUCACACUAUAAGCAAAAUUGAAUAGGCUUUAGUCAACAGUGAUUGUAUGAUGCAAUUUUCUCACAUCGAAGCUGUGACAUGGACCCACACUGUUCUGAUCAUUCUCUAAUUAUUGUUGAAAUAGAGGAACAAUAUGCGCCAAGGUAUAGGCCUUUAAAAUUCUUUAAUCAUAUUUCUAAUCACCCUGAAUUUUUGGGGAUUAUCAGUCAGGUUUGGACGCAACAAAGGCAUGAAACUGGAAUGAAAUCCAUUUAGGGUAAACAGAAAGCUGCAGAACGACUCAUUAAGGGACUAAACUCAAGGGGAUUUUCUAAAGUAGAUGAAAAUUUGCAACUGUACAGAGAGGAACUUGUCGAGGUGCAACAACAGAUGCAAGACCCUACCAAUUUUAGCACCUUAUUUGAGAGGGAAAGGAAUACCAAAAUGAAGUUGGAGAAAUGGCCCUCUAUCGAAGAAAACAUACUGCAAUAGAAGUCACAAGUGAAAUGGCUCCCAUUAGGAUAUUCUAAUAAUGCAUAUUUUCAUGCCUUCAUGGAGGGAAGAAUUACCCAGAAUCAGAUUCGAUCUCUCACUACUUUGGUAGGAAAUAUAGUUCACACCUCAGAUGAUAUAGAAGCUGAAAUUACAGGAUUCUACAAGAAGCUAUUGGGCUCCUCUUCUUCUCUGCUGCCUUUUAUUCAAGAGGAGGUGUUACUUAAAGUUUCUAGGCUGCACAGAGAACAAUAAUUGAAUCUGGUCAAAUCAGUUAUAAUAGAGGAAAUAAAGAAAGAACUAAUGUGCAUAAAUGACCUUAAAGCUCCGAGCUAUGAUGGAUUAAAUUCCACUUUUUCAAAAAGAGUUGGGAGUUUAUAGGAGAAGAAGUAACUACAGCAGUGCUCCAAUUCUUCCAGACUUGCCAAAUGUACAAGCCCUCAAUUGCACAACAGUGACGUUAAUUCCCAAGAUCAAGAACCCUAUAACAGUAAAAGUAUUUUAGGCCUAUUUCAUGUUGCAUAAUUUUGUAUAAAUGUAACAUCCCGUAGCAUUCUCGACUUAGCACCACUCUUAGUGGCAUGCAUAGAGAGCUUACAACCUGAAAUUUUUGUAAGUGUUAAAAUACUUAGUCAUAUUUUUGAGCCCUUAACUCCAAUGAUUUUGUAAAUUGAUCUUCCCAACCUCGAGACAUAGAUUUUUUAGUUGAUUCAUGUUCAGGGAUAUAAGGAGAUGUCUAGGGAAAGUUUUGGAUUUUUCAAACAAGGUUUGGGAUGUGUUUGGAUUUUGAAAAUAGUGGUUCACCGCGAUUGCACCGCACUGCGGUACUUAUAGCAAUGAUGCCUCUGGCGCAUCGCGGUGAGUCCCAAAAAUGGAUUUCAGUUGCAAAUUUAAAUUCUGAGGGGCAAUCUUGUCUUUUUCCUAUAGCCCCAAAUCGUGAUAAUAGUACUUUAAGAUGUCAUUGGGGAAUUAUAUGCUAAAAAUUACUCAAUUUCUCUCAUAAAACUAAAUCCUAACUCUUCCUCAAAGAUCAAGAAUCCAACCUAUAAGCUUAAGAUUUUCAAGAAAGGAGUCAAUAUUAGAGUUCAUUCUUUGAACUAAGGAACCUAAGGUACGUGGGCUAUCCUAAACUUCAUGGGCAUAGUGAAAUCAUUUUUAGUAAAUUUUAGAGUUAUGAACUCAUGUGUUUAUGAAAGGUUUUGAAAAUACUCUAAAUAAUUAUGCUUUAUGAAACCAUUUAGAUGACAUAGCGUUUUGGUUUUGAGGCCCUAUUAUGGAAUUGAAACAAUGUCACGUGUAUAUACAAGUAUUUUCAAUUUUGUAAGUUUGAAUUGAGAGCAUGAAUAACGUAACUCCCUUUCUUGUUAUGAUACCUUUGGAUUUCACAUGUUAUGGGUUGUCAAAUUACAUGAUUGGAAGUAUGAAAUGAAUGUUUUGAUAUUGUUUAUGAACUUGAUAUUAGUUGUGAAUUGAAGAGAAGAUGUUUUUUUGUUUAUAAGUGUUUAAUGCAAUAAUUGAAAGAGUUGCAUGGAUUGUUACACAGAAAUUGACCAUCAAGUGUUAAAGUAUUGAAAGAAGAGAGUCUUUGCAUAAGUUUCACAUGUUUUGAACUAAGAACUAUUUUGCAUGAUUUAAAUGUUUUGAUGGUCAAAUGAUUGAGCUGAUUGAACAAUCUAAAACAAAACAUGACAUGGCUUAAACAUAUGACUUGCAAGUUUUGGUAUGACGAUACCAAAAUAGAUAAUGCCAUGAUAGACUCAGAAUAGAAUACUGAUUUCCUUAUAACAGAAUACCGAUUUCAUCCAGAUUUUUAGAUUUUAAGUUCAGAAAUAUGCAUGUUUAGAAAAGGUUAAAAAUGGGCUUAAAGAGAGUUAGGUGGUACUCGAAGAAGGCAUGAGUUCAGACACUCCUUGCUCGAAAUCGUAUUUUGCUGAUAAGGGUUUUAUUAUGUCCCAAGAUAGGGAUUAUUUGUCGGCCUUUUCCCCUUUGGCGUAUUAGAAUUAAAAACUCUAACCCUUGUGACAAACUUGGGUUGGGGGCUUAGCCACCAACUCAACGGCGGAUUCCAUAUAGCCCAUGAGAUUGUAGACUUGUAGGGUGUACCACCUAGCUUAGAAGUAAGAUAAAGAGUUGAGAUUUACAGAAAUGUUUACAACUCUAUUGAAACUACCCAUGUAUUUAGAGAUGCUUUACACUGACAUGUUUUAAUGAAAUGUUCUCGCCUAUAUUAUAUAAAGACUAUAUUUUUGCUUUUGGAUUGUACUGCGUACCAGUAUAUUUUGUAUUGACCCCCUACAUUUUAGGAUUUAAGGCUCAGUCCUGGGGUCCUGCUAAGCAAUAGACCAUUGUCAGAUGUUUGAAAUUGGUGAGUCUCCCUUAUUUUGGAAGGCCUUAUCUCAUGUGAUGUUUUAUUUUAUUUUAGUUCAUGGUCCGAUUGGGGGCCUUGCCCCAGUUUUCAGACAAAUGUUGAUUUUAGUAUUGUUAGAGAUUUCACAGACUGAUGUUAAUGAUUUGAAUAUUUAUGAACUCACAUUAGUAUUGUUCAGUAAUAACAAGAAGAUGACCAUGUUUCCGUUUUACUAUAUUUUUGCAUUUCUUUAUAGUAUGUGAAUGUUGCAUAUGAUUGCCAAAUUAGAAGGGUUCUCGGGCCUUCAUGGUUUGGGAUGCUUAUCGUGGAUAGGGCCUCGAUUUGGGUUGUGAAAAACUUGGUAUCAGUGCACGGUUCAUGGUCCUAUGGUGUUUGUAAAAUCGCAUCAUGUAGAAUUCUAUUUAUGGGUGUGUAGCGUGCCACACUUAUAAGGAGGAGGCAUCUAGGCAAUUAAGAAUGUCUCUCUUUUAUUUCAUGAUUUAGUUCAUGCUAUAGAAUAUGAAUGUCCUCUAAUCCAUGAUUUUCUAUAUUUCAGAAUUUGAUCAUACCUCUCCGUAUAACCAACGAACAAAAUACCAAUACAAACUCAUAAUAGAGCUCGUACCCCAGUGUUUGUCUUUACUCCAAGAGUUCCUCCAGUCCCGACUAGUCCACCUCAGGCUCCAUGGACUGGUGUUAAUCAUCCCUAGCCUCCUCAAAGAGAAGUUUUGAAUGUAGAGUUCUAAUAAUCCAUCCAUAUAAUUGCUCAACUGGUGGUCUCUUAGACCCGUCGGUCUGAAGAUGUUGGUUCAUCUGAACUUACUCGAGUUAGCCAAUUCAUAAGGCUAAACCCACCCACCUUUACUGGCACAAAAUUUAAGGAAGACCCCCAAAGGUUUAUUAAUGAAAUGGAGAAAAUUUUUAGAGUUAUGCAUGCUAAUGAAUUUGAAGGGGUUGAGUUGGCAGCCUGUCAGUUGAAGGAUAUAGCUAACCAGCGGUAUAAUGAGUGGGAGAAUUUGAAGGGUGGUGAUGUUAAACCUUCUGUUUGGGGUGAGUUUUUAGAAACUUUCCUGGACUGUUUCUUUCCCCAAGAAUUAAGAGAGAAAAAGGCUGAAGAAUUUAUGAAUUUGAAAUAAGGAAAGAUGAGUAUUAAGGACUAUGCUUUGAAGUUCACUCAGCUGUCUCGAUAUGCUCUAGAGUUAGUGGGCAACAUGAGGGCUCGCAUGAGGAAUUUUGCAUUUGGUUUUUCGAAUGAUUUAGUAUUGGAAUGCAAGGGACAAAUGUUGAACAGGGACAUGGAUUUCUCCAGGUUAUCAGUGUAUAUAUAGUAGGUAGAAGAGAAGAAGAAGAGGUUAACUGAGGUGAGGGGAAAAAAAAGGCAAGCUAAAAGAGCUAGGUCUGUAGACCAGAAUGCUAGUCAGCAUCAGGGUGGCAAUUGAGGCAAUAAGUGGACUAAGAAAAAGUUUAGAGCAAUGCUCAGUAUUUAGCUAGUGCCCCGGCUCGUAGACCUCCAGUCGACUGUGGUUUUAGAAUUCUCAGUCUAGCCAUGGAUUGAGUGUGCAGGGUACUCAGUCCAAAGGUAGUGUAUCUCAAUCGUAUUGGUAAUUUCCUAGAUGUGGGACUUGCAAUAAAUAUCACCCAGGGAAGUGUCAGUUUGGUAGAUUGGUGUGUUAUGCUUGUGGUCAGUUAGGCCACUUUCAGAGAAACUGUCCUUUCAUAAGAGAAAAACUUGGUGGAGCCAGGUCCCAGACGAAUUCCACAGCUCCACCACCACCUAAGGGUACUACUUUAGAUGUUGGAAGUAGUCGCAAUGGUUGUAUGCAUUAUCAAACCACUAUAAUGCAGAGACUUCACCAAAUGCUAUCACAGGUAUGUUACAGAUUUUCUCCCAUGAUGUAUAUGUGUUACUUGAUCCAGAGUCUACCUUGUCUUAUGUGACCCCCUAUGUGGCAGUUAUUUUUGGUUUUGAACCCGAAAAUAUUUUGUAACCCUUUUAUAUUUCCACCUCUAUUGGUGACUCCAUUGUGACUAAAAGGGUUUAUAAAAAUUAUGUGGUAUUUAUUUUUCAUCGUGAUACUAUGGCUGAUCUUGUAGAACUGGAUAUGAUUGAUUUUGAUGCUAUAUUUGGAAUGGAUUGUCUCCAUUCGUGCUAUACUACACUAGACUGUAGAAUCAUAAAAGUCACUUUCUCUUUUCCUAAUGAGCCAGUGAUAGAAUGGGAGGGAUAUUCUCUAGCACCAAGGAGGAUAUCUUAUCUUAGAGCCCAUAAGCUUAUAUCAAAAGGUUGUUUGUACCAUCUUGUUUGGGUUAAUGAUUCUAGUGCUGAAAGCCCUUCCCUCCAGUCUGUUCCCGUAGUUAAUGAAUUCUUGAAAGUUUUUCCUAAUGACCUUCCUGGGUACCUCCAAAUAGUAAAAUAGAUUUUGGCAUUGAUUUUUUGCUGGACACUCAUCCUAUUUCUAUUCCGCCAUACAGAAUGGCUCCUGCAAAAUUGAAAGAGUUGAAAGAAAAGUUAAAACACCUUCUUGAUAAAGGCUUUAUUCAUUCUAGUAUCUCUCCUUGGGGUGCUCUGGUACUUUUUGUGCAUAAGAAAGAUGGUUCACUCCGUAUGUGUAUAGAUUACCAUCAGCUAAAUAAGGUCACAGUUAAAAAUAAGUACCCUCUUCCUAGAAUCAAUAAUCCCUUUGACCAACUUCAAGGUGCCAAGUGUUUCUAUAAAAUAGACCAUCAUUCGUGGUACCAUCAACUGAAGGUCAGGGAGGUAAAUAUUCCCAAAACGGCUUUACGAACCCGAUAUGGCCACUAUGAAUUCUUAGUUAUAUCCUUCAAACUGACUAAUUCCCUCGCAGCUUUUAUGGACCUAAAAAAUAGGGUGUAUCAUUCGUUUCUAGAUCUAUUCAUCAAAGUCUUUAUUGACUACAUAUUAAUUUAUUCUAAGAAUGAGUAUGAUCAUUCUAACCACCUCUGAAUUAUCCUUCAGACCAUUAGAGAUCAUGAGUUGUAUGUUAUGUUUUUCAAGUGUGAAUUUUGGCUUAGUGCUAUUGGUUUCCCUAGGCACAUCAUUUCUAGUGAGGGGAUCGAGGUUGACCCCCAAAUGGUUGAGGCAGUGAGAAAAUGGCCCAGACCCACGACUCCAACCGAUGUCCAGAGCUUCUUAGGUUUGGAAGGGUAUCAUAGAAAAUUUGUAGAGAUUUUUUGAUCCAUAGCUGCUCUACUUAUGAGAUUGACUUAGAAAAGGUGAAAAUUUUGUGGUCUGACUCUUGUGAGAAUAACUUUGAGAAACUAAAAGACAAAUUUACUACCGCACCAGUUUUGACUCUUCCUGAGGGUACAGAGGGCUUUGUUGUGUAUUGUGAUAUGUCUCGGGUGGGACUUGGGUGUGUGCUUAUGCAACAUGGUAAGGUAGUGGCCUACGCAUCUUGGCAGUUAAAGGUUACACGAAAAGAACUAUCCCACUCACAAUUUGGAGUUAGCGGUUGUGGUAUUCAUAUUAAAGAUUUGGCAUCAUUAUCUCUAUGGGGUGUAUAUUGAUAUAUUUACUGACCACAAAAUUUUGCAGUAUAUUUUCACAUAGAAAGAACUGAAUCUCAGACAGAGGCAGUGGUUGGAAUUAUUAAAGGAUUAUGAUAUAAGCCUGCAUUACCAUUCGGGCAAGGCCAAUGUGGUGGAUAACGCCCGUAGUAGAUUGUCAAUAGGCAGUCUUUCUCAUGUUGAUAAAGAAAAGAUGGAGAUGGUGAAGGAUAUUUAUCGUCUUGCAAAUUUGGGAGUCCGACUCCUAGAUUCUAAAAAUGGAAAAGUAUUCAUUCAUGAGGUGGCUAAAUCAUCCUUAUGUGCGGAGGUCAAGGAAAAGAAAAUCAGAGAUCCCAUUCUAAUGCAGAUCAAGGAACAUGUUGGUCAACAGAAGGUAAUGGUUUUCAAAAUUGGCGGUGAUGGGAUUCUGAGGUAUCAAGGUAGGCUAUGUGUGCUGAAUGUAGAUACGCUGCGAGAAAUAAUUCUUGAUAAAGCUCAUACUUCUAGGUAUAUGGUUCACCCCAAUUCUACUAAAAUGUAUCAUGACCUUAAGCCUAUUUACUGGUGGAAUAAUAUGAAGAGGGAUGUUUCUAACUUUGUGGCUAAGUGCUUGAAUUUUCAACAAGUUAUGGUUGAACAUUUGAGGCCAGGUGGAACUUCCUAAGAUACAACUUUGCCUAUGUGGAAGUGGGAGAUGGCCAACAUGGACUUAAUUAAGAGGCUUCCAAUAUCCCAAAACUAAUAUGACUCCAUUUAGCUGAUUGUAGACAGGAUGACUAAGUCUGCCCAUUUUCUCCCUGUGCGAACCAACUAUUCGAAGGUGACUAUGCUAAGCUAUACAUUCGAGAGAUAGUCCAUUUUCAUGGUGAUCCUGUAUCUAUUAUAUCUGACUAAUGUACGUAAUUCUAUUUGCAGUUUUGGAGGUCUUUUCAAAGGGUAGGCACCCAAGUAAACCUGAGUACCACUUUUCACCCUCAGACUGAUAGGCAAGCAGAACACACCAUUUAGACCUUAAAGAUAUGUUGAGGGCCUGCGUGAUUGACUUUAAGGGUAGUUGGUUGGACCAUUUGUCAUUGAUUGAGUUUGCCUGCAAUAAUAGGUACCAUUCCAGUAUUCAGACGGACCCUUUUGAAGCUCUUUAUGGUAGAAGAUGUAGGUCUCCGAUUGGGUGGCAUGAAGUGGAGGAAACCCAGUUGUUUGAACCUGACCUCGUCCAUCAAGUGAUGAAGAAAGUAAAAGUCAUUAGGAAGUGACUUAAGAUAGCACAGAGCCGUGAAAAGUCUUAUGCUAAUGUCAGAAGAAGGGAGCUGGAGUUUGAGGUUGGUGAUUGGGUUUUUCUAAAAGUUUCCCCUAUGAAGGGAGUCAUGUGAUUCGAUAAGAAAAGGAAAUCUCAAUCCUCGUUAUAUAGGGUCAUAUCAAAUUUUGAGUAGGGUAGGUGGAGUUACUUAUUAGCUGUAUUUGCCAGGAAGUUUAGCUUCUGUACAUCCGAUAUUUCAUGUAUCAAUAUUGAAAAAGCGUAUUGGAGAUCAUUCUGUUGUUUUGCUUGUGGAGGAUAUUAAUGUAAAGGACUUGUUGUCAUAUAAAAAGGAACCCAUUGCUAUUUUAGACUGCCAAGAGCUGAAGUUGAGGAGUAAGGAGAUUGUUUUGGUUAAGGUGUUGUGGAGGAAUCAAAAGACUGAGGGACCUACUUGGGAAUCGAAGGAUGACAUGCAUACGAGGUACCGGCUCUUUUUGAAACCAUGGAUAACGAUAUGGAAGGUACAAAUCUUUUACCACUAUUUUCUUAUUGUAUGGAGCUCAAAAUUAUGCUUAUUGUGUCUCGAGUCAUCAUUCGAGGAUGAAUGAUCCCCGUAGGGGGGAUAAUGUAACACCUCAUAGUAUUCUCGACUUAACACCACUCUUAGUGGCAUGCAUAGAGAGCUUACAACCUAAAAAUUUUCUAAGUGUUAAAAUACUUAGUCAUAUUUUGGAGCCCUUAACUCCAAUGAUUUUUAAAUUGAUCUUCCCAACGCCUAGACAUAAAUUUUUGAAUUGAUUCAUGUUCAGGGGUAUACAGGGGAUAUCUCGAGAAAGUUAUGGAUUUUUCGAAUGAGGUUUGGUACGUGUUUGGAUUUCAAAAAUAAUGGGUCAUCGUGAUUGUACUGUGUCGCAGUCCCUAUAGCGAUGAGGCCUCUGGCACGUCGCUAAGAGUCCCAAAAAUGGGUUUCAGUUAUGAAUUUAAAUUCUAAGGGUCAAUCUCAUCUUUUUCCUAUAUCCCCAAAUUGUGAUAAAAGUAGAUUAAGACAUCAUUAGGGCAUUAUAUUCUCAAAAUUACUCAAUUUCUCUCAAAAAACUAAACCCUAACUCUUCUUCAAAGAUAAAAAAUCCAACCUAUAAGUUCAAGAUUUUCAAGAAAAGAGUAAAUAUUAGAUUCCAUUCUUCGAACUAAGGAACCUAAGGUACGUGGGCUAUCUUAAACGUCAUGGGCAUAGUGAAAUCAUUUUCAGUAAGUGUUAGAGUUAUGAACUCAUGUGUUUAUUAAGGGUUUUGAAAACACUCUAAAUAAUUAUGCUUUAUGAAACCAUUUAGAUGACAUAGUGUUUUGGUCUUGAGGACCUAUUAUGGAAUUGAAACAAUAUUCACGUGUAUAUACAAGUAUUUUUAGUUUUGUAAGUUUGAAUUAAGAGCAUGAAUAACAAAAAUCCCUCUCUUGUUAUGAUACUUUUUGAUUUCACAUGUUAUGGAUUGUCAAAUUGGAAGAUUGGAAGUAUGAGAUGAAUGUUUUGAUAUUGUUUAUGAACUUGAUAUUGGUUAUGAAUUGAAGAGAGAGUGUUAAACAAGUGUUUAAUGCGAUAACUGAAAGAGUUGCAUGGAUUGUUACAAGGAAAUUGACCAUCAAUUGUUAAAGUAUUAAAAGGAGAGAGUCUUUGCAUAAGUUUCAUAUACUUUGAAAUAAGAAAUCUCUUGCAUGAUUUAAAUAUUUUGGUGGUCAAAUGAUUGAUCUGAUUGAAUAAUCUAAAGCAGAACAUGACAUGGCUUAGACCUAUGACUUGCAAGCCUUGGUAUGACGAUACCAAAAUAGAUAAUUCCAUGAUACACUCAGAACAGAAUACCAAUUUUAUUCAAAUUUUCAAAUUUUAUGUUCAGAAAGAUGCAUGUUUAGAAAGGGUUGAAAAAGGGCUUAAAGAGUUAGGUGGUUAACUGAAGAAGGCAUGAGUUCAGACACUCAUUGCCUAAAACCAUGUUUUGACAAUAUGGGUUUUAUUAUGUCCCAAGAUAGGGAUUAUACGCUGGCCUUGUUCCCUUUGGUGUAUAAGAAUCAUAAACUCUAACCUUUGCUACAAACUUGGAUUGGGGGCUUGGACGCCGAGUUAAGGACGGAUUCCAUAAAGCCCAGGGGAUUGUAGACUUAUAGGGUGUACCACCUAGCUCAGAAGUAAUAUAAAGAGUUGAGAUUUAUAGAAAUGUUUUAAACUCUAUUAAAACUGCCCAUGUACUUAAAGAUGCUUUACACUGACAUGUUUUAAUGAAAUGCUCUCGCCUAUAUUGUAUAAAGACUAUAUUUUUCCUUUUGGAUUGUCCUGCGUAGAAGUACAUUUUGUAUUGACCCCCUAUAUUUCAGGAUUUGAGGCUCAGUCCCGGUGUCCCGCUAAGCGGUAGACCAUUGUCAGACAUUUGAAUUUGGUGAGCCUUCCUUAUUUCAGAAGGCCUUAUCUCUUGUGAUAUUUCAUUUGAUUUUAGUUCAUGGUCUGAUUGAGGGCCUUGUCCCAGUUUUCAGACAAAUGUUGAUUUCAGUAUUGUUAGAGAUUUUGCAGACGGAUGUUAGAUGAUUUGAAUAUUUUUGAACUAACAUUACUAUUCUUCAGUAAUAACAAGAAGAUGACCAUGUUUACGUUUUACUAUGAUUUACGCAUUUCUUUAUAGUAUGUGAACGUUGCAUGUGAUUGCCAAAUUAGAAAGGUUCUCGGGACUUCAUGGUUUGGGAUGCUCGUCGCGGCCAGGGCCUCAGUUUGGGUCGUGACAGUAAAAUUACUUCCAAAUUCAUAACAAAUAGACUAUAGAAUGUUAUGGAGUCUUUGGUCGAUCAUAAUCAGGCAGCAUUCGUCCCAAGAAGAGUUAUAACUGACAACAUAUAAUACCCCCAAACUUUUCUUAGCUUAAAUUCAUUCUUAGAAUGUUAAUGGAUAGCUUCCAAAAUGAAUAAUAUUUAUUUUGUGUGGAAUUUUUUAGGUUUAGGCUUUCCAUUGUGAGGAAAAUUGAAUAAGUUUUCCAUUGAUACCAAAUUAGCCCAAUUCCGACACCCAGUUGAGGAGUUAGAGCAUUUUUAAGUUGACAGUGUGCCACCUGGGCAGUCACCGCAUUACGGAGAUGGUUAAAUUCAUAAUUUUCAUUUUCCAGUGGACCUCUGCGAUAUUGGAACAUCGCGGAGUGGUCCAUUUUCCCUAUUGUCAAUUUCUAGUAGCCCAACGCUAUAAUGACGAGUCGCGCCAAAGACCAAAAUGGCAUUCCUAUAGGGCACCGCGAUGGUGGUGCGUCGCGUUGAAGUUUCAGGUCCCAAUUAUCAAAAUGUAGUGGGACAACGUGAUAGCUCCAUGUUGCGGAGUUCCCCAAUUUCCCCGUCGUCAAAUUCCAGUAAGUCAUCGCGAUAGUGGCGCAUCACAGUGGCCCAUUAAAUCAGGACCCAGUUAUGUUUUACCAGCUUCGUUUAGGGGUUUUAAAAGGGUAGUUUGGAUAAUUUCCAAGCCCCCAAUCCAUCCAAAACACAAUAUUAAUCAUAUCCCAAGCACUUUAUACUCAUUAUUCAUCAUCCUCUUCAAAAGCAAAACCCUAGAAACCAAAAGCUUUUUCUCCAAGAAAUCAAAAUCCUCCAUAGAUUCUCCAAGAAAGCUCCUAAUUGAGGAUUUCCAAAACAAGAUAAUCAAGAACCCAUCAUCAAGAACUCAAUAGGAAUCCAAAAUUCAAGAUUUCUUCAUCUAAUCAUCCAAUAAGGUAUGUGAGGAUAUGAACAAGGAUACUCCUUUCAUCCUUGUGCUCAAAACUUAUUUUAAAUUACAAAGUUAUUUGAUUUUAUAUGAUUUUCUAUGAAAUUGAAAUUAGGAUUCAUACCCAAUGUUGCCAUUUACGAGAUUAUGAGAUUUCAAGUUAAUUAUAAGUUGAAUUACACAUUUAUUUUCAUAUUUUCAUGCUUAUUGCAGUAAUUUUCAGAUUUUGAGAUGAAUUAUCAUUGAUUUUAUUAUUGAGCAUGACUACUAUGAUAUUUUGACAUAAGUUUGAUACAUGAGUUUUAAGCCCCAAGUUUAUAUGUUGAGAUUUUGAGAAAGAUGAUGCUUUAAGCAUCUUAUGAGUUGAUUAUUUUAGUUUUAAAAUAAAGCUUUGAUCCUUUGAUCCUAAGAUAAGUAUUGAAAUCCACUUUAUAGAUUUAUUACAGAUUUUAGAAAGAAAAAUAGCUUCAUGUACAAUUUAUUCAGAUAAAUGCAUAACUGAUUUUAUAAUAAACCUUUAUGCGAGUUUUAAAGUGGAUUUUCAUGAGAUGAGCAUAGCAAAUUAAAGGGAGUAGUAUUUAGCACCGAGUUGGGUAUGAUUCCAAGGUCUCAUGCCCCAGAACUAUGUGCCACCAUAGAUUGAGAUUAAGUGCCCAUAGUGGGCAGAGUUGCGAUCACUUUAGCUGAGGUUAUACUCUCUGGCAAGAGUAUGAAACCUCUCCCAAACGUGAGGUUUCUUCCUUAGAAGGAUGAGACGUUGGACUUCAUGUAGCUUGCAUGGUUUAUGUCGGUUAAGAUAACUUCCCUGCUAGUAAAAGAUAUACAACUUUUUAGAUAAUGUAUUCUCCUUAAUAGCAAAGCAUAACAGAAAUGAUUUUAGAAAACUAAGUGUAAAGACUCUCAGUUUACCCAGAUUUAGCUUUUAGAUUUCAGAGUGAGUCUUUUACACUUAGACAAUAUGAUUUAAAGGGGGAAUAUGAGUAUAACUUCUUAGAACUAAAUAUUAUAGCUCACAAGAUUUAUAAAGUAUGUUUUGCCUCUUGUUGCUACAUAUUUCAUUAUUUCAGAUAUUCCAACUCACGUGAGUCAUUUACAUUUAGCGUGCAUUAUUUUUAUAAAUGAUGAUUAUGAGAUGAUAUUUUACUUAUGCAUAUCACCCUAUAUACUCAGUACAUCCUUAAAGUACUGAUCCACAUAUACGUCUAUGUGCUACAUUGUCUCAUAAUGUAGGUUCAGGUGCUCAGUCUCAGCAGUGUGAGUAGUUCGAGCAUCUAUAUCUACAUCUACAUCUCAGUUGGUGAGCCCUCAUACUUCGGGGACUUAUUACUCAGAUUUUGCAGUUUAUCAGUUUAUGAGUUUUAGCGUUUCCUUUCAGACAGUUCGAGUUAGCUGGGGGUUUGUCCUAGUGACUCUCAAGUUAUUAGCAGUAGAGGCUUGUCAGACUACUAGUUUUGAUGCAGAUUAUUCAGUUUUGAUGUUUCAGAUAUUAUGUUCAGAUUAUUCUCAAAUAUUAUAGACAGUUUUCACAUUUUAGCAUGACUUCUAUGUCUAUAUUUCUAUUAUUAUAAGAUUUUGGCUCAACAGUAUGUAGACAGGGUUAGCUUAAGGCUACUCGUAGUCUUGAGCACCGUGUGAUAUCUCGGGAUCAGAUUUUGGGGCGUUACACAACAUUAUCCUCAACCAUAAGUAAGCAAAGGGGUAUAGAAGGAUAAGAAUCUCACCAAGAUGCAUGAUUAAAAUUGACAUGCAAAAAGCAUAUGAUACUGUUGAAUGGGUAUUUUUGGAGAAAAUGCUACAUGGUUUCCAGUUUCCCUCUACCUUUAUUAGAUGGAUUAUGGAUUAUGGCUUGCCUCAAUACUGUGUCCUAUGCUAUUAAUAUAAAUGGGCAACCUGCAAAUUUCUUUUGAGGAAAAGAGAGGACUAAGACAAGGCGAUGCAAUGUCACCAUACCUUUUUCUCUUAGUAAUGGAGUUUCUAAGAAGGCUAUUGAAGUAAAUGACACAAAAUCCUGCUUUCAAGUUCCACCAAAAAUGUGCGAAGACCAAAAUUACACAGCUUGGGUAUGCAGAUGACCUGUUACUCUUCUGUAAGGGUGAUCCUAUCUCUGUCCAACUAUAAUUCUCAUGCUUUCAAGAUUUUUCUCAUGACUCUGGACUGACUGAAAAUGCUUCAAAGAGUGUUGUCUACUUUGGGGAGGGAAGCCAGGCCAGCAGGAUCAAAUUUUGCACAUGCUUGGGUUUCAAAAGGGGGAGUUACCCUUCAGGUACCUUGGAAUCCCACUUAGUACGAAGAAAUUAUCUACUAUUCAAUGCCAACAUUUAUUAGACAAGAUGAUUGGUAGGGUCACAAGUUGGACCAGUCGACUCCUAUCCUAUGCUGGGAGGGAGGUGUUGAUCAAAAGUGUACCAAAAAAGGUGAUCAAGAAGAUAGUUUUCAUCUGUUGGACUUUCCUAUGGACUGGAAAAAAGGAUAGCUCUAAGAAUGCCUUAAUGGCCUAGAAUACCUUGUGUUACCCGACCUGAAUUGAAUUUUACUGACCAGGAGAUAUGGAAUAAGGCUGCAAUUUGUAAACAAUUCUGGGUUGUAUGUCAAAAGAAGGAUAGGCUAUGGGCGCAUGCUUAUUAUGACAAUGCGUAGGUUAUGUGGGAAGCUAGGUGUGAUCAGGCAUCGUGGUUGAUACAAAAAAUCCUUAGUGCUGAUAAAUAUGUAAGACAGUCUGAACUGCAAAUGUCAGAAUUUUUAGCUAUUGAUCAGUUCUUUAUCAGGAAAAUGUACCCCAAGCUCAAAGGUCAAUUUAUCAAAGUACCUUGGAGGAGAUUAGUGUGCAACAAUGUUGGAGCCCCAAAGCGGAUCUUUUAUCUUAGAUUGGUUGCACAUAAUAGGUUAUACACAAGGGAUAGGUUGGCUAGUUGGGGUAUGGAUGUACUUUUGUUGUGUCCCUUAUGCAGCUUGGAACAAUAGAGUGUGGAGCAUUUAUUCUUUUGCUGUGAAGUAUUAGCUGGGAUCUGGAGACACCUACUGCAAUGGCGAGGCAUUUUCAGGCAAGCUGAGUCAUGUUCUGAAGAAAUAUGAUGGGCUUCGAUGCAUUUUAACGGCAAGAGUCCAACAACAUAUGUGUAUCGACUGAUAUUUAGUGAUGCCAUCUAUUUCGUUUGGCAGGAGAGAAAUUUGAGAGUUUUUCAGCAUACACAAAGGUCUAAUGAUGUUCUUAUUAGGGUAAUUGUCCAGGAAGACUUUUAUAGAGGUUCCAAUAUGCCUAGGCUAGCACGUGCUUUCCAGCAACUAAAUUUCUAUUCUUAGUGCAAGUAAUAGCUAGCUUAGAUAACACAAAAAUCACUGAAGGUUGGGAAUAUGUCCAACCUCUGUGCUUAACAUUUACUCUGUAAUUAUGCUCUUGGUAAUAAAAUCAAAAUUUUGCCCAAAAAAAGAUAAAAUAAAUAUAGUACUUAUUUUAAAGUCAAUUAUUACAUUUUAAUGAUUAUAUAAAUUUUUUUAUACUGAUGCAACUUACACGUGCAAUGCACGUGCACUAGACUAGUCUAUAAAAUAAUACUAGCUAAAAUCUCUUUUAGUCAAAUAAUAUUUUGCUUAGAAAAGCUCUAACAAAGCUUAUUUCAAGUUUGACACAAAAUAAGAAAAUUUCGAAAAUUAAUGAAUUUUAAAAAGUAAAUAAAAUAUCUCAAGAGAAUGGCAUAUGAAGAAAAAGUUUACGCGGCAGAAUGAGAUUAUAUGAGGUAAAAGACGUCAAAUAACAAAAGUCAAAGGAGUAAUUAAGAUUAUUGAUCGUUUGGAGAAAUAUGAAUAAGAUUUGCUAAGUUUAGGGGUAUCCCGCAAAGCAUAAAUUAUCACGAUGAAGAAUGAGCUUUAUUUAAUUUUUCGUUAUGAUUUAUCAAACUUUUAAUUUAUUCUUAUCAGGAUAAUAUAUAAAUGCACUAUUAAAAAAUAAAGAAAGAAAAACAAUCAACACAUUUUUCUAGUACAUCCAAAAUAUUUAAAUAAAGGCUUAAUUGUCUCCAAAUCCAUUCCACCUGACUCAUCUAAUUUCACCCCUUCAAAUAUAUAUUCCUCCCCUACCGGGAAUGAUGAAUAAAAAAUAACAAAAAUGCAAGGACAACAACAAGAUUCAGCAGUCAAUUCAUCAAUUCUUCAACAUGUUUUUUCUUUAACAAUAUCUGACAUUAAUGACUCAACAAAUUAAAUGUGUAGUCGCAACCUCCGACGCCAGCUUCUUCUAGCAAACAUCCUAACAAUCUUUUGAGCUUUCACGAGAUAAGGGUACUUGCUAGGCUUAUGGAUCGUCUCACCAAAGAAGAGAGAAAUUAUUUUGCGUCUUCUUCAUAAUGCUAAGGAAUAGAUUAGUUAAUUAAUUUAAACAUGAAUUUGGUCGAUCUUUAUAUUCUAUGAUCGAAUUUAUGAGUUGUGGCGAUACAAAAGGAGGUAAUGAGGGGCGAGGGAGCGAGCUAUCACCCUAAUAUUUUUUUACUCUUAUACCCUUUAUUUAAUUUUUUAAAGGUAUCAUUUCGUUCAAAUAAAGAAAUCGUAUAUUAUAUCAAUUUCACGUUUAAUAUAAGACUAGUUUAUGCGAACGUGUGUUGCACGAUUAUUCCUUAUCGAUUUAAUAUUAAUUGGAAGUCUGUAUAAAUUCAUAAAGCUUAUGCUAGGAUUUUUUUUUUUUUAUCUCUAGUUCAAUUUCAUUAGAUGGAUCAUACGUCCCAAAUCACACUUAUUAACUUUUUCCGACUUCAGUUAACUCUCGCAAUCUUAAUUCAAGUAAACGAGUGAGUCCUCGAGGUAGCUACUCCUUUCAAAAAUUAAUUAAAGUAUGAGAUAAAUUUAGACAAGCAAAACUAAUUCAUAAAUCAAAGAGUAUUCAAUAUUCAAUAAAAACAAAAGCAUAUCUUAUUGAGCAUUAGAUCAUUAUCAUAAAGAAGGAAAUUUUGCGUAAAAAUAAUAAAAGUCAAAUCCAAAGAUACAGUUUUUUAACAGCACACAAUAAUUUUAAAACCUACUUAAAUCAACCUAAAUCUAAUUUAACUCCUGAACCUAAAUAACAAAAAAAGGCAAGAUAAUAAAAAAUUCUAAACAAAGAACCCUAAGUAAAGAACCCCAAACUUAAAUAAAUAAUACACAGACUUUUUUCACAAGAAAAAAAUAAGAUCAGAAGUUAAAUAACCUAAUAAAAAUAAGUCAUUAUUAAAUAAAGAAAGAAAAAAAGGAGAUAAAUCACAGAUAAAUGCACUUUUACCUCUACGUUGUUGAAUACGUGGGUGAGAUAGUGGGGCUUCUUCUGAUUGACAAAGGUUGUUUUUUUAGGAUUGAUCAAGAACAUAUAGUUUCAGUACAAGUUUUUAGGAUUGAUCAAGAGCAUAUAGUCGAUGCAACAAAAAGGGAGGGAUUAUCCAAUUUGUGAACCUUAAACAAAAAUUAAGAUGAAGUUAAAUAAAUAAUGUAAUUUUUACAUGUAUUUUAGGACUUAACAUUUAAUUCUUUUAUAUAUUUAUUUGAUUAGAAUCAUUUCAUAUAUUUUAGGAGUUCUUAUUCUAAUAAAAUAAUAAUUUAAAAAAAAAAAGUAAAAAUGCGAUGAUUUUGUCUAUUGUGGAGACUUUUAAUAAAGGACAAAAAGUUCAAACAACAUUUAUAGGAUCCUUCAUACUUUUAAUAUAAUACUAGUUUAGCCGCACGUCUCUCGCACAUAUAACUUUUAAUUAUUUAGAAUUAGACAAUUUUAUCUAUUACAUAGGUUUUUAUUGAAGUGCAAAAAGUUCAAAACACAUAUUUUAUUGUAAGCACAUAUAUAUUUUACCAUCAGAAAUUUUUGAGUGUUUAAUGGAUUAAAUAUAACAAGUGGUUAAUGGAUUAAAUAUAUUAUAGAUGUAUAUGUAGAUUUAUAUUCUUUUUAAAUCUUCUUAAAAUCAAACUUUGUUGAUUUAGUAUUCUUAAACUAAUGUAAAAAGUAUUAGUUGUCAUUAAUUCUGAUGUCUUUUAAUAAGAAAAGAUUUUAUCAUACAUAUAUUUAAUUAAUUUUCAACUAUUAAAUAUUAGGGGAAAAAUAGUGAAAAGAUGACUUUUAAUGAAGGGCAAAAUGUUCAAACGACAUCUCCAAGGCCCUUCAAACUUUUAAUAUAUUUUAGAUUAUAGAUUAUAGAUUAUAGAUUAUAAAUUAUAGAUUAUAGAUAUAGAUAAAUAGACAAAUAAGUGAUACCAUAUGAAUUUAAUAUACAAAUAAUAUUGAUCUUAGAUACACCACACUAAUCACGACAUGUAUAAAUUUAAUCUCAAAAUUGAUAUGAGAAUACUCGGUUUAUUCCUCGUAUAAAAGAAUUUCUUCUUAUAUCUUAUUAUAGUGAAUUGUCUGCCUUUUUGUUAACUUUAAUUAACUUUUAAGUAUAAAUUAUAUUUACAAUUGUGCAUUCAAGUAAUGUGUGGCUAACAUUAAAAUUUUGAUACCUUCAAUUCCUAAUCAAUUUUGUUUCGCUUAAUCAUUGUUUCAUGACAACACGUACCCUUUGAGUUAGUGAAUAGAAAAGAAGGAAACUAAUUUGAUGAUUAAUUGCAACAUCUUACAAUUAGUUUCGUGUUCAUGUUGUUCAAUAUGCCUUUUUGAGCUUAAAAACUAGGCCGUAUGAUUAUUAUAUCGACUAGCAAUUAUUUGGGAUGAGUUUCGGGACUUAAACAUAAGUCUUGAAUGUGAAAAGCUAUGGUGCGUGGUACCAGAGAGGACCUCCACUUUGAAGUCUGCACCGCACUUAUCACUGAACCACAGAGAAGCUACAAAUCAGCAUUUCCCCCAUUAGUGGCACAAUGUGCAGCAUUGUGCCAUGGAAGACCUCACGUUGCACAACUCAAAAGACGUUUUGGGCUAUGCAGCGUGCCUCAGCCUUAUCAGAGGGGAAAUGUUUCCUCAACUCCGUUUAAUUAAGGAUAGUUUAAUCCUAAUACCUUUAUGAAACAUUCUAACAUGACUUUUAAACUUACUCAAGAUAGUAUUAACUAGUCAAAAUUAUCAGUUCACUCUCUUGUCCUCUCUCAAACUAGUCUAUGAGAAUUAAUGUGAAGAAUUUCAAGCAAGGUUCCAUCAAGUUCUCUUUCCUUUCUCAGGUAUGUAGGUUGUUCUUGUAUGGAAAUUCUCUUCUUUCCCACAAUUCAUAGUUCAAAAGGUUAUUCUAGUUCGAAAUAAAGUUGAGAGCUUGAACUCUGAAUCCUCAAAUCAAUUCUUUUACUUCUUGGGUUGAACCUAUUAUAAUUUAGCUAUGAGAACUAUAUAAUUAAAUGAAAUUAUGGUCAUUUCUCAAUCAUGAUUUGUAAUUCAUAAUUCGGACUGUCCUAUGAACCAUGUGAACUUAUUUUGUAAUCUUUGCUUUAUCUUAUAUUUACAAUGAAAAUUAGUUUGAAAUUUCAUGUCCAUAAAAAACUUACAAUUUCCUUGUAAGUAUAAAAGCAUAUUUGAAAUAAAGUAUUGCAUCUUAAAGUUUUACAUAUUAUUCAGUAAAUUGAGCUAGGCUCACUAGCAGUUCAAUUUUAAAUACCAGACAUUGAGAAAAGUCUCGCAAUGACAUUUUAGUUUACUAUAUACGAAGUAUAUUUUGACCAUUCAUAGUUUUGAAGGAUUAUCUAACACCCAGGGUGUGCGGGUUCAGAUGAAACUUUCUUCAAAACUAUGUAUGUCAAUGUAUGAUAGAAUAGUUUCGUAAGCAUGGAUGACUUCUCUUUUAGAUCACAGAGGCCUAUUAUGGAUCCAUAGUAUAGUUUUGUUCUAUUUUCUAACAUGGUAUAGGAUACCUCUCCCAAUCAGAUCAAAAAUUGAGAAUUACGAGCUCUUGUAUAUUUUAUGAGAAAAACUCCAAAUAAGAAACUCAAUAUUUUUCGUUAAUUAAUUAUUUAUUAGUUAUGACUUUUUCAUAAAAAAAAUACUUAUUUUAACCUCUCAGUUGCUUAAUUUUAGUUCAUGAUUCAAACUUACAAACAUUCAAUGCUCUUUGCAUGAUAUCAAGCAGUUCAGAAUUUCAUUUUAAUAUUUUAUUUAAGAUUUUCAUUUAUUAAAGAUUAAAGACUUUCGUUUAUUGAAGAUUUAACUAGCCCAUGUGUCAUAACUCAAUUUUAAGCUACUUCUAUCAAGUUAUUGUGUAUCUACUUAUGCUCAGUUCUUAGUUUAUCUGAUAUUAAUGUUUCAAUUACAUUCAAGUUAUUUACUUUACAUAUCAUGCAUUCCAUAUAUUUAUGCUUCUUAGUGUUGCAUCUUUUCAUUAUGCAGAUUUUGAUGCUCAGGAUCGCAGCCAGAUGCUUCGCCAGAUCUCUUAAUCUCUUGGCUUAUGACAAGUCCUUUCAUUCAAAGGACUUAGUUAUAUUUAUCUCAUUGUGUUGGUUUAUCGAAUAAAGAUAGCUUGGAGCCUUGUCCUGACACACUGAUUCAACCCAGAUAGACAUUUAGUUAUUUUAACAGUUGAUUGUACUCAAUUUCAGUUUCGCAUUGCGAGAGUUUAUGUUAUUCUAUUUCAAAGCUCAAUUUAUAAUUUAUUAUUCUUAUAGUUUCUGCAUAUAUCAAUUUCAAUCUUAUUAAUGCACGAGGACAGAGAUUCGCUCAAUCCAGUAGUGGUUUCGAAUGUCUUUCAUUUUUUAUCAAAAUAUGUCAUUUUAAAAAUCAAUAUACUAAAGUAAUAUGCUUUUUGAAAACCUUACAAAACAAGUAUAAACGUUGUUGAUAAUAAUGUAUUAGGUUUUAAGAAAAUUAAUGAAUCAAAACGACGUUAAAGUAGGAAUCGUUACUGACAGUAAGUUUUUGGCUUAAAGCGUAUAUCAAAGAUAAUGAGACACUACAACUCUGUGACACUUGCAGAGUCUCGUUAAUGUUGGUAACGUUUUAAGCCAAAAACAUUACUAUCAGUAACGAUUCCUUCUUUAACGUCGUCUACCGUUCAUUUUGAUCAGUUAAUUUUUUUAAAACCUAAUACAUUGCUGCCAACAAUGUUUAUAUAAGUUUUGUAAAGUUUUUAAAAAACAGAUUACUUUGGUAAAUUGAUUUUAAAAUGAGUUAUUUCGAUCAAAGCUUCCGUAGAAGAUGUAGACUCAGUGUGUGACAUUAAUAAAAGUAUUAUCUUGUUAUAGGAGAGAUCAAGCAAAAGAACAUUGGAGUUGAGUUUAUCCCAAAUAAGAAUUCAGAAGUAACAUCCGCGGUUGAAACUAUCAGCAUGAAGGACUCGAAUGAUGAGUCCAAAUUUAUGUGAUCAUAUGCCAAAAACAUGAAGAAAAAGAUGGGAAUUUUUUUUGUGUAUUUCAUUCUCACGACCUAAACCGAGGCCCUGGCCAUGACGUACAUCAUGAACCAUGAAGGUCCAAGAGGCUCCUUAACGUGUAAUCAUAAGCAUAACUCAUAUGUUAUAAUAAUGCGGAAGAUAAAUGAGAAACAUGGUAGUCCUAUAAACAAACUUAUAGCUUCAUAACAUCGAAUCAAAGGGAAAACCCAAAUCCAACCUAAAACAGUCUAUAAAGUAUCUACUGAACUGAAACAAUAGUAUGUCUAAACCGGGACAAGGCCCCCGGCCGGGCCAUAAAAUCACUGAAAACUAAAACAUGCAUAAGUUGCCUUCCAAAGUAAGGGAGCUCACCAACUCUGAAAUCUUGGAGCAAUCUACUGGUUUGCAGGACCACGGGACUAGGCCUUAACCUGAAAUAUAGUGGGUCAAUACUCAAAAGUACUGGUAUGUAGAAUGAUCCAAAAAUAUCAUAUAUUUUUAUACAACAUAAGUGAGAGAAUUUCAUAAAUUAACUUAAUAUAAUAUAAAUUAAAACACAUGGGCAUAAUUUGAUGAGAUUCAAAACAUUCCUGUAAGUCAUGACUCAACUCUUUAUUUUACUUUUGAGCUAGAUAGUACACCCUACAUUUUUAGUACCCACGGGCUAUAUGAGUCCACCAUUAACUCAUCAGCCAAGCCCCCAAAUCCAAUUUUGCCGCAAGGAUUAGGGUCCUAUAUACUAUUCUAGUAUACCAGUGCCUCAGGGGCAAGUAUAUAUUGGUCAUAGCCAAUCAUGUCUCUCGAAUUGGCAAAACUCGGUUUCCAGCAAUGAUCCCUUACACUCAAAUGUCUUCUUCGAGUAACCAUCUAACUCUCUUUAAGUCCAUUUUUAGUCCUUCAUUAAUCAAGUUCAUGCUCAUAAAAUUCACUUUUUAUUCUUUUAAGGGCGUAUCAUAACGGGGUAUCAUCAUACCAAGACUUGCAAGUCAUUCAUAUUAUACCAUAUCAUAUCCAUAGCCCUUUUUAUUCAAAAGCAUGUUAGUAACCACCCAAAUGAUUUAAACAUCAGAUAAGAGAGUUCUUGUUUCAAAACACAUAAAAACUUAUGCAAACUACUCUCUUUUUAAUACCUUAUCAUGUGGUGGUUAUCUCUUUCAUCAAUCACAUGCAAGUUCUUUAUUAGAAAACAUGAUCAUUUAUAAAAUAAGAAAAAACCCCUCUCAAUUUGUUCAUAAGACAAUAAGAAUCCAUAAACAUUGUCAAAACAUUUAAACUCAACUUUUAACCACCCGUGCAAACAAUAUAUGACAUUGUUAAGACAAUGGAUUUCAUAACAAGAGAGAGAAUUACAUAAAUCAUACUCUCAUAACUUCUCAAACUAAUGAAACAUGUACACAUGAAAACAAAUCAAGUUUUGAGAAACAACCUCAUAGUUUACACAAGAUUUCAUCAUAAAACGGUUUUACAAUGCAUGCUCUUUAACCAUUUCAAAACCCACCUCAUAUAUGAAACUAUAUACAUUAAAAGCUUGUUUGAAAAAUAAAUUUCUGUCCAUAGGGUUUAGGAUAGUCCCACGUAUCUUUGAAUCGACGAAAAUGUUGUGAAAAUUUGACCCUUAAGGCCUAAUCUCUCAAACCAUAGUUGGUUUUCUCUUCUUGUACUUAAGGAAGAUGAAUUGGGGAUUUUGUGAGUGUUAAUACGUGAUUAAGGACUUUAAUUUCAUCCAUAUUGAUUUAGAAACAGAUAUGGAGGAUAAAAGACCUUAUUUCCCUCAAAUAAUACCAAAUGGAGCACUUUACGCCACUUUGCAUUUGCCAUGCGGCACACAGCAAUGGCAUAGGUUAAGGUGUGCGAUGCACAACCUAUUGCAUAGCCCCUAAAUGGGAGAAUCACACCCAUUUCCUAUCCCCAAGUGGGUGAUGGAUGCCAAUCGCCUAGCCAUUCCAGUGGUUGUUGGUGAUGGCCAUGCGAUGCAGGGCCUUGGCACAGAGUCUAUAUUGCGACGCAUACUAAGUUUGAAGGUCUUAAAAAAAACCCCAAUACCUCCCACAACGUCUAAACAUGGCCUACCAUUGAUAUGGGGGUUCUAAGGGUCGUUUUAGAGGGCAUUAUUGGAGUAAUAAAACUACGAAAUGUUACAUUAUCCCUCCUUUGGGAUCAUUCAUCCCCGAAUAAUGACUAGGAACAUAAUAAGCGCGCUUUCAAAUGUUCCAUGAAAAGAAAAGAAUAAUAUAAGAUCAAUACCUUCUAUAUUAUCAUUUGAGGAUUCAAAAAGGGUUGGAUAUCUUGCGCGCAUGUCAUUCUCCGACUCCCAAGUAGCUUCGUCAUCUCUAUGAUUCUUCCAUAACAUCUUAACUGAUACUAUCUCCUUACUUCUCAGCUUUCAAACUUGGCGAUCUAAAAUAGCUGCGGGUUCUUCUUCAUAUGAUAACUAUUCUUUAACACCAGCGAAUGAUCUUUAAUACAUUUCUUCAGCAUUGAUACAUAAAAUAAAAUAUGAACAGAAGCUAAACUUGCGGGCAAAUCUAGAUCGUAAGCAACCCCACCAAUCUUUCUCUAGUCUGACAAAGGCCUAUAUAACGAGGACUGAGUUUUUCUUUCUUGAUGAAUCUCAUGAUUUCCUUUAUAGGGGAGACCUUUAGAAAUACCCAAUCAUCAACCUCAAACUCUAACUCCCUUCUUCAAAUAUCGGUGUAAGAUUUAUGGCUACUUUGAGCUGUCUUAAGUCGCUCUCUAAUGACUUUUACCUUUUUGAUCGCUUGAUGAACAAGGUCGGGUCCAAAUAAGUAAGUCUAACCCACUUCAUACCAACUAAUUGGUAACCUAUACCUUCUACCAUACAGAGCCUCAAAAUGAGCCAUCUGGAUGCUGGAAUGGUAGCUCUUGUUAUAGGCAAAUUCUAUCAACAACAAGUGAUCCACCCAAAUACCUUUAAAGUCAAUCAUGCAAGCCCUCAACAUAUCUUUUAAGGUCUGAAUGGUGCAUUCUACUUGCCCAUACGUUUGAGGGUGAAAAGUUGUGCUAAGAUUUACUUGGGUACCUAAACUCCUUUGAAAAGAUCGCCAAUAUUGAGAAGAGAAUUACGUACCUCGAUCAGAUAUAAUAUAUGUUGAAGCCCCAUGUAAACAAACUAUUUCCUAGAUGUACAACUUAGAAUAAUCAUCUCCCGAAUAAUUAGUCCUCACAGGCAGAAAGUGAGCUGAUUUGGUCAUCUUGUCUACAAUCACCCAAAUAGAGUCGUAUUAGUUCGGGAUCUCAGAAGUCCUGUAGUAAAGUCCAUGUUGAUGAUAUCCCAUUUCCACAGGGGCAAGGCUUUCUCUUGGGAAGUGCCACCUUGUCUCAAAUUUUCUACCUUGACUUGCUGACAAUUAAGACACUUAGCCAAAAAGUUAACAUCGUCUCUUUUCAUAUUAGUUCACCAAUAAAUUUUCUUUAGAUCAUGGUAUAUUUUGGUAGAGCCAGGGUGAACAACAUACCUGGAAGUGUGAGCUUCGUUAAGGAUCCUUUCUCGUAACCCAUCCAAAUCCAGCACACAUAACCUACCUUGAUACCUCAGAAUCCCAUCACCUCCAAUUUCAAAAGCCAUUACCUUUUGUUGACCAACAUCUUACUUAAUCUGCAUCAAGAUGGGGUCUAUGUUUUGUUUUUACUUAACCUCAGCACACAAGGAUGACUUAGCUACCUCUUGUAUGAACACUCCUCCAUCCUCAAAAUCCAGGAGUCGAACUCCCAAAUUUGUAAGCUAGUGAAUAUCCUUUACUAUAUUCCUUUUUCCUCCCUCCACAUGAGAGACUACCCAUGGACAACCUACUAAGGGCGUCAGCCAGCACAUUGGCCUUACUCGAAUGAUAUUUCAAGCUUAUGUCUUAAUCCUUCAACAACUCCAACCACUGCCUCUGCUUGAGAUUUAGUUCUUUCUGCAUGAACACAUACUGCAAACUUUUGUGAUCAGUAAAAAUAUUGACAUGAACUCCAUAAAGAUAAUGGUGUAAGAUUUUUAGUGCAAACACCACAACCGCUAACUCUAGGUCAUAGGUUGGAUAGUUCUUCUCAUACACCUUUAACUAUCUAGAUUCAUAAGCCGCCACAUUACCAUGCUGCAUAAGUACUUACCUAAGUCCCACCUGAGAUGUAUCACACAGUAAACCAUAAAUCCCUUGGUACCUUUAGGAAGGGUCAAAACUGGUGCGGUAGUUAACUUGUCUUUUAGUUUCUCAAAACUAUUCUCACAAGAGUCAGACCACAUUAAUUUCAUCUUUUUUUAAGUCAAUCUAGUAAGUGGAACAACUGUGGAUGAAAAACUCUCGACAAAUAUCUGGUAAUAUCUUGCCAAACCCAAGAAGCUCCGAAUGUCGGUUGGAGUCAUAGGUCUAGGCCAUUUUCUCAUUGCCUUAACCUUUUAGAGGUCAGCCUUAAUUCCCUUAAUAGAAAUAAUAUUCCCCAGGAAAGCAAUUGCACUAAGACAGUAUUCAUAUUUGGAAAACUUCGCAUACAACUCAUGGUCCUUAAAGAGUCUAAAGGAUGUUUCAGAGGUGAUUGGCAUGGUCCUCCUCACUCUUAGAGUAAAUCAGGAUAUCAUCGAUGAAAACUAUAACCAAUAAGUCUAGAAAAUAAAGAAACACCCUGUUCAUAAGAUUCAUAAAAGUUGUGGGGGCAUUAUACGGUCUGAAGGACAUGACCAGGACUUCAUAGUGACCAUAUCAGGUUCAAAAAGUGGUUUUGGGAAUAUCUUUCUCCCUAACCUUUAACUGAUGAUACCCCAAAUGAAAGUCUAUCUCAGAGAAAUAUUUGGCACCCUGAAGUUGGUCAAGAAAAUCAUUGAUUCAGGGAAGAGGGUACCUAUUUUUAAUUGUGACCUUGUUCAGCUAACGGUAACAUUUGCACAUACUAAGGGAGUCAUCUUUCUUACGCGUGAGAAGUAAUGUAGAACCCCAGGGAGAGACACUAGGAUGGACAAAUCCUUUAUCAAGAAGGUAUUUUAACUAUUCUUUUAACUCUUUCAAUUCAGCAGGCGCCAUUCUAUAUGGCGGAAUAGAAAUAGGAUGGGUGUCUAGCAAUAGGUCAAUGCCAAAAUCUAUCUCCCUAUCUAGUGGUUUCCUAGGGAGUUCAUCAGGAAAGACUUCUAAAAAUUCAUGAACUACCGACACAGAUUAGAGGAAAGGACUUGCAGUGCUAGAAUAUUUGACCUAAACUAGGUGAUACAAACAACCCUUUGAUAUGAGCUUACGGGCUCUAAGAUAAGAUAUGAAUUUCCCUCUAGGUGCAAGAGAAUACCCUUCCCAAUCUAUUACUGGCUCAUUUGGAAAAGAGAAAGUGACCUUUCUGGUUCUAUAAUCUAAGGUAGGAUAACAUAAAUGGAGUCAAUCUAUCCCCAGAAUAGCAUCAAAAUCAAUCAUGUCCAAUUCUACAAGACCAGCCAUAAUAUCACAAUGAAAAUAGACACCACAUAAUUUUGGAAAACUCUCUAGCCACAAUAAAAUCACCAAUAGGGGUAAAGAUAGAGAAAGGUUUAGGAAUAUUUUUUUAGCUUAAAACCAAAGCUAACUUCCACAUAAGGGGUCACAUAAGACAAGGUAGACCUAGAAUCAAGUAACACAUACACAUCAUGAGAGAAGACCUGUAACAUACCUGUGACAAUAUUUGGCAAAGUCUUUGGGUCCUGAUGAGUAGACAAAGCAUACAACUAAUUGCAACCACCUUUAGUAGCAGAAACAGUACCUUUAGGUGAAAGGGCAGUGCAAUUGGCUUAGGACUUACCACCCCUAAUUUUUCCUCUAGUUGAGAGACAGUCCCUCUUGAAAUGGCCUGGCUAACCAUAAGUAUAGCACACACGCUCACAUAGAUACACCUCCCCGAGUGUUUCUUCCCGCAGUUGCCGCAACGAGGGUAUUUCCUGAACGACUAGGCUACACUCCACUGAGAUUGAUUACCCUGUAUCCCCAACCCACUGUUAAGCUGGGAAUUAUUAAACCGCUGAUCAACUAGAGGUAUGGGCAUCGGGGAACUAGAUGAAGACUGAGCAUUGCUCUAAAAUUUAUUCUUAGACCAGUUUUUGUCCCAUUUGCUACCUUGAUGUUGACUGGCAUUCUGAUCUAUCGACCUAGCUCUCUUAGCCUGUCUUUAUUUUUCCUUUACCUCUGCCUACCUCUUCUUCUCCUCUUCUACCUACUGUAUAUGCACGGAUAACCUGGAGAUAUUCAUGUUCUUGUUCAGCAUUGCCCCCUUGCAUUAUAUUACCAAAUCAUUCUAGAGAUCGGAUACGAACUUUCUCAUACGAGCCCUCAUAUUUCCCACCAAUUUUGAAGCAUAAUGGGACAACUGGGUAAAUUUUAGUGCAUAUUAUUUAACGGUCAUCUUCCCUUGCUUCAGAUUAACAAAUUCUUCAUCUUUUGUUUCCCCAGCUCCUGGGGAAAGAAAUGGUACAAGAAGGCCUCUAAAAACUUACCCCAUAUAGUAGGUUCUGCAUCUUUACCCCUCAAAUCUUUCCACUCAUUGUACCACUGGUUAGUUACAUCCUUAGAUGAUAGACUUCCACCUCAACCCCUUCAACCUCACUAGUAUGCAUGACUUUGAAUAUUUUCUCCAUUUCAUCAAUAAACCCUUGGGGGUCCUCCUUAACUUUCGUGUCCAUAAAGGUGGGUGGGUUCAUCCUCAUGAACUAUCCGACUCGAGUGAUUUCAGAUGAACCAAGAAUAGAAGACACAUCUCUAUAACAAUGAGACUGAGAAUCCAUAAGCUGAGCAAUCAUAUAGAUGGACUGACGGAACUCAAUAUUUAAAACUUCCCUCUGAGGAGAUUGGGUGCGGUUAACACGGAAUCGGGGGGUUCGAGGUGGACUAGUUUGGACUGGAGAAACACCUGGAGUAGUAGGAAAUUUUGGAGUAGGGCUCUAUAACGAGUCUGCAUCCCAGAAGUAGGGAAGACAUCAUCAGCAUGGAGGUUCUACUCAUUAGAUCUAUGGGGAGGUAUGUUCUGAAAUAUAGGAAAUCAUGAGUUAUGAAACAUUCAAACUUAAUAGCACAAACUAAAACAUAAGGAAAAGAGAAACGUUCUCCUAAAUGUCUUGUAGAUUCCUCCUUAUAAGUGUGGCACGCUACACACCCAUAAAAAGGACUCUACUCGACACAACUUUGUAAACACCCUUGGACCCUAAGCUGUGCUCUGAUACCAAGCUUGUCAUGACCCAAACCGAGGCCUUAGCUGUAAUGGAUAUCCUAAAUCAUGAAGGCACAAGAGGCCCCUUAGUGUUAAGCAUAACUCAUAUAUUAUAACAAUGCAGAAGAUAAACUGAGAAACAUGGUAGUCCUAUAAACAAACUUAUAGCUUAAAAACAUCGAAUCAAAGAGAAAAACCAAAUCCAACUUAAAAUAGUUUAUGAAGUCUCUGCUGAACUAAAAUAAUAGUCUAUCUAAAUCGAGUCAAGGCCCCCGACCGAACUAUAAAAUAACUAAAAACUAAAACUCGCAUAAGAUGCCUUCUUAAGUAAGAGAGGCUCACCAACUCUGAACUCUUGGAACAAUCUAUUGGUUUGCAGGACCACAGGACUGGGCCUCAGAACCUGAAAUAUAGGGGUCAGUAUACAAAAGUACUGGUACGUAGAAUAAUCCAAAAUAACAUAUAUUUUUAUACAACAUAAGUGAAAGAAUUUCAUAAAGUAACUUAGUAUAAGAUAAAUUAUAACACAUGGGCAUAAUUUGAUGAGAUUCAAAACAUUCCAGUAAGUCAUGACUCAACUUUUAUUUUACUUCUGAGCUAAAUGGAACAACCUAUAUUUCUAGUACCCACAAGCUAUAUGGGUCCACUAUUAACUCAUCGGCCAAGCCCCUAAAUCCAAGUUUGCUGUAAGGAUUGGGGUCCUAAAUACUAUUCUAGUAUACCAGUGCCUCAGGGGCAAGUAUAUAUUGGUCUUAGCCAAUCAUGUCUCCCGAAUCAGAAAAAAUUGAUUUCUAGAAAUGAGCCCUUACACUCAAAUACCUUCUUCAGGUAUUCAUCUAACUCUAUUUAAGCCUAUUUUUAGUCCUUUAUAAAUCAUGAUUCAUGCUCAUAAAAUUCACUUCUUAUUCUUGUAAUGGCGUAUCAUAAUAGGGUAUCGUCUUACCCAAAUUGCAAGUCAUUCAUAUCACACCACAUCAUAUCCAUAGCCCUUUUGAUUCAAAAGUAUGUUAGUGACCACCCAAUAGAUUUAAACAUCACAUGAGAGAGUUCUUGUUUCAAAACACAGAAAAACUUAUGCAAACUACUCUCUUUUCAAUACCUUAUUAUGCGAUGGUCAUCUCUUUCAUCAAUCACAUGCAAGUUCUUUAUUAGGAAACAUGAGCAUUUAUAAAAAACUAAAAACGCCUCUCAGUUCAUUCAUAAAACAAUAAAAAUCCAUAAACAUUGGAAAAAUAUUUAAACUCAACUUUUAACUAUCCGUGUAAACAAUCCAUAACAUUGUUAAGACAAUGGAUUUCAUCCCAAGAGAGAGAAUUAGAUAAAUCAUGCUCUCAUAACUUCUCAAACUAAUAACACAUGUACACAUGAAAAAAAUAAUGUUUUGGGAUACAACCUCAUAGUUUAUACAUGAUUUCAUCAUAAAAUGGGUUUACAAUGCAUGCCAUUUAACCAUUUCAAAACCCACCUCAUGUACGAAACUGUAUACAUUAAAAUCUUAUUUGAACAAUAAACUUAUGCCCAUGGAGUCUAGGAUUGUCCCAUGUACCUUUGAAUUGAUGAAAACAUUGAGAAAAUUUGAUACUUGAGGAUUAACUCAAACCCUAACUCAAACCCUAGUUGGUUAUCUCUUCUUGUGCUUAAGAAAAAUGUAUUAAGGAUUUUGUGAGUGUUAAUACUUGAUUAAAGACUUUAAUUUCAACCAGAUUAAUUUAGAAAUUGAUAUGGGAGGAUGAAAAGUCCUUAUAUCCCUCAAAUAAUACAAAACAGAGCACUUUAUGCUGCUUUGCCUUUGCCAUGCGACACACAGCAAUGGCAUAGGUUAAGGAGUGCGACGCACAACCUAUUGCCAGUGUCACACUCCUUUUUUAAUCAAAAAAGAAUUGAUUUAAGUUUGAAAGGGUUUUUAUUAUUAAGUGACAAUAAAUGAAAAAAAUUGAAAGGGAUCGUUUAUAUUCAAAACUCAGAGUCGCCACUUGACAUAAAUUGGAUGUCCCAAGUCACCUUUGGUAAUCCUUUUUCAAAAUGAUUUUGACUUUUUUAAAGUGGUUUACGAAUAGAAAUUCCGGCUAAGGAAUUCUGUUGACCGAGGGAAAGGUGUUAGGCACCCCUUGAUCCCAUGCUCGACCGCGGUAGCUUGAUAGAGUAUACCAAUUAACUCGACACUAAGAAUGUAUAAGACCAACAAAAUGUACAAAAGCAAAAAAAACACCGAGACAAAACAAAUUCAAAAGUAGUAUCCAGUCUAAAUUAUGCAGUCCCAAAAAAUGAAAAAUGCAAAAAAUAUAAACCUACUCUAUUAUAAACUAAUCCUACUCUAAAAUCCACCCAAUGUUCCGGACCUUGAUCAUGCGCCGUCUUCAAGUACAACUUUCUCAGGGCAUUUUUCGGAUAAAACAAUACAGAUACCUCAAGGCAUUCCCCGACCAAAUGGGUACAAUUGAUUUAAAUGUGAUAAAACCAAACCAUUCAACACACAUUUCAAACAUUCAAUAUUCCACAAGUCCAAAAUUUACCUACCCGAGCCUACCAUUUGCCUACCCAACUCAAUCUAUCAUAAUACUAUCAUGUUCAACGAUACCAAUACUUGUUCCAAAUAAAAAAAUCAUCAAUGAAUCAAAAUAACCAAUAUUCACCUUUAUCAAUUUUAAAUUUCCACCCCAAAACAUCUAAUUUUAAUUAUCAAGUGAGAUAUUAUUUCAUCACAUAAGCCAUAAUCAAGGGAAGCAACAAUGAAUCAAUACACAAAAAAACUAUUCACCACCAACAUAGCUCAAGAAAACAUAACAUGCAAUUCGACGCAUUGAAUAUAAUAAAUAAUAAAAUAAAAGAGAAAAGAUUAGAAAUAAACCUCGAUUUUGAGCUUUCGAAAAGUGUUGCUCGAUAAAAUAAAGAACCUGUUUCCGAUAACCUCAACUUAAACCUCACUAGAAUCAACCCAGAUAGAAUUGAAGAAAUAUUAGAUGAACCAAGAUAGAAAUUACAAAAUUUGAGAAAACUCGUACACGAAAUCUCAUCGGAAUCCACCCGAAUAUCAUCGGAAUCAAACCAAAAAGAUUGAUACAAUACUGAUAUGACCCAUACAAAAUGAAAGAUGAAUUUCUAAAAUUUCACCCUUUUACAAGUGUUUUCUACUGAAACAGAACAAUAGUCAAUGGCUCAACCAUUUUUCUGGCCAUAUUCGUCAGAAAAAGUCAGCUGACGAAUUGAAUCGACGUAGAUCUUGGCGAUGUUAAUGGAUUCGAAGUUCAGACACUGGGGUUUUGAGACUUUUUCAGCGACGGUGUAAUAUAGGAGCAAUUUGCGAUGGUUUUCCAAUAAUGAUUCCGAUAAGGGUUUCACCAAAAAAACCUCACCCAUACUAUUUUUCACCCCUUUUACUCUAUCUCCCUCACCAUUCUUAAAUCUUCUUCUCUCUCAAUUUCUAUCGCGUGUAAUAGUCCAAAAAUUGAGGAGUUGUGCAUGUGUGUAUUCCCUUCUGUGUGAGUGAUGAAAAUAUGAGGGUCCAUGAUCUCUAUCUACAUAGCUAUUUGAGGUAUAUGUAUUAUGUCAACCCCCUACUGUGUGUGUAUAUGUUGAAGUGUAUAAAUAUGGGUGAAGAUCUGUGCGCAUGUGUGGAUAAAAUGUGUGUUGUUGUGAGGGAAAUUGUCUAUAGCAUAUGUGCACCUCUCUUUUUUUGUGUGAAUUAUAUGUAGGGCCCAUGAGGGAGUGUGUGAUAAGGGUAUGAGGCUUGUGUUAGUAUUAUGUGGCAUGGUGAGGUGUCAAAAGUGUCAUGAAUUUGGUUAUUUUUUGUCCUUUUUUGGGGAAAAAUUAUCAACUAAAAAGAAACAAGGUGUAUGGUAAGGUGAAUUAAAUAAGUAAAAAAAAUGUUCAGGGAAGGACAAAAUUACAUGUCUACAUCAUGCCCCCUUUGAACGUAAACACAAAGUAUUUUCAGACAAAGAAGUAGACAAUGAGAUAGAAUUUUGACCCGACUAUUAUUCAAAAGGAAGGAAAAGAAAGACAAACACAACUGAGUUUUUACUUUGGAAAAACUACCCAUCCCAAGUUAUAUAGGGAUCAAGUCCCCUGUGGUUUGAGGAUUGAAAAGGAAGGGUUGUACUGAGUUGAAGAGUCGAGUGAGGCUCUAUCAAGGUUUCGGUCUGCGGCUCUGUGAUUACAUCAAAAUAAAAAUUACAAGUUAAAACAUAAAUGAAAUUACAAAAAUCCUAUCUAUGCCUUCUUUUGGACUCUUGACUUGAGUUUCAUCACCCUAUUCUUCAGGCGGGCUCUUGACAUGCAAUUUUUUCAACUUGUUGCUUGGCUUUCAAUUUCUUUACCCUAUUCUUCAGGAAGGCUCCUGACUUGCUAUUUUUCUCACUCUAUUCUUUGGGCGAGCUCCCGACUUUCAAUUUCAUUGCCCUGUUCUUCGGGCAGGCUCCCGACUUAUAAUUUCCUCACUUUAUUGCCUUUCAGUUAUUUUACCUUGUUGUUUAACUUUUAACCUCAUCACCCUAUUCUUCGGGCGAGCUCCCGAGUUUUAAUUUCUUCAUUCUAUUCUCCAGGCAAGCUCUCAACUUGCAAUUUCAUUGCCCUGUUCUUCAAGCGGGCUCCUGACUUGCAAUUUCCCCACUCUGUUCUAUGGGCGAGCUCUCGACUUUCAACUUCAUCACCUUGUUCUUCAGGUGGGCUCCUGACUUGCAAUUUUUCUCACUCUAUUCUUCGGGCGAGCUUCUGACUUUCAAUUUUAUCACCCUAUCAUUCAGGUGGGCUCCUAUUUUGUAAUUUUUCUCAAUCUGUUCUUCGAGCAAGCUCCCAACUUUUAAUUUCAUCACCCUAUUCUCAUGCGGUCUCCUGGCUUUCAAUUUCUUCACUUUGUUCUUAGGGCAAUCCCUCGACUUUCAAUUUCAUCACCUUGUUCUUCAGGCAAAUUGCUGACUUGUAAUCUUUCUCACUCUAUUCUCCAGGCGAGCUCCCAAUUUUCAAUUUCAUCACCCUGUUCUUCAGGCGGGCUCCUAACUUUCAAGUUCAUCACCCUAUUCUUUAGGUGGGCUCCUGACUUACAACUUUAUCACUCUGUUCUCUGGGCGAGCUCUCAACUUUUAAUUUCAUCACCCUGUUCUUCAGGCGGGCUUCUGACUUAUAAUUUCCUCACUUUAUUAUUUGGGCGAACUCUUGACUUUUAAUUUCAUUACCCAUUUCUUCAGGUGGGCUCCUGACUUGUAAUUAUUCUCACUCUAUUCGGCAGGCGAGCUCCCAAUUUUCAAUUUCAUCACCCUAUUCUUUAGGCGGUCUCCUAACUUUCAACUUCAUCAUCCUUUUCUUCAGGCGGGCUCCUGACUUACAGCUUCCUCACCCUAUUCUUUAGGCAGGCUCCUGAAAUCAAAUCAAAACUAGAACAAAAAUUAUCUCAAACAAAUAUUAUGAUAAAGAAGGAUUUCAUUUUCUGAAAGUAAGGUCCCAUUUUCCAGAAGGAUCCUGAACAUAAAGUAGAUUUCCAUUUUUCAGGCAGGUCCAGAACAUAAAGUAAUGUCAUGGAUAUGCCUUCCCAAUGGUAGUUGAACUUAAUAAAUAGAACUUUGCCCCUAUUUCAUCAAAGAACAAUUUGCCAUUUAAAACUUAUUGGUGGCUUGCAGCACUUGGCUUCCCAGGCAUCUGCUCCAGCUUUCUCUCCUUUCAUCUUUGUUUCAAAUUGCUGACACUUGUCCCUUUCUUGUCGCAUCAUUGACCCAAACCUUGAUUGAAGAAAAUGACUUUGACUCAAACACCGAAGUUCUAUGUUACAAUGCCUCUGAGAUGCACCUUUUGAAACCUGAUCUUCCCAUGAAUCUAGCAACCUGUCGGUUGAUAGACUUUCUUUGCUUUGUUUUGAAUUAUGAUCACAUUUCUUUCAUACGCUGGUCCUUGUCUUUCCUCAUGCAAUUGGGAAGACUGGAAGUAAGUUUUGAAAUCCUUUCUCACUUAUUUUGACACAGACUUGACUCAAAUGUAAGAAAUGAUGGUGACUUUUAUUUUCAUAAAUGACAUAAAAAAAUAAAAAUAAAAAAUAAAAAUAUGAAUAUAUAAAUGAAAGAAAAGGGAAAUGUCCCUCUUUCAAAAAGAAAACAUAUCUGAAUAUGGCAACCAACUCCAAUGACUAUGACAUGCAUUUUGGAUUAAGCUGCCUGAUCUUUCUACCUAAACUUCCCAUUUGUUGUGUAGUUCGUGCCUUUGCUACUGAGUCAUUUCUUUAAAACCAUUGGACUCAUACACCUUAUUGAAUUGAUGACAUCUUGAAAGAAUUUUUCCAACAAGCCUCUUUCCUUUUUAUUUCUCUCAAACUCGCCAUCGCUUAUAGUGCCCGUGAGGGUUUUGACUAAUAAGACUCUCUCAUUUUUAUUUCUCUCUACUCACUAUCUCCUUAUGGUGCUCGUAAUGGUUUUCACCAAUAAGACUCUCUCAUUUUUAUUUCUCUUAACUCACCAUCAUCUUAUGGUGCCCGCGAGGAUUUUCACCAAUAAGACUCUCUUAUUUUUAUUUCUCCAUGUUUUUCCAUGAUGAUGCAGCAAAUAUAAUGCCAAAACAUUUCCAUAUAUCCAUCGCAUGUUCAGCCUAACAAUUCUCAAAGAUUGAUCUGAAAGUUUUUCUUUGGUUGUAACUUGGCUUUUGGAUAAGGUUAAAAAGAAAAAGAUGGUAGGAGGCUCAAACGACACUUGAAGUGUGGUGGAUCUUACAACUUUGGAAUCGACUCAAAAAAUAAAAAAUUAACUCGUGCCCAGUUUUUCUUGACUGGGUGACUUUAAAUUGUUUAUUCAGUUGGACCGAGUCCCAGGUGGGGUAGCCUACGUAUCUCACUCCCAAGAGAGGAGAAUUAGGUCACACAUAGUUCCAGCAGCUUGUUCUUUGUUUUGAUUUGAUUUUUUUCUUUUUUUCAGAGCUUUCAUUUAUUCUUUUUUCUUGACACUUUAUCUUUUGACUCUAUUUUGAUUUCAAAUGAGGGAUAUGAAAGAAAAUAGAACUAAGGUUCAAAUGGGGUAAACAAAGGAUGACACAAUAUUUAGAUACCAGAAUGAAAUGGCUUCAUCAUAUCAAUCUUUAAAAAUGCAAGUACUACACAUGCAAUAGAGCUAAUGAAGGAUAAAAUAUCAUACAUAAUAUCUUUUAACUGCAUCAGCAUUGAUAGCCAUUUCUAUUGUUUUACCUUCUACAUAUGUCAAAUAUAAACCUCCAUUGGGCACCACUUUCUUCACAAUGAAGGGACCAUGUCAAUUUAGGGAGAACUUGCCUUUAGCUUCAACCUGAUGAGGGAGGAUACGCUUCAAUACCAACUGACCACUUCAAAACUCCUAGGAUGUACCUUUUUGUUAUAUGCUCGAGCCAUACUCUUCUGAUAUAAUUGGCCAUGACAUACUGAUGUAAGCCUUUCUUCAUCAAUCAAACUCAACUGUUCAAGUUGAGUUUUUACCCACUGAUUACCAUCAAUCUCUGCUUGCACAAUGACUCAAAGAGAGGGAAUUUUACUUUGUGCGGGAAUGACUACUUCUGUCCCAUACACCAGUAAAUAUGGAGUUGCCCCUGUUGAAGUACGAAUAGUAGUACAAUAACCAAGCAAUGCAAACAGUUUGUCAUGCCAUUGUCUAGACCCUUUUAUUAUUUUCCACAGUAUAUUCUUGAUAUUCUUAUUGGUAACUUCCACGGCGCCAUUUUCCUUGGGAUGAUAUAGAGUAGAAUUUUGAUGUGCGAUCUUAAACUGUUGUCAUACUUCUUUCAUCAAAUGACUAUUGAUAUUGGCAGCAUUAUCUGUAAUGAUCAUCUUGGGAAUUCAAAAUCUACAAAUGAUGUUGGCAUAAACAAAAUCUACCACCGCCUUCUUUGUUAUUGACUUAAAAGUUCCUGCUUCUACCCACUUUGUAAAGUAAUCAAUGGCCACCAAAAUGAAUCUAUUCCCAUUUGACACUUUUGGCUCAAUCGGUCCUAUCACGUCUAUCCCCCAAGCUACAAAAGGCCAUGGAGAAGACAUUGCGUGCAAAUCAGCAGGAGGAGAAUUUAUCAGAUCAUCGCAUACUUGACAUUGAUGACAUUUAUGAAUGAAAUGAAUAGAAUCCCUCUCCAUAGUAAGCCAAUAAUAACCCACUCAAAUUAUCUUCUUUGAUAAUACAUAACCGUUCAUAUGUGGCCCGCAUACCUCAGAAUGUAUUUCAACCAUGAUUGUCGAAGCUUCUUUUGCAUCUACACACCUUAAUAGUCCCAGAUUCGGGGUUUUCUUGUAAAAGAUUUCUCCACAUAAGAAAAAUCCACUAGCCAAACACCGAAUAGUCCUCUUUUUAACUUCUGUGUUACCUAAGUUAGGGCACAACACGUCCUUUCAAGGAGAGUGUACUUGGCUUCAUACAUUGUGAACUUAGAAUGCAAGGAGAGUGUACUUGGCUUCACGAUGUUCCUUAGAAUGCAACAACAAAGAAAAAAGGGAUAUUUGAGCAUAAGUCUUCUUCAACUGACCUAUGAUUGAAUACUCUGGCAAUUUCAUUUUUUUCAAAAAUUCUUCGACUUCUUCUUUAAUGACAGGGUUUUUUAAGAUGCGAUUGCCUGUCCAUCAUUGGUUUAGACUUCCUCAAACCUUCUGUCAUAAAACAUCUCCUCAAAUGAUUUAAACCCCCUACCUCAUCUACUUCUUCCAUGAUUUCCUUUCUCUGAUAAGUCAUCACAGUCUGAUUAUCCUCUAGGGGACCCUUUUUUUGUCAACCAAUUGGAGUUGGGUCACCAGCUUGAUAAUAAUAGGUGCUGCAAGUACUCCUUUUACUAUCAAAAUAGGCUUCCUCAGAGCUCCUACUACCGUUAACUUGGGUUUUUCUUGACUUAAACCACUAGUUUUUUUUACUCUUUUUAUAAUGAUCACGGGUUUCCUCGUGUCUUCUUGGGAUUUAUCUUCCACCAUUUCUUCUUGGCUCAAUGACAUCGCCUUUAAUGAACCUGCCAUAUUCACCGAUUUAUCCUUAUUAGUUUGUAUUCUAAUAAUAGGAUUGUAACACAUCGAUAACUCUUUACCACCACAUAUCAACUCCAACAUGUUUGUUUCAGCAUGGGCUAGCAAUGGAUUUUGGUUGAUGUUCGAAAUCUUUGGGGUUUGUAUCAUAAUUUGAUCUACGUCAAUUAGAUCCUUGAUGGCUCUUCUCAAAUACCAGCAUUUCUCGAUAUCAUUCCCGGCAUGUCAGAACAAUAUGCAAACCUUAAAGAAUAAUCAAGAUUCCUCAAAGGUGGAUUCGAAAUCCUUCCUUGAAUUGGGCUCAAGACCUUUAUAUUCCUCAACCUUUCAAACAAACUAGCAUACGACUCCCCGAGGGGUGUGAAAUUAUUCUUGACUAACUUCACCUUCUUAAACUCGGUCCUAGGUUGAAAAUUAGAUUUGGAAGGGUUUUGGUAAUUUUGUGGAGUUAAGGGACGAUUUUAAGGAUUUGGUGCACGCCAUUGUGGGUAGAAAAGGGUUUGGACAUAUAGUUAUGCGCUAUAUACUGGGUAUGGGGGUGCUGGAAUCGAAUAUAGUGGGUUUUGCAAAGGGUAGUAAUGAUGAGGAGAAUUUUGAGAUUGGGCAUAGACUUGGGCUUGGGACUGGGGAUAGGGGCAAAGCGGUUUUUUCAGAUAAGUUUUUGGUCUAGCUACAAUAGUCGCCACUUUCUCCUUCUUUUUUUUCCCUCCAAAAGUUCUAGAACCACUUUGAAUUGCUUAGGAUGUGGCCUUUAAUGCGAAAAAACUCAUUAUUCACGAUCUUGAUACCCUCUUUUAUCAUCUCUUCCAUUUUGAGGACUUCAACAAACGGCUUGCCCAUCGCCGGAAGCAAUUGUUGGAAAUAGGUCUCAUCUUGUGCCUGAAUGAAGACCUCCACCAAUUUACCUUGUUUUAUCGGAGGUUUUACCCUAGCAGACUGUUCACACCACCUUAUCGCGUACUCCCUAAAGCUUUUAGUACUCUUUUUCUUUAUAUUAAUCAGGGAUUUCUCAUUAGAAAUCAGCUCCACAUUAUAUUGAAAUUGUUACACAAAUUCAUUAGCCAGGUCAUCCCAACUAUUUCACUUGUCAAUGUCCUGAUCCACAAACCACACCGAGGCUAUACUCGAAAGACUUUCAUCAAAAUAGGCCAUGAGGAAUUACUCUUUACCUCCAAACCCUUAAUUGAAUACAAUAACGCCUUAAAUAUGCCACCGGAUCCCCGUGUCCAUCAUACUUCUCAAAAUCUGGCAUCUUAAAGCCAAGAGGAAGGUUAACACCUGGAAAGAUGCAUAAAUCUUUAUAUGAAAAACUUUUAUAACCUCCAAGUCCCUAUAAAUUUUUCAUGGCCUGCUCUAGACUCUUCAAUUUCCGCACCAUGACUUCUUGUUCCUCUAUUGCAAUAGGCUUCUCUGUAUCAAAUAGAAAUACAAGUGGCUGAGUGUACCUAUACGGUUUAUUCAUCUUUAAAGUAGGCUCCGGGGCAUAAUAUUGAUCAUCUGUAACCUUCAACACUGGCUCACUAACAGAUCAAGGGAGCAUGAUUAUUGGACGGAAAACAUAAGUACGAGAUUCAAGUGGUGAAGGAGCCAUGAACAUAGGUGCCACAGGUGGUGCUAAAUAAGCAAAAGGCCUCUGUUUAGGGACUAUCAAGGGUACACUAGAAGUGUCAGGAUAGUACUGAUGUGGCAUGAAUUCAGGAGGUGCUGGGGCAUAUCAGUGGGACCAGAAAACUGCGCCUGAGAUAGCAGCGAAUAAUUGGAAGUGUUCCCAAGAUCACCUGGGUAUAAAGGAGGAGGCAUACCAGUUACCCAAGCUUGGUGCAUUUCUGCCAGUUCUUGUAUAAGUCUCAAUAUUUCCUCAUUAUGUUCGGAACCUCCUUCCCCAGGACUCUGGUUCAGGUCAAUGAGAAAAUUUUCUACUUCUUUGUUGGCCAUGGCGAGCUUUACUUUUGAUCUAGUGAAGUAAGGAUGACUAGCCAGAGUGCUACAAACUAACCACUUUUAUCUUAAAGAACAUGCUUAUCAGAGACAAAACAUGUUAGGAUUAGGUCACACAACAAGCAUGGAAAUCAUAUUAUACACACAUCCUAGAUUCAUGCACAUUUACCAGCCUUUGAGGGUAAUGAGUCCAUUUUAACAAUAUCCCGAUCUCUCCCUUACACUAUUUUUUCUUCCCCUCUCAUCACACCUUGUUCUUUUAUACUUUUUCCCUCGAUUCUCUCUUCUUUGCAUCAGUCUGUUUUUCUUUCCUUUUCUUUUCUCACUAUUCUUUCUUUUUCUUUCCUUUUCUCGCUAGUUUCUUUCUUUUUAUCAUUCUUUAUGUCUUUUGCUUUUUUUAAAAGAGGAAAAUUGAGGAAAAACAAGGAAACAAAAUGAUUAGAUCGAACCCAAAGUAGGUUCCCUACGUAUUAUGUUGUACAUGAAUUAGAUCUUGUGUAGUUUAAAAAUGUGUACAAAAUUGAUGAUUUUUUAUGAAAAACAAACAAAACAAAGAAUAACGCAACAUCAUUACAUUUCAAAAAUAAAUAACUAAAACAGACGUCGAAUUUAAGACAACCUUAAUACUAAUCAACAAAGACUGAACAACACUCUAGACUCACAGGACAACAUGUGUAACAUUUCUAAUAAAGACUCUACUGUUAAAAUUAACUUGACACCGACUUAACAAAGACACAAUAAUGCAAUGACAAAAAAACAACAGACUCAAACUAAAUAAGUAAAAGAUAGGAAGUGCCCCUUGAAACUGCUGUGCUGCGUGAUGGCCUUGGCUGAGAUGAACUUGUCUGUGAAAAUCUCGCUUUCCUAGUCAAAUUUUGCAACAUAUCCUGCAAUGACACUUUGAUAUUUGGGAAGAAGCUUCUGCUACAUGUUCUUGCCUCUUGGGGAGUACACCUAAAAAGACUUUUCUGAUACCCUUCCACAGUUGUGAGCAAACUUGAUAACUGAACUCUCAACGACUCUACUUUGGCCCCCGCAUCUUAACCCUCAUGGUUAUCAACUAUGAAAGAUUCCUGUAUUCUCCCUCUAAGUUGCACUAGUAAUGGUCUACUGAGGCCCCGAGAAUGGAAUAUAGCCAGAUUCCAUAUCUUAGAGUGUAUCCUGGAUUCUCUAAACCUGCCCUGAGAGUAUCCACGCUCUUCNNNNNNNNNNNNNNNNNNNGCACUUCCCCGUUACAUUAUUCCAGAACUACUUAUAUUUAAUCUCACCCCUAGCUUGGUCCCUAAAUUACUCAACAUCCUUUUGAAGGUCAAUUAUCGGUGGAACAUCUUGUAAUCUACCCAACUAGCACAUUACCCUAAAGGGAAUGUAUGAUCGGGUACAAUUAAGCCCCAACAAAACUAGAAGGAUUUUCAUGCUAGAUCCAAGCAAGAUUAUUUUUGGCCGAAGCCAUAGAUAGGUCCAUAAGAUAUUGUCAUAUGUUCUUGAUUUGAGAAAUUCAACCCAAGCGUCGACUUCUACAGGCAAAGAGAAUUUAGCAAAGCGCAUUCUAUGUUUCAUGGUUUCCACUCGAUUGGGCAAACAACAGUCAACCAUAUCUGAUUUGAUCAAAGAAGGGGCAUGCAAAUGCUCCAUCAACCAUAGUUUCAAUACUAGGUUACUUCCCUCAAAAAAUUGCACACCCCUUUUUACCUCGAUCAAAGAUUUAUAUAUCUCCACUAAGAUCAUAGGUACCAUAGUAACCUUGUCUUCCUUAUCCUUGUUAAAUAAGGCCAUUACUACAGAUUGCAAAUGCGUAUUAAUACACUUUUCUUCCAGGGGAAUACUAAAGUGCCUAACAAAGCAAGGGUAAAGACCUCAAGAUGACGUUUCUUUCAAUUCUUUUUAGUUGUAUAAAACUUAUCCAAAAAAUAAUCAAAAUUGCCUGGAAGGCCAAAUCGAGAUACAAGUAAUCGAAAGAGACCCAAGAUUGGUUAAGGCAUCCUAGAUGGUUAUUAACCUUUAAUCCAUAACAGUGGAGAAACCUUAUGGGAGAAUGACAACGCGCUUGAAUCAUCCUUUUUUUAAUGUAAUACACUUUAAAAAAAAAUGGAUAUUUCUACCAGGGUAGGCGUCAUUUCACAACUCCCAAACCUAAAAGCCAAACUAGUUGGAUCCCAAAAAGUCAACGUAGCCUCGAUUAGGUCUGGACGGGGCAUGAUAGAUAAGAGAGAAGUGAGAGUACCUAGCUUCUUUGUUAACUCCUACUUUUUGGAGUAGUUGAACAUGUCCCACCACUUGAUUAACUUUUUGGCCACUUUAGAAAUCACUAGGAUCUAGACCUUGGAGACGAAUCCAUCCUAUAACAACACACAAGACUUACGAUUUAAUAUUUUGAUAAGAGGGUGAAAAUUCCCAAACCUCGAGAUUUUGAUGUGGGCAGGUUAUCAUGAAGGGACAAACCAAUUUAUAACUCAAAUUAAAACGAAUGGUACCACUAAGUGCGGUCAGCCUACUUGGCCAAGAUUAACCAACGACACUAGACUAGACUAAAAAGAGAAAGACCCUAAGCUAGGACUAUAAUAGUGACCUAAAUAAAAGAUUAUAGAACCCACCGACGGUUGCCUACGUAUCCCACCUCGACGGACAAGAAUCAGGUAUGCAUAAUUCGUCUAGAUUGGAUAAUUAAAGGUUAAACAACCGAUUGAACCUAACUUAGGAGACACGACCAAAGAACAACAAUGAACAAUGUCAAUAAAAAAUUUUUGAUUUUUCAACUUGACACUUCACAUAUAAAUGACACCAAAAACUACGAAAGAAAAAUCUUUUUGGUUUUUUCAUUAUAUGAAAUGUACAAAACUUCUACCAUCUUUUUUCUAUUUUCUUUUAUAAAAAGCUCCUAUUAAAAAAAUAUUUUUAAAAUUUUUUGAAUUAUGAAUGCAUGCUAAAGGAACAAAAGGAAAAUCUUUUUGAUGUUUUUAUUUUUUUGAGAAAUAAGUACAAUAGGCAAAACAAAAGUUUUUUGAAUUUUUGAAUUGUGAAGAACAAAAGUCAUAAAGAACUCUAAAAAGCUGCAAAACUAUUCUUCUUCUUUUUUUACUUACAUUUUCUUUUUUUUUGAAUUUUUCUUGCCUACACACUUUUCUUUCAUUCUAGAACAUGUUUUUUCCAAAUUAGUCCGUCAAAUAGCCCUACCCUCAAAGAUGCAACAUUUAGCAUAUAGGGAUGCUUUAGGGGUGAGUCUUCUACAAAGGGCCACAUAGGUCCCACUAGGUUUCAAUAUGAUGCAGAUAAGCAUGACCUAAAGGCUGACCUAUGCUGGAGUUCACUAAAAAGUCUGUUUGGGGGAGCGUAUAGUCGAUAGUAGCUGCGAUGGCUUUCCACCCACUCAAUACUAGCCGACGGCUCCUCCUCUUUAAAUAAGGGUGAAUCAACUAGAGGUCAUGUACACAGCGUAUACUACAGAACUUUUUGUAGAAAUAAUUGACUCGGGUUAUGCAAAUGAUGCCAAAUAUAAAGCGGUAACACAUAAGAGAAAAAAUUCUAAACAUGUAGCAAGUAGGCACUCAACAAUGAUAAAAUGAAUACAAAAAAAACACAAAAUUCUAUACACCUAUAAUGUCAAACUAAGCCAAUAUAACUCCAAAAAUAAGCACGAAUUCUGAAAAAGUGUCUCCAGCAGAGCCGCUAGAGCUGUCACACCCCUUUUUUAACCAAAAAAGAAUUGAUUUUAAGUUUAAAAGGGUUUUUAUUAUUAAGUGACAAUAAAUGAAAUUUUUUUUGAAAAGUAUUGUUUAUAUUCAAAACUUAGAGUCGCAACUUGGCAUAAAUCGGGUGUGCCAAGUCACCUAUGGAAAUCCUUUUUCAAAAUAAUUUUGACUCUUUUGAACUGGUUUGCAAAUAUAGAUUCCGUCUAAAGAAUUUUGUUGACCGAGGGGAAGGUGUUAGGCACCCCUCAAUCCCGUGGCUCGACCACGGUUGCUUGGUAGAGUAUAUCAGCUAAUUUGAAACUAAGAAUAUAUAAGACCAACAAAAUGCACAAAAGCAAACAAACACACGGAGACAAAACAAAUUCAUAAGUAGUAUCCAGUCCAACUUAUACAGUCCCAAAAAUGAAAAAUGCGGAAAAUAUAAAACAACUCUAUCCUAAACUAAUACUAAUCUAAACUCCACCCGAUAUCCUGGGCCUUGAUCAUACAUCAUCUUCAAGUACAACUUUCUCGGGGCAUUCCCCGGAUAAGACAAUACAGAUACUUAGGGCAUUCCCCGGCCAAAUAGAUAUAAUAGAGUUAAAUCUGAUAAAACAAAACCAUUCAACACAUAUUUCAAACAUUCAAUAUUCCACAAGUCCCAAUUUUUUCCUACCCGAGCCUAUCAUUUGCCUACCCAACUCAACCUACCAUGAGACUAUUAUGUUCAACAACAUCAAUACUUGUUCCAAAUUAAACAAUCAUCAAUGAAUCAAAAUAACCAACAUUCACCUUUAUCAAUUUUCAAUUUUUACCCCAAAACAUCUGAUUUCAGUUCUUAAAUGAGAUACUAUUUCAUCACAUAAUCCAUAAUCAAGGGAAUCGACAAUGAAUCAACACACAAAAAAACUAUUCACCACCAAAACAUAUCAAGCAACAUGUAACAUGAAAUUUGAUGCAUUGAAUAUAAUAAAUAAUAAAAUAAAAGAGUAAAUAUUAGAAAUGGACCUUAAUUUGGAGCUUUCGAAAAGUGUUGCUCGAUAAAAUAAAGAACCUGCUUCCGAUAACCUCAACUCAAACCUCACGAAAGUCAACCCAGACAGAAUUGAAAAAGAAAUAUUAGAUGAACCGAGACAGAAAUUAUGUAAAAACAAGAAAACCCAUAUACGAAAACUCGCCAGAAUACACCUGAAUGUCGCCAGAAUCAAACCAAAAAGAUCGAUACAACACUGAUAUGACCCAUACAAAAUGAAUAAUAUGGAUUUCUAGAAUUUUAUUCAUUUACAGGUGUUUUCUACUAAAAUAGAAUAAUAGUCAAUGGCUCAACCAUUUUUCUGGCUAAAUUCAUCAGAAAAAGUUGGCUGACGGACUGAAUCGAUGCAGAUCUUAGUAGUGUUAAUGGAUUCGGAGUUCAAACGCUAUGGGUUUGAGAAUUUUCUGGUGAUGGUGUAAUAAAGAAGCAAUUGGAGGUGCUUUUUCUAUAACAAUUCUGGUGAGGGUUUCACCGAAAAAACCUCACCCUGGUUGUUUCUUCACCCUUUUCACUCUAUCUCCCUUGCCAUUCUCGAAUCUCUCUCUCUCUCAAUUUUUAUUAUAUGUAACAGUCAAAGAAUCAAGGAGUUGUGCGUAUGUGUAUUGCCUUCUGUGUGAGUGAUGAAAAUGUGAGGUUCCGUCUCCUUUUUUUCUUUUCUGAUGAUCUCUAUCUAUAUAGCUAUGUGAGGUGUAUGUAUUUAUGUCAAUCCCCUACUGGGUGUGUAUAUGUCAAAUUUUAUAAAUAUGGGUGAUGAUCUUUGUGUAUGUGGGUAUAAAAUGUGUGUUAUUGUGAGGAAAAUUAUGUAUAGCAUGUGUGGACCUCCCAUUUUUUGUGUGAAUUAUGUGUGGGGCCCAUAAGGGAGUUUGUGAGAAGGGUGUGAGGAGUAUGUUAGUAUUAUGUGGCAUGGUGAGAUGUCAAAAGUGUCAUGAAUUUGUUUAUUUUUUGUCCUUUUUGGGGAAAAAUUAUCAACUAAAAAGAAAUUGUUUAUUUUUUGUCCUUUUUGGGAAAAAAUUAUCAACUAAAAAGAAACAAGGUGUAUGGUAACGUGAUUAAAUAAGUAAAAAAAAUAUUCAGGAAGGGACAAAAUUAUGUGUCUACACACGGUCCCCAAUUGGGCGACGCACGCCAAUUACCUAGCCUCAAGUGGGCAAUGCAUGCCAAUCGCCUAGUCAUUUUAGUGGUUGUUAGUGAUGGUCAUGCAAUGCACGGCCAUGGCACGGAGUCCAUCUUAUGACGGACACUAAGUUUCAAGGUCCCAAAAUGCCCCCAACACCUCUCACAAUGUCUAAACAUGGUCUACCAUCGAUACGGGGGUUCUAAGGGUUAUUUUAGAGAGCAUUAUUAGAGUGAGACAACUACAGGAUGUUACAUUCAUCAUUCAAUAAUACAUAUUUUAUGCUAUACUAGGAAUAAAAUAACCUCUGUGCAGAUUUUGUACUAUACUAGGAAACUAAAUAUCACAACAUAUCUUAUGCUAUACUAGUAAAAUACUACAAAUAUAUAGCUAAUAAGAAUCUUGAGAAUCUGAUUUGUAAUCAUCCAAAUGGGUAUUCUGCGGCUGAAGAAAAUUGGGCGAUGUCCUCUUCAAAAUUAGCCCAAUAAUCUACUCCGUUGUUGGCCCAUAUGAACUUGGCCUCAAGGAGUUUUUUAAUUCUUUUUUUAGCUUGUUUUUUCUGCAUGUUUUGUUGGAUUACUUGGCUUUUGAUUCUCAUUCUCAACACCCCCUUAAGAUGGAGAGAAGGGAAAUGACGCCCAUCUUGGAGAGAAUCAAAUGAUGCAAUGGUCUGAAGAGAUCUUUGGUGAACAAAUCGGCAAGUGAAGAAGUUGAUUGAACAAAUGUAGGGGAGAUAACACCAUAGAAAAAUUGUUGUCGCAUAAAAUGAAAAUCAAGCUCUACGUGCUUGGUACGAUCAUAAAAAAAUUUAUCUAAUUUUUUUAAUUUUUUUUUAAGAGAGAUUUUGAAAGUCAAAUCCUAAAUCUGCUUCAAACCUGUUUUAGAGCUAAGAUAUGAUUGUUCGUUUCUUUUUAAAUUUUAAAGCUUAUCCAAAAUUUUUGUAGGUUAUACAAAAUUUUUGUAGGUUAUAAGCUUAUCCCGAACCAUUUUCCUAUCAAACGCACUCUUCGCUAUAAGAGUGAAAACUAAGUUGCAUCUAGGAUCUACUUUAAUUUUGUGCUCGUAUGCCUUUCAUUUUAGUUUAGGGUAUGUUUCUACAACUUGUGCACUGUAAGGGUGUGUUUGGUAUGAUAGAAAAUAUUUUCUCGAAAAUGUUUUCCUAUUUUUCUUUGUUUAGUUGCAAUAAAAUGUUUGGAAAACAUUUUCCACAACAAUUCAUUUUCUUCGAUUUAAGGGAAAAUGACUUCCCUCAUGGCCAAGGGAAAUCAUUUUCCAGAAAAUGACAAAUGUGACUUAUGACCCCAUCCUCACCCCUCUUCCCCACCCAACAACACUCAUAUUCACAUGACUCAAAAAAUUUAUAUAUCUCAAAAAUUUAUAUUACUCGAAAAUAUUUUUCAUUGUGCUUUACUUCAAUUUUUCACUGCUUGAAAUAAAAAAUAGUGAAGCCCGAAUUUUUCUCUUUUUCAAUAUUCAUUGAAUGUAUUGUUAUUUUCAUAUGCAUAGAGGAAGACUUACCUAUGUUACUUUUGAUAAUUGCAUAUUUCAUUUUGUCAUGUAACUUGUUUCACGAGGUAUAAGCUUGUCGUUCCGUUAUAUUUCUAUUGAUUAUAGUAUCUUGAGAUUGUCCUGAUAAAAUAUUGAAAAGUGUAUCCUAUAUUUGCUAAUUAAUAGUUGCUUUUCUCUAAAUCUUUCUUUGUAUGUUUAUCUUGGUUUAGUGAAGUUUUUUCUGAUACUUCUCUGACCCUGUCAUUCUCUACUUGUAAUGCAAGCUUUUUGACUGAGUCACUCACUCUCCUCAACAACAAUAUUUCCAAAAGCUUCACCUGAAAGUUUGCAAUUUUUAGCUGCUAUAAAAGCCUCUUCUUGGCAAACUACACAAUUCAAACACAACACUCUCUUCUUCCUUUUGCAACAAAAAUCCCAUAAAUUAUAUUGAAUACUGCAAACAUGUUUUCUCUUUCAAAAAUGCCUUCAACAACAUCUGUUCUAUCAGCAUAUACAACUUUGACUGCUUCAGCAGUUCUAAUUAGAACUUUAGUCUCUGAAGUUCAGAACAUGACAAACCAGCUUAUACCCAAAAAUCUCCAAGACAAAAUCUUGUCAAAAGUUGGAAUCUUUAUGGGAAAUUACUCUUCCCAAAUGACCCUCAUCAUUGAGGAAAACAAUGGUUUAAUUCCAAAUGAAAUCUUUGAAGCUUCCAAAUUUUACUUAAGCACUAUAGUGAACCCUUCGUUACAAAGGGUCAAAAUUUCCAAGGCGGAGAAAGAAAAGAAAUUUUCAGUCAACAUUAGCAAAGAUGAGAAACUCAUUGACACAUUUGAAGGAGUGGAACUCACUUGGGAGCUGAAAAUUGUGGAAAGUCAGAAGACCAAUAGUAAUGAUGGCUACUUGUCUAUAGAAAAAGUGGAACAAAUAUGGUAUGAACUAAGUUUCCUCAAGAGUAACAUGGAAAUGGUGCUGAAAAUAUAUUUGCCGUUUAUUCUUGAAAGAUCAAAAGCCAUAAAAGAGGAAAACAAGGCGAUAAAACUCUCCCCACUUGGGAGUUAUGGUUGGCAAAGUGUGAAUCUUGAUCAUCCAUCAACUUUUGAUACACUAGCAAUGGAUCCUCAACUGAAGCAGGAAGUGAUGGAUGAUUUAGAAAGAUUUGUUAGGAGAAGAGAUUAUUAUAGAAGAGUUGGCAAGGUAUGGAAAAGAGGAUAUUUGUUGUAUGGACCACCAGGAACAGGCAAAUCUAGCUUGAUUGCAGCUAUGGCUAAUUAUCUGAAAUUUGACAUAUAUGAUAUGGAACUUACUAGCCUGCACGCUAACUCUGAUUUCAGAACAAUGCUAGCCUCUACAAAGAAUAGAUCAAUUAUUGUUAUUGAGGACAUUGAUUGCACCAUUGAGCUACAGAACAGAGUUGAUGGAUCUCAUAAUUACAAAGACAGUGAGAGUCAGGUGCCUAAAAAUAUUACUCUUUACUCUACUUAAUGUUCCAUUCUAUAUGAUAUUCUUUGGUUUUUAGUCAUGUUUAAAAAAGAAAAACAUAUUGAAACUCUUUAGUAUUAGUGAAAAUUCUUUCCUUUUUCUUAAAUACCAAACUCAAUCAAAUACUAUUACAUAAAAUGAAGUGGACGGAGUACACUUUACACACUUUAAGAUUUUGUUAAGUUUGUAUUCAUUUCAAAAGUUAAUAAACUUUUUCUUUUUUCAUGGACAGGUUACUCUUUCUGGAUUGCUAAACUUUAUUGAUGGGCUAUGGUCAUGUUGUGGAGAUGAAAGAAUAAUUGUGUUCACUACCAACUUUAAAGAAAGACUAGACCCUGCAUUGAUAAGGCCAGGAAGAAUGGACAUGCACAUUCACAUGUCCUAUUGCACUCCGAGUGGAUUCAAGAUCCUUGCUUCCAACUACCUUGGCAUUAAAAAUCACUGGAAAUUUGGUGAAAUAGAAGAGCUUAUAACUGAAGUGAAUGUGACCCCAGCAGAGAUCGCAGAAGAGCUGAUGAAAAGUGAUCAUGCAGACAUUGCACUUGAUGAACUAAGUUCGUUCCUCAACAAGAAGAAAGAGGAUUGCAAAAAGAAAACUGUUGAAGAAAAUGAAGCUGAUAAGAAAGGAGAUGAAAUGAACAAGGAACAAACAAAGACCAAAAAUAUGAGGAAACGUAAGGGGAAUUCAAGAAGGGGAGGAAGAAGCAGGCGUAAAAUUUUCUGAUGUUCUUGAUUUCUUGGUUUACAGUUAAUUUCAUCACUAGAAAUUUACUUGUCAUGUAUUGUUGUUAUUCUGUAUUAUGUGGUUUUUGGGAUAUCAAAGGUUGGUUACUAAGCUAGGUAUUGUAUCUCCAACACGUUUGAGAUGAUGAAUCAAACAGGCUUUGGAUUUUGAAGUUCCCAAAUACAAUUGUGUGACACUAUUCAUUGAGGAGAAACUAGAAACUAUUGCCUCGUGAAGGAGUAUAGCAUGUAAAUGAGUUGUCAUAAUUGGAAAGGGAUUGUCGAUGAAUGAGAAGGCGCAAUAAUUGGCUCUGCAGCAUUUGCUAAAAGCUAUAAGCUCUUGAAAUCUUUUUAUAUCUUUCAUUUAAAAUACAAGAUUUUGGACUUUAGCAUGAAUCCCAAAAGAAUGGUAUUUCUUUAUGUAAAAAUUUUGCAGCAAAGUGAUCUGAUGUUCUUACAGUGUAAAAUAGUCACUUAAAAUAUUUAUCAUGCAGUUUAACAACCACCAAGUCUUUGGGCUUAGGAAUGGGAGAGGUCGAGGCAGUUGUGCAACACGAACUUGUAAGACAAAGAUACUUAAUAUAACACAAUACAGAUAAUGGUACAUGCUUCAACAACAAAAAUAAAUGGUGAGGAGACAAACUAACGGAGGGUCUGGAUUGAUCGUUGGAGUGGUAUCAUCCUUAUGUAUUAUUCACACAUAUUUGUAAAGAAAAUAACAGCAUUAUGUCAUCUUGUAAUUUAUGCGGGAACAUAAUUCGAAUAUUAUUAUUUUUAUUGUCAUACAGAGCAUGGUGUGUUGGCCCGUGCAUAGCACGGGCAUGACUAUCUACUUUUACUAGAAAUGUUGGGUUUACAUCAUGAGACAAUAUCAUAAUAGUUAUGGUUUUGAAGACUGCUAUUGGUACUGAUGUGUUUUAUUAAAUUUUAUGGACAAUAUAUGUCGUUUUACUUGUUGCAAAUGGAUUAUAUUAAUAUGCUCUUUAUGCAGAAAUUAGUGCAGUAAAAUAUUUGCUUACAGAGGAAAAGAAUAUGCUGAGCACAUUAUCAAUGUUCUUGUUACUAAUACCAUCAUCAAAAACAAUUUUUUUAAUGAAUGACUUUGGAAGUUUGAAGCACCAGACAGCCAAGACUAUAAAAACUAACUAUAGAAAUUAACAUCUACUGAUUAAUAAUAAAGCUAUAACAACAUUUUUAGCAAAUUAAAACAACACAUACAGGAAUAUGACACCAACAAAUUUUUCCCAAGGCACCUCAUAUGUACAAAACUGAUGUCUAACUCAUAAUUGCAUGAGAAUCAACAUAAGUAGAAAUGUUUUGUGUCCACGUUGUAGAGUAUGGGAGGAAUAUAACUACAUGACAGUUGAAACUCUUGCCAAGCUACCCUUGAAUCAUUUAAACUCUCUUCGUUCUAAUUUACGUACAAAGGAAAUUGGGAUAUUUCCUUUAUAGCCCAACAGGCAACUGCCCAGGAAUGAAAAAAAGUUCAGGGCUCACCAGAAUUCAAGCAUAGGUAUUUACAACAAUCUGUUAACCCAUGGAACUCCCACAAUGAUACAUGGUUCCGGAGGUUUUUAUAACCUUAUUGCCAGAUAUCAAGAAAAUAGUUUAAUUGGUAGUAGUAAUCAAAACCAAUGCAAAGAAACCUAAGCCAAAAGAAAGCAUCAGGCUAUGGAGAACCAUGACAUCUUAUCAUUGCACUAGUGUAAUAUACUGAGCACAAGUAGACAUAGGCAACUGAGAAAAAUGAAUUGACAUCAUUUCUAAACAGUCAGUUGGAAAUUUGUCCUCAAAAUAGUCACACACAAACAUUAACAGCAACAGGAAUCAGGAAGACCGAAAGCAAAUGCCAGAAAAUAUAAUACAGCAGUCAAAGCUAAAAUUAAUGCAUCAAGACAGUGGAAGAGCAGAAUUUCAGGAUGUUCAUUGGUCAAGUCAAUGCUAGCAAUUUUCGCCCGUAGAAAAGGGAAUCGGAUCAACUCUGCAGAUAUUCUUGAUUAUUAAAAAUACAUUGUACAUGAAUUUCUACACGUGAACUGAAUCUGAAUGUCAGUAAAAAAUAGUUAGAAUAUCCUAAAGAUAAACCCGAAACUUGUUUUCCUGCAUACUCAGCAGAGCACAAAAUUAUAUAAAACAUUUUUUUUCCAUAGGAAAGAGAGAACUUGUCAAGAAGCAACAAUAACUUAGAAAUCAAAGCCCCAACAAAAUGUUAAUAGGUAAGUAGGAAACGAACAGAUGUACUUAGUUUUCCUGCUUAUUGCUUGAGUUUUUGACAGGUUGAUGAUCUGCUACAGAUAUUACUAAGUUCGGGCAUAAAGAACACAUCACAACUCUUUAGUACUAUAAAUACUUGUACCAGCUUAGAGUGAAACUAAAGCGUGGCUCUCUUUUCAUUGGCGUUUACACUGUGAACCCGUGCAGAGUACCACAUCAGCAUAAUCAGCACAAAUAAUGUUUCUUACCUAUUAGUUGAGUUUUUGACACAUUCAUGAUUUGCUACUACUAGAUUCAGAUGCUUUUGCUUUGAUGUUUACACUUUGUGAACACGGGAAGACUAACACAUCAGUAUAAUCAAGCAUAAAAUAUGUCUUCAUAGUUGCUAUGAUUAUGUGCUACUGAUAUUGCUAAAUGCAAGUGUAAAGAUUUAGAUACUUUUGCUUUGACUCAAGCCCGAAUCAAAGUGAUAUUGUUUAUUUUAUUUCAUUGAAACACAAUCCCGAAAUACACCUUUGAGAGAAUUGCAAAAGAAACAUCUCCAAAUUCAAGAUACAAUUUUUUGCUAAAUCAAGUUACAAAGUCAAAAUGAAGCACAAUGGAACAACCUUUUUCAAGAAGAUUUGAUGGCAUCAACAAAGCCAGUACUAAGAAGCCUCUCCACAUACUUUCCCAAUAUAUCCACUUCGAGAUUAACCUUCUGUCCCACUUUCUUCAUCGGAAUCACCACCUUCUGCUGCGUAUACGCCACCAACAUGAAGUUAAAACAGUCCUCUUCAUCAAACACGUCGACAACAGUCAAACUAGUUCCAUCCACAGCAAUAUAUCCUUUAGGCACAAUAUACCUCAAAAUCUCCUUCACAGUCUUCACCUUCACCCACAAAGAAUCCCCUUCAGGUUUAAACUCAACAAUCUCGCCCGUCCAAUCAACAUGUCCCUGCACGAAAUGACCUCCCAUUCUACUGCUAGGCUUCAAAGCUCUUUCCAAAUUAACCAAAGACCCUUGUUCCAAUUCGAUCAAAGAAGUCUUCCUCAACGUCUCCGGAGCCAAUCCAACACUGAACUCCAACUUCUCCUUAUCGUAAUGAUCGACCGUUAAACAAGUACCGUUGACAGAAAUGCUGUCACCAAGAUUGAUGUCCUCAAGAAUGAGCUUCGCCUGUAUUUUCAUGGUGAAACUGUCGGGUUUAUCGUAACCGAGUUGGUUAAUUCGGCCCAUUUCUUCAACUAUACCGGUAAACAUGGAGGUAAUUGGAGUCGAAGAGCUACGACGUUGUUGGGCUGUUGUACUCCUGCUGAUAAAGAUAGAAGAAAUAGAUGAUUGGGUUUUUUGGGUCUCUGCUCUGGCAGUGACUACUUAUAAUUGUGUUGACCAUUUUGCAGCUACCGUUAGUAUUUCAUGUCAAUUUUCUCGUGUUCAGUGCUCUAUUAUUGCCUCUUAAAAAUAGUAGUAAUACUUACUAAAUAAUAAUAUGAGUAAUUGUAUCAUAUCACAUUUUAAAUAUGAUAAAUUUAGUAAUUUAAAAAAUAUAUUGGAUAAUAGCUACUGUAAGGAAAUGAAU
RNAcentral lists this long non-coding RNA (143544 nucleotides) under Capsicum annuum. RNAcentral's name for it is "long non-coding RNA (CANN_LNC011955)". The record is from RNAcentral. Lineage: Eukaryota; Viridiplantae; Streptophyta; Magnoliopsida; Solanales; Solanaceae.